RNAcentral lists this long non-coding RNA (90933 nucleotides) under Xyrichtys novacula (pearly razorfish). Lineage: Eukaryota; Metazoa; Chordata; Actinopteri; Labriformes; Labridae. The record is from RNAcentral.
GCCUUGUUAUGCUACCGGAAGAGCAGGCACGGCGCCUGCAGUUGUGUUAUAUGCUAGACUGUUAACAAUGAAACGUCCCGAACUGGCCUCAAUAAGAAAACCAAAGGCUAAAGAGUGAGGACUGAGUCAGGUAAGAGAGUCACGAUCGGAAUAAGUGUUAACAUGGACGCAUUUUGGAAUAACGAUCGGCAUAAACCACCUCCCCUCGAUCGGAUUACAAUUUCCUCCCGAUUGAGCCGAGUUUUUACGCAUUUCUAUUCCGACCGGGCGUUUAUUCCGAUUAUUUGUGCCCAUGUAAACGCAGCUAGUGUUAGCUUCUGUAAACAUAGACAUACGGAUGCAAUCUGGAUACAGCAAACAGAAACUGAGUCUGCUUACAAAGCUUGUUGUGCUGGUAGACUGCCUUUUUUUUAUUUUAACCAAACGUAGUCAGCAUUUUCAGCACUCAGCAUCAUUGUUGAGUCCUCUCAGUGCACUCAGGGGAAAAUAGUUCAACUGUACGAACUGUGCUCAUCGGGGUCAUUUCUUGAUCACUGGCCAAUGAGGAUUAAGUAGGGUCAGAUAUUUAAUAUCAACUUUUUCGACAAGAAUGGGGUGGAGGUCCAUGAGGAAACCAUACACAUGUUUUUAUAGGUACAAAUUCCAGGUCUAGAGCUGCUGUUAAUGCUACAAUGUGAAUUUAGUCAAUUGUUUUUUAUGUAGGUUUCAUGACGCCAUCGAAUGAGAGAAAAUAUGGAGCAUUUUAAAACUGCCUGAAUGGUUGCUAAGGAAAGCAGAGGUGCCACAGGUUAACUCAUGAAAACCUAGCAUCAGUAAGUGCUGGUGAGGAGCUCUCUCACUGCCAGCAAUUAAAGCAAUUAAAACGGUCAUCUCAAAAUAUAUAGUUUUCCUUUUUUCCUCUUGGUCUUUGCAGAUCUUCGCCUUGCGCUUUCACUCAAGUCUUUUCCCUUACACGUACUGAUGCAGAUGAUCUAAACUCAUUCUACUAAAUGCUCCAGUCAGUACGAUGAGCAUCCAAACAGGUGUAUUGAAAACUUUGAGGAGUGCAGUCUUAGGGAUCUCACACAGGCAGAAGAAAAGGUCAAGUCAACCAAUUUAACUAAGCUUCGUGUCAAUUUUGGCGCCCCAGACUGAGAAGGCGGCACUUUAUAGUACAAUUCAACUGCAGUAUUUAAAGUUGGAUUUAGUUUUUCUCUCUUUCGGUUCAAUUUGUCACCCAUCUAGAGUUCUUACAAAAAAUGGUAGUUAGUUAGUCAUAAAGUUGCAUUAAUGGUCUUUCAGGCUGUAUUUAUAACCAGCGACAAAUUCCACACAGGAGCUUUAAGUGAAAAUGAUUGUAUGAAUAGACAUUACUAAGAGCGUCAACCUCACUGUGUUUCAUAAAUGUACGUUUUUUAGUGAGAGAUUUCAGUCAGCUCAUAAGUGUGCACUCCAAGAAAGGGAUACUCAACCCCUUUAUAAUUGCAAUGAUCUUGCAGUGCAUUGUGGGACGCAGCCACAUGAAACAGAGCUGUAGCUCUUCUGCAACAAGUGCAACAUCAGUCUAAGGAGCAUUUAUGACACUGAUGAAGAGCUAUCGAUAAAACAGCUGCUUCUUUUUGCUUUCUUUAGGACCAGACAGAAGCGAAACAUGAAGUCAUGUUUUCUCUUGAAGAGGCAUCAUUACAAAAUAGCAUUAUAAAGAUAAAUAAAACACACAAGUUAAAAACUGCCCCUUUUAUCUUUACAUAAAAAGAUAAUGGAUAUAAAUCAAAAAAGAGACCGUAAAAGUUAUUGGUGAAUCAGUUUUUCCUUCCAUCAUCAUCAUCAUAACUGAAGAUCUUUGGAGGGUGACUCACGUUGUUCUUUGAUCAGACUCUGAGCAUUUAGUCAAACGUUUAAAGGAGUAUGAGCUUGAAUAUAUGGCUUAUUAAAUCUCCUCACCCUCAAUGACAACCAUGUGUGUAGUGCAACAAGUUGGAGCAGUAAUGUGAUCAUUGUUUUUCCCACAUUAAUAGUUAGAGGAGAAAGGAGGACUGCUUUGAAACUAAUUGAAAAUGAUGUUUCAGUGAUGACUUUAUUCAGAUUUGUGUGGUUUAAUGUCGCCUAAGGGGAUACAGAAAACCACAAACUGAAGUUCAUCAAUAUUGGCAAACACAAUGGAGCAGAAUUUUAUUAUGCUACCCACUGCUAAUGUUGACUUGUGCACAGUGGAGAUGACAUUUUUUAAAGAGAGAUGAAUUGAAAAGAGGGGUGGUAAGUUAACUGAUGAGACUCAAACUUGGAUGUGAACUUUUAACAGAUACAGACCAAGAAAGCAUGACUUACACUUUAUUCACAAUUCAAAGCUGCAUGCAGGAAGUUUAAUCUUGUGAUAAUUGUCUAAAGUGUCUUCUUUCAUUUGACACUAAUAACCCCUGAACCACUGUUGGCCAAACUGGAAUGGCAACACUUAGUUAAACCUGUUGUAAUAUGAGUUUUCACCAAAGGAGGGCAGUAUGACUAUGAUAACAAGCAUCAUCACAAAGGCCCUAAACCCAAAUGAGAUGUGUUUAACACCCUUUAAUGCUGGUGUUUCGGUUAUGAUGAACGGUGUAUGGAGUAAGAGGUGAAUUUUGAGUCAUCAGACACUUGAGCAUGAGGCUCCUAAAGGUUUACGUCCCCAUAAUUAUAACUGAUGAAUAAAAUGUUUGAUUUUAGGUUAAAAUGAAGGUAAAAAGGGGAAGAAUUCACCACUUUAGUGUGCUGGAAUCACCUUCUUAUGAUGAGUGUAUUUCUUCUCUGUAAAAAGUACAAAUACACUAACUUAAAUUUAAUCCAGUGUCUUAAAAGUUGUUUCUCUUUUGCAGCAUCGCCCUCUGAUCCAGAGUAAUACAUUUUAACUGAAGCCUUGAUGAUUUAAUUUGUCAAUCAGUGAUCAAUAGGGCUUAAUAAAUCAUUUUUACUGAUUAAAAGAUGGGAUAAUGUGUCCACUGAUAUUGUGUUUAAUGUUUUCACAUCGAUUUUUGUACAGACUCAUUAAGAUAUUUCUUCUCUCAACUGAAACCGUCUUACAAAUAUUCUGCCUCUGGAAAUAAACACCCACCAAUGUUUUCUCACUAAUCAAUGUUUAAUCCUCUUUUUUGUGUGUUUGUUUCAAGCGGUGUUUGAAGAGCAGCGCUGGAGCCCGAGGACGGUUUGAGGGGGGGGGCUGAGCUUCGCCGGGACCCGGGCUGUAGACUGCACCUGAGAGCGAACCUGGUACCUGAGGGUAAGACCUGAGACGUGACCUCUGCAGGCGGAGUAAAAACACAAAGAAACAAAGAGUUUUAUGACGACAUAAAGGGGAACUUAUGUGUGGUAUUGUGUUGGCGUAAUUUCAGGAAUGUUGUUUCAAGUAGCCAGUGAUUUAUAACCGGUUUGAUUGUGUUAAUUCUCGCUGUCAGCUCGGUUUCUCUCUGAUUAUACUCAGAAAUGUUCAGUUUAAUUGCAGCACAUUUCACUUUCUAGCUCUUUUAAUUUACAUUAUUAAUUCAGCUUAAAAUAACAAUAUAUUCUCUCCUCUAACACGAGUUAUUACUGUACCUCUUCUUCUGCAUUUCUCUGUAGAGCUACAGCAAACAGCUGCCUGAUUAAUAAGUUAGGUCCUCUAAAUAUGGCUCAGAGUCAUGUAUCUUUAAAAACUACUUAAUAAUGGUAAUCAAGAUUAUCAACAACGUGGCAAUUAUAUCUUUACACUUUCCUUUCUUAAUUAUGUAUACUUCUUCUUCACCGUGGAUAAAAGGGGCUGCUUUCUCGGUCUCAGGUGGAUUGUUCAUCUUAAGUGUUUAUGAUGGUGUAUUUGUAUCACAGCUACGCUGCGCUCCCUUAAAGUGGCAGUGAGCUGAAAGGGGGCCUGUGCCUCUUCCAUGUGCGAUUCAACCACAAUGGAGGAGUUCCUAUGUUUUAUUUAUUGAUAUGUUUUAGUGGGGGAAGACCUAGUGUUCAUUAUCAUAAAGGCCUCUAGACAUCCAGUCACACACACAAAAGACAUACUGUAUCUUUUAACACACACACAUAUACAGAUCAACACAAGAGGAACAGGCCGCUUUGCUGCAGCUGCGACUCCUCGCCGGCUAACGUCAGUGUCAGAAGCUGACAGUGUCAAAGUAUCGUCAUCUCUGGCACAUAAACUGUCCCUGAAGCUGUCGUUGUGAAAAAGAUGUAAAACACAGGCUUUUUUUUUUUUUGUCUUCAUGGGGGGAAGUUGUUUUUAUUCUCCCCCUCUUUUACUCUCUCUUUUUUUUAAAUAUGUCACAUCUUUUCUGUCAGGGCCCUGAGGCGCCUGGUGGUGCUCGUGCUAGCAGAGGAGCGUUAGCAUGUGCAAACCCAGUGGAUUCUGACCAUACUGUACCUGCAUCUCGUUUAUUUUCUCCAAAGCUCAAAGGCGGGAAUUUUCAGACAGCCGUGUUGUCAUCUGAUCUGUGCGAGCGUGGAUCUUUAUGUGUAAAGGAAGAGGAACAGAUGUGGGGAAAGUGGGUAAAAACUCAAUAUGAACCCUGCAGAGGCCUUCCUCUCUCUGUUCAAUUAUUUAGAGUCAAAGAAAAAGAGGCAAGAGGAGAGCAUACUUCCACAGAAGCCACUGUGUUCGGCAGGAAGGAAUAACAUAUUUAUCUAGUCUCGUCUUUGCCAAAUAGCCAGAAAUGGAAACAAAUACCUUCAAUUGGAUUCUUGGCUCUGGUGUUUUCCUUUUGCUGCUUUUGCUGUGUGUGUGUGUACUCAUGUUGAAAAAUUCCACAGGACCAAAAAAUUAUAGGAGUUAGCGCUGACAAGUAGAAUUUUUCAUGGUAUGUAGAUGUACACUUGGCAGUUUCAGGCAAAGCUUAUCCUCUCUCGUCUCAUGUGAUGGUGGAGAGAGAGAGAGAGAGAGAGCAGAAAAAAAAAGAGCUCACCUAUUUAAUUUGAUUAGAGAUUAGAGGAGGAAAAGAGUCACAUUUCCUCCCUGGCACGUCUCUACUUGGCGCACUCUGAACCUGAUUUUAUAAAGAGAUGUCACAGCCAAGCACUACCGUAAUGCCUGUAAUUACUCUGAACUCAAAUAAAUAAAUAAAUUUGCUUUUCUUUGUGGAAGUCUGACAGGUUUUCCAACAUCCCAGACUAGAAAAAAAAUCACAGUUUGUGUGCUUUGGUGUGUACUUUCUUCUGCCUGUGUAUUGGCGUGUGGGUGUGUGCUUGUGUUUACAUAUAGUGAGGCGCUUGUAAAGGAGAAAUUCAGACAGGAUGAAAUUUUGACAGCUACAGUAUAGCUUGUUUUCCCCUCUCUUCUCUUUUUUUGACUGUGAUAAUCUUCUCUCAGCCGAGUGCAUUUGAGUCUGAUAAGGUUGGAGGCGCAGCUUUGUAAAUAAUAAGGUUAGAGUUUUUGCACAGUUGCUAGUGCCGCGCCUGAUCUCGCUCCUAUUAGUGACAAUUGGCUGUGACCUCACCUGCUCACCCGCGCUGUCAUCACUGAGGGUGUAUGUGCGGGAGCAGCAGCAGCAGGCGAUUAGAUCAUCCUCUCUGGUCAUAGAAGGAGACAUCCAGACAAACGCUGCUCCGCUGAACCAAAGGAGGUCUGAUGCAUGUUGUCAUGAAGGCUGGCUCCUUGACUUUUCAUAUUGUUCAACUGCAAAAACACUUUUCCUAUUUCCUGUUUGAGGGAGAAAACUCCGGCUCUCAAAAUCUCACGAAAAAUUAGCCUUUUCCCGCGUACAGGUGACUUAUACUUUAUCGUACAGGAAACAGAACAUUGAAAGGUGUUUGGAAAAAUUAGCCAACCUUCAUUUUCAUACAUGACAAAACAAAAACUCCAGUAUGAUAGAGUUCAGUACAAUCCUCAGGAAUGAUUACAGUGCCAGAUCAGCACCUUCCUGACAAAUCCAUGAGCUUCACGAGGAUCUGAGUUAUUGCAAAUCUGACGAGCUGGUUCCCAAGCUUGUUUGGUUGAUGUAACCCUACAGCCUUGUCAAAUACACCCCCUCAGCAUACCACAGAGAGUUUUUAAGUGAGCUGAAAUUGUUUUAGUUUAAGAGGUAAUCAUAUCAGCUUUGAUAAACUGAUUUGCAUAUUACAAUAAGUAUCUCCAGAGUCUUUGGAUAUAUUCAAGGGGGUUAACUUGACAUGACUUGUUUGUUAACUUACUUUUGUGUCAUUGUUUUAACUUCUCUAUCUGCUUGCUAACUAAUGUAAAUGUUCGUCUAAAUGUAUGCAAGUGUCAGCCAAGUACCAACCUCCAGUCUUGAGAAAUGGAGCGUAUGUGAAAGUGGUAUAAAAUUAAAAUUAAUGAUUGAUAUUGAUGCCAUUAUCGAUUCUGCUUAUCGAUUCAAUUCUUUAAUGAUUCCUUUAUCAAUGCCUUUCUUUGAUUUUAAAAAAGUAGACUAUAGGUUUUCACCAUGAACUCAAAAUAACAGAAAAGAUGUAUGCCACCUUCAGUGAGAGACUUAAAAAAAAUAAUCAAACAACAGAACUAUUUGUACAGCAUUUACUUUGGUAGGUUUUAAGUCGAAUUAGGGUGACCAUAUUCUAGAUCCCCAAAGAGAGGACACUACUAUGCGGGGCGGAGUCAUGAGCUAAAUUUUGAGCCACGUUUCAGAUCGUCUCUGCCUACUUUUCGUACCGUCUGCCAUGUUUUUUUCCUUAAAGUCUCUGUUCUCAAUCGUGUAGACUGGCACUCGCAAAACUGUUUUUCAAGGAACCCAGAAGAAAGGAAUCGUUAAGGGAAUCAUUAAGAUAAAAUGUAAAUGAUGUCGAUGGAUUGAACCAUUUAAAAAAGGUUCUCCAUUCCCUAUGUAAAACUGUAGUUUCUUGAGUGGCUCCAAAAACCCUUAAGGCCAAAUGAAAAAUGAAAAUGAAACCCGUUCACAGAUAAGUCCAGAAACACUUGAGACUGAAUAGCUAUCUCUUUAUGUAUGUAAAGGAGGAUGCCAGUUUUUGUAAAUAAUAUGCUUUCAAGAUAUCAAGAAAUGCUUAGGGGUGCAGCUAAUAUGUAUCUGUUAGCUAAGAGGCUAAAAGGCUGAUCUCUGCUUUGACUGAAAGUUUCGUUAAGUGAGGAUUUCCUCUGAAGACAUUGUUUGGCUUUAAAACUUACCAGGACUACAAACAUGUUUUACACAGUUCAUAGUGAUGGCCUCCUGCUUACUCAGUUUGCAUAUUCUAUUGCAAUUGUAAGUUUCUAGCUAGGUGUGGGUAUUAGCCGACUGCUAAAUCAGUUUGUAAAAUUGGGGGGGAAGAAGAUUCAAAGUGUAAUUACUAUUUCUCAAAACUAACUGAUCUACUUAGGAAUCAUGCAUAAUACCCAAAAGCAACUCCAUAAGUCUCCUCUGUGUUUUAAGCCUACUCCUUGUUUAAGAGACUACUCCAUGAAUAAAGUAAAUUGGUAACUCUUGAUGGGGAGAACUACUCAGCCUGAGGUAAAGCCGUACAUGCUGCUUUUAGAUCUGGGAAACUUAACUCUGAUUAUAUCAGAAAGCUUUUCAUUCAAGCUGGUAGUGGAGUCAGAAAGGCAGUAGUAUGUUACAAUUUGAUUGCAUUGUGGGAAAUGUAGGAUUAUGUGUUUUUGACGAUUGACCCUUUACUUAAAGGAGGAGCAUGUCUUAAAUUUUUCUACUGAGUCCAUCAAGUUUUUGGCAGAGCGUAAUUUCCAGAGUAGACUUCUCUUUUGAAGAUCCUCCGGGGAAGGCAACUUUCAUGAUGAUCUCUUUCAUCAUAUAGAUGCUGUGAUAAUAAUAAUCAAUGUAAAAAAAAAAAUCCUGUUUUUAAGCAGAAAGGAAACUUCAAAAUAUGGAUGUCAUUAAUUAGAAAUCAAUAGUUUUUCUGCCGUUCAAAGUAGAUUUAAAACUCUUUGUUUGAUGAAAAGCUGCCUGCUGUUAAGGUCACUGGUUUAUUCAUGGGACUGUGCAACAUUAGAGAAAUUUAAAACUGAAAGGAGAUCAGUUUUAUUAGGAACAGAACAUUACUGUGACGCUCUACACCAAUGGGUAAAUCUGCUCUCUCUUCCUCUUUUCCGUCACUUCUUUUCUUUUGAGAAUGACAGUCAUGCUGGUAUUCAAGGCCUUCCAAACCUCUCUCACCUCUCUCUCUGGUCAAUCAGCAGCUUCUCCCACAGUUUGCCAACAAAUACCAUCCUCACAAUGCCGCCGUGUCCCAUGAGCCUUUCUUUGUGCCGCAGCGGUGUCAAGCAGUCGCACCUCUCCAUUGAAGCAGAUGUUCAGGAUGCUCUUUACCAUCCUUAUCAGGGAUUCACGCGUACAAACUGCAACUAGCCGCCCUUUUCUUUUCCCUGACGAAGCCCCGCUGUAUAAAUUAUAGAUGGUGAAACAACCUUUAAACAUGUUCAUUAAAGACAACGCUUUCUUGAGGAAGAAGAAAACUCGCUCAUAAAUAUUUCUUUCAAGCAAAUCUUAAUACAAGCCCCCCCUACCCCCAACAACCCCUCCCCUUUAUCCCUGUAUUCUCUUUUCCCAGUCGAGAGAGAGAGACAGUGCCUCAGCAACCUUGACUGGAGACAAGCAGGAGACACGUGUGACUGGAUUGACUUUGCCUGUGAUGGCUGUUAGCUAGCUUUUCCUCCAGAAUCCGCCCGCCAUCCACCCGCCCGCCCGCCUGCCUGCCUGCCUCCUGCCUUCCUGCCUGCCUGCUGAUGUGCUAUUACUCGCUCUGGAAGAGAUGCUUGUGUGCAGGAUGACACAUUAUUAUCCUUUAAUCUCGCUCUCAGCUUGUUGAGCAUCAAAUUGAAAUAUCCUGAACAGAUGUAAAAACACAUGUGAGCCUGGGCGCGCAAGCUGUGCCGCGCUUUGUUUCAUCUAUCCGUGAUGUGAGCCUUAAGGAGAAGCUUUUUAAAAUUUCAUCACUAUUCAAAAGGAUAAUUAAUACGUACCCCCAGGCUUUGAUUAUGCGAUACCCAGUGUGUAGUGCUGGUGUUGCCAUAAUGAGCCACUCAUCAGUGCUCUGCCUGUGCCUCCCCAACAAACAUACAGUUUGCAUAAGGUACUUAAGAUUCUGCUGAGGUACCAUCAUGUUUCUGUGUGUGCGUGUGUGUGCUUAUAUGUGUGUGUGCACCUGCGUAUUUAUCUGUAGGUGUGUAUGCAUGUGAGGUGUGAGUCUAAUUUGCAGUACAAUGCUAUAGGUUAGAUCACACUGGUUGUUGCAGUUUGUUUACAAGAGGACCCCUGUCAGAUUGUCAGCAGAUAGCUAGGCCCUUCCUAUAAAGCCUGCCACUGCCUACACACACAUACACACACACACACACAUACACACACACACCGGCUUGUUUCCAGUCUAAAAGCAGUGCAGGAGCCGGUGGUUGUCAGUGAGUGGGUGCAGCAGUUGAGGAGAUGGACAGGCAGGUGGAGACAGACAGGCCGCUGAAUCCGAAGGGGAAUAUCAGGAGUUCACACAUAAUGAGACCUGUCAAUUUGAAUGCCUCAAGGCGAAAGCAGUGAGCAGGCAGUGGCUGACGACCCAGGCAGCCAUUUCUUCUCAGGGAGAAUAUUUCAGGGUAAUCUCUCACCCUUGACCCUGACCGGUCUCUAAACAAGACGGGUUCGGAGGCAAUUACUGUCGUUGUGUGGAGGUAACUACGACUUUCUGAAUGGUGUGAACUGAUGCCACUGAGAAUACAAAAUAUUCUGUUUUUUGAGAAUGACCUGCCUGCAUCAAGACCAAGAAUGAACAAUAUCAGGAUUCAUGUACAGUGAAAGGCUUGUUAUCACAUCAUCAUGGACACUAGAGGUCUGUGUAUGCUUUAUGUUUGAUUCAGAUAUUGAUGCAGAUAGAGCCCUCUGCACAUGCUCUGUGCUAAACUUUGUAAAAGCUUCACAUGGACUUAACAUUUCAGUGCCACAUGAAACUGUAGGGGCUGUGCUGGCAGUGUAACCAGCAUACCAGCAAAUUAUCAGAGUAGAAUACUGGUAUGUUUGUUUAAAUGUUCAAAAACUGAUUUCUUGCAUCAGACCUUUAAAUAUGACGCUGAAUCGUUUUUCCCACAAUCAGACUUACAUACCUGAAUAAUGUGACUGGGGAUGCAUAUUUCUGUGCAAGCCCCAAAGUUCCCAUGCUGAGAUUUGACUGGAAAAUGAACAGCAUGAAUGCAAUGAAGGAAGUCAGAUAGCAAACAAGACAUUGACAGAAGAAGAAGAUAGAAUAUAAAAAAGACAAAGCUGUAGUUGUAUUUGUAUGAAAGGUAUAAAACUGUGAUAUUCAAUAUACAACCUGUGAGCUUCUUGUCGGCAUGUUGUUGAUUGUUUUGGUACAUGACUCAAGAGGUCUCACUCCUUCUGCACAGAUCAGGUAAUUCAUCUUUUUUAAUUCUAUGGUAUAAUUUCCUGUCAUUUAUUAAGAUCUCCAUUAGCUUCGGCUAAGGCCAUCGCUAUUCUUCCUGGAGUUUACAUUAACAAUUAGCUCCCCAUCGCAGUGCAAAGACACAAAAAAACCAUCAGGCCACAAACACAAAGACAACGUCAAUAACCACAACAACUCACAACAGCCUACAGGACAAAAACAGAACAACAAAACUAGAACAAUACAAACAACAUACACAUAUGACCUAAUUCAUUUUCACAGUGUAGCUAAAGUUCUGAAAUAAUCACAUGGUCAAAUAUCAACUUACAUUCCACAUAACUGAAUUAAUUUGCAGAAACAAUAUAAUAAAGUUACUUCACUAAAAGGGUUCUUAUACAAAACUAACAUUCUCCUUCUACUCUUAUGUGGUGCAAUGCCAGACCAUGAAUCAGUAAAUCAUCCUCUCAUAUUCACACCUCACAGACUAUCCUUUCAGAAGCAAUUUAAAUUUCAGUAUUCUGCCUGUGGGCGUAAUGAAAUGUGGGAUCAAGCCAUCGCCCGAUCAAUUGGGGGGGUGAUCUACUCAAUCUCUGCACCACAACUGCCUCUAACCAGCCCCCUGAUAUGGUGAGUUAUGUGUCGAAGUAGAUGUUGGUGUCCCUAGGGUUUUUUGGUCUGCAACAAAGAAUUAGCAGACCUCACGGUAUCAUAACUGACCAAUCAGAAUUGAGCGUUUCGAAAGUUUGACCAAAAGAUUCCCCCUGUUGUACCAGAGAGGGUAAGCCUUACUUAGACACAUCUUUCGCGUGACAGCAAACAAGCCAUCACUGUCACAUGCUGAGGAUCUCCUCUGACUUCCUAUUCCCCUCACAAUGUGCUGCUUCUACUUAGAGAUACUGCAGGAUCUUGGUCCAAAGGAUCAGGGGGGUAUAUGGGGAAUAGAGAAUGUCAUCAGAGAUUUGCCCAGGGCCUCAGAUAGCCUGUGAUGGCGCUUUACCCCGCAUGUUCACACAGCGCUGAAGUGACACACGAGAGGGGCACUGGGACCUGCUGACAGCAGACGGACCUGCAUAGCUUCUCCGUCCUUAAAUCCAAUUCCAUGCUUGACACCAGGUGGAAUUAGCUUUGGACAGGUGAGUGAUAAGUUCCCUGGGUGAUCUCGCCAAAUAGAUCCAAGCCAUCUUACAGAGUAGUGGAGCCGAUGUCAGAAGAGUGAGGUAACUUAAAGUACAAAUAGUUUAGUAACUGGACUUAACGCUCAUUAUGGGAGUUUUUAGUUGGUUAUGAUCCAGACUGAAAUUCAUACUGAUGCAUCUUUGUCACCUAAAGAGGAAAUUACACCAUCACUGUGGAUAUCGAUUAUUUCUGUAAAGCUAUUUUAAACUAGCUAUUGCUAAUCCCCAGUCAUUAGUAAGCGUCAGAUGAGGGGAAUUAGCUUUGUAUCAUCGCAAAGCCUUUUUAAUAUUAUUGUAUUACACUUAGCCUUAACGUAAGUUGUGGUGUCAGUAAGACUAUGUUUAUGUUCAAGAGAGUCCAAAGAUUCUUUGGGAGUGUUAAGACAUUUUGAAUAAGUAAGUAAGAUACUUUCGGAUAGGAAUCACUACUUGCACAUGUACAAGAUUGAAUUAGGAAAAAUGUGACUGGUGUUGUUCUGACUAUGGGACUUAAAACUUUCAUUUUCUUGCACCUUUUAAUUUUGGCACCUUAAAAUUUAACUUAUAUCCUCUCCUCACGUGUCUGUACUUUUUGUACAUCUUUGAAGAAUUAUUGAUUAAAUUUAUUCUACAACUGCACAGUGUUCCCAACCUCAAAACCAAUUCAAAACUGAAAGAAAACACAAAAAAAGAAUAUUCCUUAGUGUAGCCAUCAGAGUAUCAGAAGCAGAACACUUAAUUAAAAACAUGCGAAGUAAAAUUUGCAAUUAGAAGAUCAAUUGCUGAGAGUGGUUUGUAGUGAAUGACCAUCUAGGAGAACUUUCGCCAUGUUAGGUAAACGUGAAAGAGCCAAAAUUGACAAGGUAGAAAAAGAGUCAGAGACAGAGGAGAUUCUUUAUUUAGGUGUGUGUGAAAUUGAUUUAUAAUAAAAAACUAUUUUAUGAAGCUAAGCUAAGUUUAGAAAUUGCCAAAACGUGACGUGUUGUUCAGAUAAAUUUACAUAGAAACAGCCGGUGAAGGAAACUUAUAACUUUGUACGAUGGUUUGCAUGGAUUUAGGUGCCAGUUUUUAUUUAUUUAUUUAUUUUUCUUCAUUUAUAUUUUUGGACAUUUUUUCUUUUAUUAGAUAGGACAGCAAAAGAGAGACAGGACACAUGGGGAGAGGAGACUGGGGAUGCACAAGAGCAUCUAUGUAGGCGUUUACUUUUGUGGGUAUGUUAAACAAAUACUUCUACCUUCACUUUAGCUCUUUUUCUUUUUUAACAAGUUUCUGCACUUUCACUCGGGCCAAGAAUCUAUUUACUUUUGUCACCUCUUGCCCAGGGAUUAAGAUAUUAAGUUGUCUUUGUGACAGAAACUCCAGCAACAGAGCGUAUGGUAAUCCAAAUCAGUGUUAAGGAUCUCUUUGAUAAAGCACCAAGACGUCUGUGUCUAUUUGAAGAGACGAUCUUAUCAAUUACUAAUCAAUAGCUGCUCCUGCAGCUUAAAGUGGAUAAAAUAUACAUUUGCCCCUGUAGAGUACAGCUCAGGGAAAAUCAUUACAUUAGCUUGUGCUGCUUGUUUUCAGGAUUACUGCUUUAUUGACUUGUGUAAAUGAUCAUUCACUAGGGAUGAAGUUUGAUUUUGAAGGGAUAAAUAAUGAAAGAGGAAAUUAUCAGGAAAAGAAACAGGACAAUUAAGGAGUCACAACGGUUCUUUUUCUCGUCUUUCUCUGCCUCCUUCUUCCAUUUUUCCUCCCCCUCUCCCUCUCCUCUUCAAAUCUUUGAGUGACAAUCAUGGUGAUACUCAAGGCCUCCUCUCCCUCUCUCCCAGCAUCCCUCGGUCUCCCCGGUCAAUGGGUGUCAAUCAGAGCUUGGCCCUCACGCAGAUUGGCAACAAAUAUCCUCACAUUCACGAAACAAUUAUGACCGGGCUGCGCUGGAAAUGGAUUCCCGCGUUGACUCUCCACAACGCGCUCCUCUCCUCCUGGCCGACGGGGUCCUGCCAUGGGAAGCAAUUAUCGCUAGAUGCCAGCUGACAGCCCAGCUCUAUUGCCAAGCGCGAUCAGCCCUCGUCCUCGGGCUUUCUCUAGGCAAAUAGCAUCCUCAACACUCAAAUCAAACCUCUUACCAACCAUUGGCUUCUAUCAGAGAAAGAGAUGGUUGCCUUUGUUCCUCCUGGACAAUGCAGUGGGAGGAAGGCGGAUACAGAAGCGGACAAUAAAGAGGAGUUUUGAUUUUGCAAGAGCUCGACUCAAACUGCUCCAUCUCCCUGGUGUGAAACCCUCAGAGAGGCCUUUGCAAGAGCAGGGAAGAGGAGGUGGAGGGGGAGGAAGUGCCGCCCUGUGUCACAGACUGACAAAGCAAAGGGAGAGGAAGGCGAGACAGGCUAAAUUUAAUGGAUGUCUGUCAUAUUGAUAGGCAUAUAAAGUUUGACACAAAGACGUUUUUUUGUUUUUUUUUUCAUUUUGCAGCUCAUUUUUACUCCAAAGUCGUCUGAUAUAGCACUUUGUGGCCCAAUGCUUCAAAAGUUGAUCUUGUGGGUACCUUACUUGGGUCUUUUCCAGAGGCUGUCCAGCAGCGUUGAAGUCAGGUGACACAGUUUACAGAGUGUGAGAGUAUACUUUAGGUGGAUAGAGAAGGAGUGGAUGGGUCAGACAUCAUACAACUUUUAUUUAGUGGACCUAUACUGUACAAAAUUGACAAAAAGAGCACACAUGUUGGUACCUAGUGUGCGAUACCCUUUACAAUUCACUUACAGCACACUACAUGACAUUUGUGUCCCCUUGGAAGUGUCACAUGAAGCUCACUUGUCUUUUUUUUGUGACACACUGCUGUAAAAAAUCUGUACAGACCAAUUUAGUUAAAUACCCUUUCCACUUAAAGUUCAGGUUUGGCUGGUUCAGCAUGCAUUUGCAGGUUUAGUGCCGCCUAGUUUGUUGUAGUAUUUUGGAGGUUACAGGCCCAGCCCAGACCAACCUGCUGCAUCCGACUUGUAGUAAGAAUGUGUCCACUAUUACUGUUUACUGCUGUAUAAUUCAAGGAUGAUGACAUAAAUGCAUAUAUGAGACGUGCUUGAAGGCUGCUGCCCUUCAAAAAAAUAAAUAGAUAAAUAAAAUACAUUUGGGAUCACCUUGUGAAGGCGCAGUCUUUGCCCUCUGCUGUGAUAAUUAGGCCCAAGUGUUACUUUCAGCUGACAUAAAUGAUGUUUAAUAAUGUUAAAAAGAAGCAAAUAUAUAGAAUAAAAAAACCAAAGGAUUAAGCUCCUGUGAAACCAGCUGCCAUAUAAAGGCUUUGAGUAAUAGCUAACAAUAGUCAAUUGUCAUCUUAGUUUUAAGACUGGUUUUAAAAGAAUAACAAGGGCAUUAAGUAUUUUUAAUCCUCAGGAUUUAAAUCCUCUGAACAAAAGGGUAAAGAUUGAUGUGAGAGCUGAAGAGGAUGAGUGUAAGAUGAAUGAGCCCAAAUUAAGAAAAACGGUACAAUUAAUCGUUAUAAAAGUCAAACAGUCAUCUGCCACUUUGCCUAUUAAUUGAAUAAACACAUCAAGGCAAAGUUCAGUCAAUCCUUUAAUCACUGUAAUUAAUGCACAUUGUUCUACUUCCCUCUUCCUCUCUUUCUCUGCCUCACUCUUUCCCUCUGCCUGUGUACCUAUAUUUGUGAAUUAAUAAAUUAAUUAGAAGACACACCGCCACCAACUAAUUAUCAUGCAAAUACAGCAGCAACAAAGCAGAGUGGGACUGUUAAUCUGUGCCAGAUCGUGGGUGAAAUUCCCCAAUGUGCAUAAGAGAUGUCCAUCGUGCAAUUAGAGAGAGGAGGGACUCGGGAUGGGGCAGGAGAGGAGAAGAAAGCGCCGCACCGAGGAACUGUCAUUUAUUCACCGUCAAAUUAAUUCUGCCUCCUGUUCUUUCUGCCUUUGUCUGUAAAUGCUCACAGUUUCUGCGUUAUUUAGUUUUUUUAUGCUCUUAUUCUCACUCCAUGACUGAGGAAAUGCUUCACAAACGCUAAAAGCCAUACAAAAUCUAAAUGAAAGGCGACAGCAUUUUUACUUUGCUCUUUAAGUGUUGACUAGAAAUAAAAAGAUGCCCAUGGUUCGCAGUAAUCUGGGUCUUAACCUGGGCUUGAAAGUCUUUGUUUUACUUGGUAGCACUGGUGCCCAGACUUCAUAAAAUUUAGAGCACCAGUAAAAAUUUAGGAGUGGACUACCAACAGAAAAUAAGUAUACCUCUUCACCUUUGCCAUCACCGACUUCAGGAGUAUCCCUCAGUGUUUCCUUCAUCAUCUCUCUGCAGCUUCUCUGAUUUUGCAGUAUUUAGCUCUCCAUCUCUCAACAGUAUAGUACAGUAAAAGUAGGAAAAGACUGAAGGUUUAUCCAAAUCUAAAAUCAGCAUUGAACAUUUAAGACUAGCAAGAGACCGAUUCAGUCUGCAGAUUAAUUGAGUCGAUUAAUGGCAUGUUGGCAUAAUCCUCAUCCCAUCGGCAAUGGCCCCCACAAGGCCGAUAUCACCAUUAUCCUUUCAAAGGAAAGCACAUUUGUCCCAUCACCAAUUACAGCAUAUCAAAUCUAAAACACCCUGGAAUAUGAAGCACAACCUAAUGUAUUUGUCUUUUUCAUCAGUUAAUUAAAAUUCGAGUAAUCUGCAGAAAUCUUGUUAAUUUUUGGUAACAGAUGCACCAAACAAAAUCUAGUGGCAUCUGCAGCCAUGAUGCAUUUACAUACCAGUCAUUGAAAGUAGGUAUCUAUCUGACCUGAACAUUUUCUUGAGAACUAGAGAAGAAAUUGCACCACACUAACUAUUUACACUUGUAUGCUCUCAAAUAUAUUUUACGGUCUCACAGAUCAAAUUUUGUGAGCGUAUGCCGCUAUAAUGGUCAUAAUAUCAAACCCUGAUAACAAAUUUAUGAGACUGGUUCAAACAGAGGGCUAACAAAGUAUUACGAUAUGCCUCAGAAAGCCUCUAUCAAAGUAAAGUUGACUUAAGUUCAGAUCUUUCCCCUGCUACUCCACUGGUGUAACGCUCCUUUGCAAACUCGUCGGCAAACACUUGAAGGCAAAAGUUAUGCUGAUGCUGCUGGUAAAGUAUCGAACAACCUUAACUGCGCCCCAGCAUUCACUCGUUGGCUCUGCAGCAGCUGCCAUGAUGUUUGAACUCAGUUAAUGCUUGCCUAAAGAAGCGUAUGAGCGGCAAAUGUCCCAUGAACUCUACAGACUGGUAUGGUUAAUCCAGUCCACAUGAGUUGGCUGAAUGAAUUUAUGUUUAAAUGCAGCCGUGAUAAUCCCAUUACCAAAUAGUGUAAACUGGACAAAGGGAUCUAAUAAGGGAUUUGUAGUUGAUAGCUUUUGUAUAUCCACUGGAGCACCUUUUUAGCUUUUGAAGCCCUUCAUAGAUAUAGAAAAACACCAGACAUGUAACGCAUCACCUGAUGUGUCAAAGCCAUUACGCUGACAGAUUUCCCCCAACUUUUAAGCAUUACCCUACUUUAAAAAAAAGUAAAAUCCUUGCAGGUAAUUACAUCCAUGUUUCACCCCCACACAAAGGCAGUGAUAAUCCAUAAAAUAAGCUCUAAAGAGGACCCUGUUUAAAAAUUUAGACCCAGUCUUGAUUCAUCCCGGGUGAAUUCAAAGCACACAUCAAGGGUGCUCAGUUAAAAGAAUAAGAAAAAAAUCAAAGAAAAGAGCCAAUCAGAUGCAGCCUUUUUUAAUCUUCGUGGCCAUGCAGGGUAAAUAUGCCACAAAAUCAGAAAACAAACAAGAGCAAAAAUGCCUUAUUAUGAGCAGCCUCAUUAUCAUAAGGCCCUAAUUUGCCCAAAUCAUGUCCUUAUUAGGCCCCAAAGUCUCUCUGUCCCCUGUGGGUAAUGAGGGUCCAGGCUGGGCUUCUUUCUCCCAGCUCUGACAUUUCUUUUAUUACUCUCACACUAAAUGGAAGCAAUGAUGAACAUCUCAGUCGUGUGAUUACUCGCUGUAUACCCUUGAUGUCAGAGGGGGAAAGUGGUGUGCCCUCUUUUAAUAUUUGAUUGUUUUUUCUGCGUAAUUUGGUCCAAUUCAUCAUUGGGGCCUUUCAUUUGCUCGCUCUGUGACAUUUGUCCUGAUUACUGGACUCUGAUAUUGUGUUAGCCUUUGAUGUCCAAUUUCCCCCCUCUUCUAUUUGUCCCAAUUUUGGCCACAGCGCGGGUGGAAAACUUUCCCCUCGCUCCAUUCCAACUUUUGCAAAGAGCUUAUUUGUGGUGCCCUGCGAAUGACAUGGCUAAAUUAUGCACACAAUUAUGAUAAUGGCACAGCUAGAUAAUCUAAAUGUUUGUUUUUAGCAUGUUUUGAUUGGUGCAUUUUUAAGGAAAAGCUAGAAUACUUGGAAUGCAGGCUUGCAAAACACACGUGCUACGCAGGAUUGGCUGCACAGGCUGAGCUAAAAGAAACCAAGAUAGGCAUCAAAAAAGAUAGCGAAGCCCAAUCACAGCAUUUAACGUUAUCCAGAAAACUGAGUCUGGGAUGAAAACUGUCCGAGAAAUAAUAAGCUGCUAGUCAAGCACCCCAUGUUUUACAGAUCAGCGUCUGUUUCCAAGAGCAGAACAUCAGUCUUGUUAUAAUCGCUGGAAACAACAAAUUAGAAUGUAAACAGCUCCAAUACCAAGGAAACCAUUUUUUGGCAGCACUGAAAGGGGAAAAAAAAGGAUCAAAAUCUUCAAAUUAUUCACUCCCAGCGUCUGUCUCGAUCUGUUUUCUUAUUUCCUAAAAAAACACCAAAAAUCCCAUCAAUUAUAAGUUAAAAAUGUGAGGGAAUCACAUUCAUUAUUUUCAUUACAUGCACCCACCAAAUUGCAUCAAGCUUAUGAAAUAUUUCUUCCUCCUGUUCAAAGGCUUGUUAGAGCUUGUAUUCAAUUACAGCUGUGGCUGUAACAUGCUGUCAGCUCUCUUUAGCCAAUCAUUAGUCAGGGACUGUUCCUCGCCGCACACCCGGCCCGGCAGAGUCGAGUCGGCGAGCGGACGACAGGCCCUAAUUGUUGUUCUGUGGCUAAAGGUCGACUAAUGAACCAGGGGGCUGACAGAGGCUGUCGGUGCGAGGGUGGCAGAGUGGGUGAGGGGCUGCGUUCAAGACCAAAAAUUCUGCAAAACUUUCCCUCGGAUCAAAGUGGGGAAGAAGCCGAGUGUUUUAGGGGGUUUUCAGCCUCAGAUUAGGUCUGUGUGAGAUGGAGCUUUAAGAUUUGAAAAGAUGGUAAGGACGUAGACAGAGAAUGAGAGAUGCAUGUGUCUGCUGUUUGAAUCAGAAUUAACCUUUAGGACCCGACUGUGCACCUGGUGCAAAUCAAUUAGGCUGCAGCACAAAUGUCACUUAGGCUGUGUUUGCACCAAAAGGUCGGUUUUCUGAUACGAACCAAAGCGAGGAUGAUACAUUGAUGAUACAUUGAUGAUACAUUGUUGCAAUUUCUGGUUCACGUUCACAAAGGCCAAACUCAAACGGUCCAAAAAUUGUCACGUGGCAGCCAAAGCCGUUCUGUGAUUGCUUAUACAGUUUAGGUGGGUAGAUGACAAAACCCUCGCAAUUUUUACUGUACAUCAUGAAGCAUCAUCUGCUCAUUUUUAUGUUGGUGCUGAUCUGAACUGCAUAUCAGAAGAUAUUAACGAGCGCACAUAUGAACAGGUGAGAAGACUGUGGCAAUUAGAUAAUGUAUUAAUACACGCACGUCGCAGGAGACGCUCUGCAGUCGGAUGGUCAUAUCACAGAAGAUGACAAGCAAUAAUGAGAGCCUACCUCGAUGUUUUUUCGAGGCAUGUUUCCUGCGAUUGGUGCAGAUAGGGUUCACACCAGAAGUAAACCGCCCUAGAGCUUGACAGCGGUCCAAGAUCACCCCUACCAGGCAGACCCAAGAGCGGUUGACUGGUCCGCACCAGAGUUCAAGGCGAGCGUUCACAUCAACCAAAACGAACCGCACCAAGGAGGUUCAGUUCAACUGGACUAAACAAGGCUGGUGUGAACGCGACCUUAGUGUAGAUCGCCAAUGAACUUGUGCCUAUAUUGGAUCCUGUGGCUGUGUUGGUCUGAAAAGAGGUGUGGUUGGGCAAAAAGGUGGUGCAUUGCCAUCUUGGUCCAGUAGAGGGGCUGAAAUCUACUUCGUAAAUAGCAACAUGCCGCUCUGGAGGCACACCUGACUCUUAAAGCGACUGAAAGCCAUCACAGUGAUUGGUCUCAGUUAUGUUACACCCAGAACACACCUAUAGAUCACUAAGGGAUCCAAACCAACCUCUUUUUUUCCGUUGUGCUUCACUUUGCACUCAGAUUGCACACCUAAAACAGGAGAAUAUGGUCUGACACUUUGGAGCCUCCCAUUUAGGUUGUUUAAAAAGAGCCCUCAAUGUAAAGUUUUAACAGACAAAAACUAACAGAUUGUGUUUGACUAGAGUACACAUAUGUUAAGCUUCUUUGAUUAAUUAGUUGUUGUUAAAAGAGUUUUAACAGCACCUUAAAUAAAAAAUAAAGCCCAAAAAAGGUUUUCCUCCUGUGCAACUCAAUGUUCGACUCAAAUUACCCCGGUGCAUGUGAGCUCUCUCUCUCUCUCUCUCUCUCUCUGUCACUCUCUCUCGCUCUUUCUAAUACCGUCCUGCAACACUCAGGUCUGACUGAAGCCCUCUAUACUAUAUGACAGCGCCAUGACGUGAGAAUGAGCGGCGGUAACAUGCGACUACUCCAUGAGCCCUUUUUUGGCAGGAUAACAAAGGGAAGCUUAGGUUGGCUGAGACAGUCACAAUGCUGCUGAUUCCCUUUGAGCUUAAGAGGACGGGUAGCUUGUUGUGAGAACCUGCCAGACCUUUUUAGGAGUAAUGAGGCAGAACCAGCGUACACUACCUACAGCAUCAACACACACUGAGGGAAGUCAGGAGAAGGUGGAGGUUUUGAUUUAACUGAGUGAGACAACACCAAUCCAAACACAGACUAAUGAUUCGGUCGGAUUUUGACCGUUUUUUAAAAUCCCUCGCUUUGAUCCUACACAUGUAUCAUUAGCACGUUGCUUAUUAAUGAGUUUGAUAAGAGAUGUCCCGGACAUCACGAAGAGUGUAGCACAAAGAUUCUGGGACUUGCUCUGUUAUCUGAGUCCGUGUCCAUCUUCAUUUUCUCAAACACUGAAAACUUAAAAUUGGCGAUAAAACAACUUUAGAUUCCAGACUUCUCGAGGCUGCCUUAUAUCAGGCAGAGUUUCCCACACAUAGAUUAUAUGUGGGAGGGCCGCCCAUGCAAAAUAUUGCGUGUAGUUUUGUGUUUAGUUUGGGCUGCAGGCUGGUUUCCAGGAAUUGUGAUUAACACCAUGGCUGUGGGGUCAGAAACAAAAACAUUACGAGACCCAAAAGUCGACUUUAUGGUUAUCUUUUAGACAGGGGUUACAGAGGAUGACACCUAUUGAUGUUAGUUUUAUCUGAACAGAAAUACACAGCUGGUGUUGUGGGUUCAGCUGUUGCUGCUGAAACUCUCUGAUUUUGCAACAGACUGAUAAAGAAGUGGACACAGAAAUUGGGAUGAUUUAAGAUUUUAAUAUCAGUUCAAUGGAUUAAAAAUCAGCUAUGACUGAGAAAAACUCUUGAGAAGCCAUUCAUUAGCUCAUAAUUGUAAAGUUGUACAUUUGUCAGUCUUUUUGUCUGUCAGUAGAUUUAAUAAGCGGUGACUAUUUAGACGAAUAACAGUUUUCAAAAGAGGUUUACUAUGUUGACCAAAAUAUAAGACAUGCUUUUUCUUUAACGUACAUCGAAGUGCGAAUCAGUAAUUAGUAAGGUUGAUAAUGUUGUGGAUGGUGUCCUGUUGUUGUGUUUAAAUUAUCAGUUCUAAAAACAGAAAUCUGCAUUUUAUCAACUUACUGUAAAAUCCACUCAUCUCGUGAGCCGGCAGCUUCCGGGGAUGAACUGUGUUUCUGCAGCAUCCAGGAACUUUCCUAUCUAACAGAGAAGAUCCUGGUAUUUAAAGACUAUCUGGAUCCAAUCCCUCAAAAACACAAGUUCAUUAUUUGGACUUUUGUGCCUUUAUCAGAGAAAAGAGGACAGUGGAUGGAGCAGGGAUGAUGACGAGGGAAAGCAAACAGGUUUAUCUGUUACUGUCUGUAAAAUCAUUCGCUCAACUGAAUUACAUGCUAAGUCAAUGGAAAGACGCGAUUAGACACUCCUACUCUGGCGGUGUGAAAGACACGAAUUAGGCGGAAGCUGAAAAUGUCUCAACUUGAGCGGAUAUUCACAUCGCGAUAACUAAUCAGUACGAAGGUUGCCGGGUGACGUAUGAAAACAGACGGUUGUUCACUAGUAUCGAUGUGUGGGUGCCCCGAAUUAUCUGAUACCUUUCCUUUGAAUUACUGAAACCGGAAUAAAAAGUAGCUCGCCCGGAGGCAAGUAAGUGAGGAGGUGGGAUUACCUGGUGAGUUGUAAAAAACCUUUGUCUAUCACUUGAUCCCACCAGUUGAAUUGGCAGUGAUUACAUUGAAAUUACUGUUGACGCAUGAAUGAAGUGAGUAAAUACUAUUCAUUUACAUGUCUAGAUUUGUGCGAAUUAAGCAAGUAGAUGAUUUUACUCCAUCCAUUACAAGGGCUAAGGUCACCCAGCUCCAUGAAGAUCAAAUCAUUGUGAUGUACAGAAUUUCUAGAAUAUAUCAAAAGGAAGAUUGCACUUUCUAGUGUUUUAAGAGUUUGACUAUGUGCCAAACGUCUGUGUUUUUGUUUCCCCUCUUCGGUAGUCUUUGUCAGUUAAACUAUGAAACAUGUCAGUCACAAAGCGAACAGUUCCUCUACCCAAAUGCACUUCAUAAUCACAUCUUCCUGGGGUGUUUAGUUUUCCUCAUUUACUCACCGAGCAGCUCCAGCAGCAGGCCUCCGUGUGAGUUUGACGAUGUCACUGCAUUUCAUCAGAAUACCCCAGACUCACCAUCAGUCUGAAGCAGUUCAAAUAACUCAGCUCAAUCUCUCAGCAGCCGACGCAGAGCCACGAGGCCUAAUAAGCACAUGCUAAAUGUGAUAAGCUGCUUUGUAGCUCUGUUUUGCCUGCUAGUUUUUUUUCUUUCUCCUCACCGUUCUUUUCUUCCACCCUGGUGAUUUACUCACUGCAGGCGAUGUGUGCAUAGACUCAAACACACCACAGAGCAGUGCAAAUAGACUUCUGUCUCAAUUGGUCCCUCGAUGUCACUGUGGAAAGAUACUUGGACAGAAGACAGGGGUAGAAAGUAAAAAAAAAAAAAAAAAGAGGGAUUUUUAUGUUGGAGAAAUUCAAGUGUUAAAUCACAGUGUGCUCUCGGAGGAGGUCGACUUUAGUAUUUUUAAGAGGCCCCUGUUGGAAACUGUGACUGGAGGCUCAGUACAACUCAUGAAAAUUCAUUCACAAGUACCUGCGCAGAGGUCAAACCAAAGUUUUCGGACAUGUUGCCAAAACAUCUCGCACACAUGAAAUCCAUUGUUGUCACAGACGUGAGAUAUAGGUGCCAUUUGGUUUCAGUUACAAGCUUAAGAGCAGACAUAAACGGAAAAAUGUAGCCUCCUUUAUGGCUGUAAUUGUCUUAUACUCAGAUGUAUGCGUGCAUGUGUUUCUUUAUGAAUCCUACUCAUAGACAAUGAGCCACUUAUGAGCCCAGCACUCUGGCGUCUCCAUCCUCUCUUACCAAAGGGGCACUAGUCUGACCAGCUGGGGGAUUGCACAGCCAAAGAGAUGAAAAGCAACUCUCUUCAACUCGCCCGAGUGGUACUGAUGGAACCUUUUAAGAGCAGAAUUGCUGCAGUGAGUGAAAACAUGGCCAACACUCUGAUGGCUGAUGUCAUAUCCCAGCUGUUAGCUCAAUCAGAACAGGUCCCACCACGGCUAAGUGAGUCUCGGCGCGGCUGCAUUCCACGUAGCACGCAGUUGCUCGAUAAAGCACAGAGAGGCUUUUUGAAGCCCCGUGUAUCCCCCGCUGGUACUCUUGUGACCCUGCUGCCAACUACAGGGUCUCCAAAGGCCUGCUGGUUAAAAAGAGCUUGGCUCAAUCAGCACAUGCUUAGACUGGCGAUGACUCCCCCCUCCCCGUGUUCCAGUUAGUCUAUCACUGUUCCCUUGUAUCACCCUCCACUUUCUGCAGACGGCACUCCCAUGCAGCUGUUGAGAGGUUGUCCCUUAUGUCAUCUUAAUAGUACCCUGCCCCCCCUCUGUUUAGCAUCCAUCUUUCAGCAACAGUACCUAAGCAUUUUUGUUUGAUGACAUCUUCUUUGUGUUUUUCACAGAUCAGGGCGCUGAUUGACCCCCUCUUUUCUUCUUCUCAGUGGGUGGAAUGUUGAUUGCACCGUAUGUUGUUGGAACUGGGAAUGGACUCCAGGCAACCCCAUCACUGUUCUAGUGCUUGAGCCCAGGACUUGAGUCCAGGACUUGAGUUUGACUCAGGUCCCAAAUUCCAGGACUCAUGACUCAACUUGGACUCAUGCACCGAUAACUGUUUGGUGCUCUGACUUGAUUAUUGACUGCAUUAGGUCUCAGAAGUGUGAGAGACUCAAACUUUUGCUGCGUCCUAGUUGUACUUGGAAGUUGACCUUCGAGUCGGAAAUUCAUCUGGAACAUCCCCUGAAGUCGGAUUUCUGACUCAGAAAGUCUGACGAUCCUCGCCAACCCUGACUUGACGACAUCGUCAUAAUUCAAGAUGGCAGUGCAGUGCAUCAACAGUAAAGGGUCACAGUGAAAGCUCUCGUAGUGUAUUAUUUGUUAGCACUUCUGUUUGGUUUUGGUGAAAUUGAGUAAGUGGUAUAUGAUGUGCUGCCCAAUGUCUAACCGUGAACACGGUGGUAUGGUGUUUUUAAGAGUAAAAUACUGUGUUAUGCGUUGUUUACAACUGGUAUAACUAACAACAACUCACAACCGCUGACAACCGCUAACAACAACUGACAAUGGCUAAUGACAGCUGACAAUUGUAAACAACAACUAACCACAGGUAACUGUAGGCAUCCAUCUUGGUUUUUGGACUUGUUAACUGGAACGCUGUCAACUCGGGUGUAGCGUCAUUCCCAGCUCCUACAUCCGACUUCCAAGGUAACUGAAGUGCAGCAUUAUUUGUUGAUAUACACUGAUUUGUUGUUGAUAUUUUUCGCACAGUCUAAAGCAACGACUGGCAUAUGUGGUCACCUGCAUUCAUGUUCCUGUGUCAUCUUGUCCAGCAAUGGUUCCUGACAGCAUAGGAAUCACGCUUUUGAAGAUUUUACUGUAAUUGUGAGCAAGAGCUGUACAGCAAAUGUGCAGUAUGUUACUUGGGUUUUUGAUUAUGCCUCUGUGAUCAAGCUAAAGAUACCAACGGAGUGCUGGAACGGCAGGAUACAAGCAGCUGUAACAGUUAUAGUAGCCAUCAAAGUGACUCAACUGCCAGGUCAAAGGAUUUUGGUUAGUUUGAUUCAAAUUCACUGUAGGAAGGUUUGAGUUUUUUAGACACCUCGACUCCUACACAGUCAGCUGAGGUUAAGAUAAUUUUGUAUAGUUUUGAGAGAAACUGUCACUUUCUCUGUCAUAAACAAUGACUUCAAUGAGGGCUCAAGUGGGACUUGAUCCAGAUAUGAACAAUGAGGACCAGAGACUUGAGAUCUGGUGAUUCAACUCCAAUACUGAGCUCCUUAGAAUCCCACAUCAACACUUGACAUUGCACUUUAGUGCCCAUGAAUGCUCAUGAUUUUUAAAUUCUUCCCAAUGUUUCAUCAUCUAAAAGACUAAUUUCUAUAAAAGAUGGUUGAAGUUAUCUCUUUUGACCACAGAAACAAAAUCAUAUUUUUCUGUAGGGAUUUUUAAAGCUGUUUUUGAUCUGGUUUACUUUUAGUUGGUUGUGGUCUUGGCAACUCAUACUGGGAAAAAUGAAGCCAGUUCUUGCAGCAUACUGAAGCACAAAAAUAUACCUUCUUUCCAGCAAUAUUUUAGGACCUCAUGCUUGAAUGAAAAACUUUGGCCUUUCCAAGCAACUCAAAUUAAUAAAAAAUGAACAUGUAAAGCCACUCUUAGCCAAAUAUAGUUGGGAAAAAAUGUUUUUAGGUAUUUGAAGCAACUUUGAGUUAGAAAAAGAACGUUUGAUGCAAUUUUCAGAAACUCAAAUUAAAGAGAAACGUAAUCAAACACCAAUUUGAACCAUUUCUAGAGACUUGAGAGCCGUGUUCUAAAAACUCAGUUAACAGCUGUGAAAUAACAGAAAUAUUUUCUCUCAAUAUUUCUAAUGACCCAAAGAAAAAUCUAAAUAUCAGGCAAAUCUUAUCGGUAGGAUCAUAUCUAAUUAUAUAAGAACAAUUACAUGGUGUCUUGUGAUGUCUUCAAUAUUAUAUAUAUGCGUAUGUCUUGGUCGUCAUGUUGGCUUUUGUGUAUUUUUCACUAUCAAGGACACUUCCAACCACCACAUCAGUGACGGGUGUUUUUGUUUGAUGAAAUCUUCUGUAUGGUUUUCACAGUUAAGGCUGCUGAUGGACACCUCAGGUUUUUAUUUUCACUGCGAGGAGUUGGUUGUACAGAGUAUUGUGUUGGAGUCCACUCCAGAGCCGUGUGUUUGCUGUCUUCUGGUGUCAACAGCCAUUUUAGCCUCCCUCUCAGCGUGAAGGGCACCACAUGGCCAGCAAACACAAGCACUUAUUCGGUUUUGACAAGCAGUGCCAGCGAGACCUCAGCCCAACUGUCAGGGAGUGUGUGUUUGUGAGCGAGUGUGUUUUUUGAGAGUCUGCGGAUGUUUUUGUCUGAGGUUUCCAGAGAGAGACUACCGGAUGAGAAUGGUCAAAUACCAGGUAUACUCUACUUUCUUUCUCGCCCAGGGCAAGGUAAGACAUGUUAGCAUUCAUAGACACAAAGCACUAGAGGCCAAAACAGGAAGGAGAAGUGGACAAAUGACAUGCAGAGCACAGUGAACCUCAUUUCGGGGUCAGGAUGGGGGAAGAUGGAGGGAAAGACGGAGUAACAUUUGUUUGUGUGUCUCAGUGUGCGGAUGCUUGUUGUUCUUCCGUUAAAGAGUUGUUAUUUUUCUCUAAGUAUUAUGUAUUCAGCACUAACACUCGACGGCGUGUCACACCAGACAUACAGGGAAGAGAAAAAAGAAAACAGAGAGAGAGACGGAGCGAGACAACUCCUGACAGCCUCUACUUGAUUAGGUUUCACAAUCCAACAAAGCAGAGUUUACUUAUUUACUCUAACAGUCCUCGACACUUCCUGCAAAUUCCUCCAACGUAAAAAAAAAAAAAAAUUUGAACCUCCCCAAAACAAGAGGAGACUCUAUUAUUAUUUUAAUUAUGCUCUUUUUAGUUUCAUUUCCCCCAGCUGAGAGUCAACCGAGGAGCAUGUGAGUGAAUGAGAGAAAAGCGAGUGUGUGUCGAGUGUUUGGAAACACCCAAGUGAUUCUUUCGGCAGGUACAAAAGCUUGUGUGUAGGAAACAGCUUUUAUUAAAGUCAAUACUUAUACAUAUCCCUGCUGCAUAAUUUAUGGCUACUUCUGUAACAUUAGAGCGAACACAGGAGAAUAGCUUCACACACCAGCACGGUUUGGAGUUUUUCAAGGGAAACGGUGUGCAAAAUAUGCCAAAAUCAGGGGAGGAUAAAAUCAAGUGGAAAAGCUUCAAAAAUACUCAAAUACUCAGGCCACUGCAGCACUGUCGAAGUUAUGAGGGUGUCUUUUUGCUGCACGUGGAAUAUGUUUUUGUUCCCAGUUAUUCAUUAUCCUCCAGAUCCCUCCAUAGUGUCUGAAAAUGCCUGUCAUAUUUUAAAUCCUUGGGCACAGAAAUGUAAAUCAUAGAUCUUCAUCGCAGAAGGUACUCGAGAGCAACUGGUACUCAAAAUUUACAACAGACUGUUAAAUCUGAGGGAGGGGGUUCACCUGCUCUUCUCUUUUUUGUACAGUUGAAAAAUGUUUAGAAGUACUUCUCUAUAUAAUUAGAGAUGCCAAAAACAUUAACAGCCACCAUAUAUCUGUUGUCUCAUCUGAUCAUUUUGCUGUGUAGCAGCGAAUAAAUGGUGAAUGUGUUUUUUUUUAUCUUGAGAGUCAGACGUCAUCCUGUGGGGAGUUUUUUCCUGUCAGAUUGAGGACUGGGUACAAUUGAAAUAAUCGUGUAUUCAUUAUAAUUUUUAGAAAUAAGUCAGGAUUUUUAAUUGGGGUUUAUUACAUGUAGGUUUAUAAGGAACUCAUCUGGAUGUUUUUGGUGCAGUACAGUUAAUAUAGAAAAAGAAUUGGAGAACUGAGUAAAACAGCAGCUAUGGAAGAAUAUCAUACAAUUAUGAUUUCAGAUUUUUAUAACAUGUCUGUUUUAUUUAAGGCCUAUUUUUCAAUAUAUAAUUGUGCAUUUUUAGUCACUCAUUUGGAAUAUGUGGUUGUAAAACUCUUUUUGUGAGUUUCUGGCUGGUUGUGACAGAAAUUAAUAUUGAUGCCUUUUUAAGAGCCACAAAAACAAAUGAGACAGUAGACACUAAGACAGCCUAUUUCUGUAUUUGACUUUUAUUUCUCUAACCUCUGCCACAGGAUUUUUUUUUUUACUUUCUUUUGACAGGGCAGCUCAAUCGAGGAUAUUAAAAGAAAUAUGGGGAGUAAAGGGUGGGGGUAGACAUGCAGCAAAGGGUUGUAGCUGGGAGUCAAACCAACUACAGUGCAGUAAGGACUAAAGCCUCCAAAUGUAAUACUGAUAAUAAAAAUGAUAUCUGAGUACAUGAGGCACUGCCUGAUGAGAUGAAUGUCUUAGUUAAAAAUGUUCCUUACAUAUAUACAGAAAAAGUCAGUAGAGAUAAAAGAGGUGCAGCUUUGUCUACAGGGGGCGCCAACAACGAGGCAAACCUGACAGUUUUAAGCUCCUGUGGGAAACUUUUGAUUUGUUUCGUUUUUGGUGCUCCCUCUGAUAGACAGUCUUUGCUUAUCUCAUCUUUAACAUCCUUAAAUACAGUCUUCAGAUGAGAAAUCUCAACAGUGAUGACUUUUGUGUUUAAAUAAUGAGUAUUAUUAACAUUUAGUGCAGGAAACAUAAAGACAGAGAUUAUUCUUGAGCAGCUCUUUGGCAUCUGACCCUUAAACUGAUUUUAGGCAUUAAAAAUUAGGGUAUCCAAAUUAUAAAACUUGUGGCUUAUGAUAUAGUUUUUCUACUGUUAUGAAUUUUAGUCUUUUUCUAUUAAUUUCAAAAAACUCCCCACAGUAGCUUUAUUUUAGCGCUAGAUACUUUGAUAUUGUUUAAAAUGUAGGAAAUGCCCCUGAUAUGGUGUCUAGUUAAAGAUUAGAUUUUGUUUAUAGAAAUGAAAAUUUGUACAUAAUAUUUGAGUUCUUUCUGGUUAUAAGAUUAAGUUUGAAAUGCCAGAUUUGUGUUUUUUUCUUGAUUGUAAAUUUUAAUUUCUGUAGGUGUCACUCCAGAAUAACAGUGCUUAGUUCCUCACUGCAGCUUUAAUGGGUGUUUCUCAGCAAACUGCAGCCACACCAAAAAAUUCUCCUUGGGUCUCCAUGCUGAAAGAUAAAAAGCUGUACGUUUGACUGUAUUGAAACAAUCCAAAAAGUCCAGAUGAGAAUCUACGACUGUUUAAAAGUGAAGUAAAAAUAUUCUUUUUCCCAUUUCACAUAUCCACCGUGUCAGACAACAGGUUAAUGGGCCAAAACAACUCAAUUAAAUAAGUCAACAGUUUGUGGUUCCCAUCAUUAGCGCUGCAGCCACGCAGGGCCAGAGUACUGCACAUUCCAGACUAAAGAAGGCCAUCUGGCCCCUGAGUGCACAAAACAUCUCUUUCACAUUAAGUGUUUAUUGUUUUCUUAGAUUGAUGCCGUUAAUAUCAGCCUUUCAGAAUGACAGAUUAGCAUCACCUCCUAAUCAGCGCUAUUAGGAGAUAAAUAUCAGUAAUUUAAUCACAGCGGCAAUUUCUUUUACAAUAAUAAGAUUUACAAAUGCAAGUGAUUAAGUAAUUAGCUUACAUCUCUGAAGAUUACAAUCCCCUGGACUUUGGGGCAUCUGGUUUUGUGAAGAUUACACAGUUUUGCUUCGGUCUGCCUUUUUUUUUUUAAUGUGAAUGAGAUUUGUGCUUGACCGAAGCGUAAAGCAGUCUGCAAAUGACCCCCAAAUCCCUUCAAGUGAUUUUUUUUCUCCCUCUUAAGUGCACCAUUUUUCUGAGUGGGCACACAGGGGAGAUGAAUGCCUUACAUUUAUUCCAAUUGAAAAAUUAUACACACUUGAUAAAAUAAAGCCAGGCUUUAGGGUGACGUAUCUAAACAGCUAUCAAUGAUUUCUUUGUUUCCAGGAGAGCACCGGCCCUUGGGCUAUCCUGAUUUUUGAAAAAGGUCUAAAGCUCCUUCUUUUUUAUUUACUAAGUAAUUUGUCGGUUAGUGUUAAUUUCCUAAAUGCAACAUAAAAGGAGUGCAGUGCGGUGAGAAAAAAAAAAAUUAAAGGGGGGGAAAUCAUAAAAACAGCAGAGAAUCAGGCAAAUUGCUUCCAUGUGUGUGCGGCUGCCAGAGCUGAAGGAAGCAGAGCGCUGCCUGACCCGCCGAGACUGGGCCAAUUCAGUUUGAAAGGCCCAGCUCUCUAAUGAAGGCCUAAUUUUUAUUGCCACUCCAUUGACUUCAAAGCAGUUCAGGUUGCCAAACAUAAUUUCACUGGAGGUAUUUUCAGGUGCACUGCAAAUAGUUCAUAAAUAAUUUCCCCAUUAGUCCAGCCGAUGCACUUUUUUAGGUGAAUGUUUCGUCUGUUAGGUCCCUAAAAAAAAAAAAAAACUCCCUUCCCUCCCCUUGACUUCAACACCACCAACAACAGCCCUGCAUCCUUCCUCGAUCCCUGCACCCCCGCUAGCCCCUAACCUUCGUCCUCCAGGAGCUUAAGGAGUCAAAUACCGCUUAGUGGCUCUGUGAGUUUUCUGUUGAAGUAAUAAGACAGGCCGGCCAUGGCUGGGCGCUGUCACUGCUUUGGUUUAAGGAGCCCCCACAGCCAGGAGGACACGGCUCCACCAUUACAGGAUUAGUGAAUUAAAAUAAAUCCAACCCCAAGAGACCCAAUCACCGUCGGCUUAUUGGUUGUGACCAUGCUGUCACUUUGAAUGGCUACCUGCUAUUAUUGUGUGAGAAAGAGGAGAGGAGAUGCAACAUUACCACGAUUUUCCAGGCUGAUCGACGAAUAUAAAAUAGGAUAGCGUGAAUUAUCAAAAAAUCCCAUUAUAGGAGUCUAAGAGCAAAUCUAAAAGUACAUUUUUAAGGUUUGCAGGAUUUAACUUUGUCAUGCCUUGCAACCCUGAACUAUACAUAAAAUCUAACAUUAUAGUUUCAGGAGUGUGAUUAUCAAUUUUGAAGGUCCAGAAAUAUAUAAUUUUUAUUUUUUUAAACCACAGCCCAGCCAAACACAGUCUGCAAACAGAGAGCAUACAGCAGGUCGAAUCAGGGUUUUACCUUUAGAUAGAGCAUGUUCACAUUUUUGAUGUGGACAAAGUUUUUAUUUGGUUUAGAUUUAUUAAAAAAAGAAUUUUGAUACCAAAUGAGCACUUUAUCUCAGCUUCCAUCUCUUCCUACCUUAAGGCUGCUUUUGUCAUUUCCUCUCAUUAUUAUGUCAAGAUAGCUCUGUGUCUUGCAUCCUUUGACAGUACAAGCCAAUCAGUCUUGACACACCAUGCUUUUUUAAUCAUAAAAUACAUAAUCUAUUGAUUUCUGAGUAGAAAUUUUUUGUGCUUUACAUUUAUUAUUUCUGAAAAUUCUGUGAACGUGACACACUGUAAAAGGUCAGUUGUGUUUUGUAUGCUGAUGUGAUUGAUUUGGCAGUAUAACAGGCAAAGAGGUAUUUAAUUACGAUACGGUUUAUCAGCCAGUAGAUGGCAUUUCAAGAAACAAUCAACCACUUUGCUGCCAAAUUAUGCUAAACACAGGCAAGUGUCACACCACCAUAUGAUAAGAGCUUUACAUAGGGUGACCAUACGUCCUCUUUUUUGGGGGCUGUCCGCCCUUGUCCAGCUGUGUCUGGAGAAGUUUAUAAAAUCCUUCAAAUGUCUGCUGUUUUGUACGAAAAUUCUGAGUUUGUGUCAUGUGGACUUACAAAGUUAAAGGCGCGUAAACGACACUCGAUCCGACGUGAAAAACUCUUAAAAUUAACUCUGUGCGACUCCGUGACUCCGCCCCUGCGUAGUCGUGUCUUCUUUUUGGGAAGUCAGAGUAUGGUCACCCUAGCUUAACAUCCUCAUACUUAUGCAUUUAAAGAAAACUUUAAGAUUUUGUAACUGAGCUUGGAACCAGCAGUAAGUGUGUUGUGUGUUGUAGCUAAGUCAUAGGUUGUGGGUCUGGCCUUUGACUCAUGCUCACACAAGCUAAAGCUAAUGUACUUGCAUAAUCUCUCUCUAUCCCUCAUCUACACACAUUACCUCUACCAAGCACAACCAUCAUACAAUUAACAAGCAGGGUAGUGAAAACAGACGAGGCAAAAUAGAGCUUCACAGCUGCAUGGAAACUACAUGUUUAGUCCAAAGCAGGAUCACAACUUGAAUUCAAGUAUUUUGUUCAUGUAUCUUAUUUUCAUAAUGUAUUUGCUGUUCAUAUUCAUAUUACAAAUGAGGACCUUUUACAGUACAGUACUAUCAUUAGCUCAUUGGGUUUAUUCUGUUUAUCAGACUGAGUCUUCUCACACAGCUGUUGACCCCUGACCUCUCCCUAAUAUGCCUGUUUUAAAGGGGAAUUUCCCAAAAAGGAUCAAUAAAGUGCCAUAUUACCUCAGCAGAAUCAUCAAGCUCUGAAGCUCAGAAGCGCCUUUGCUAAAAAUAAGGCGUAUUCUGUCAAAUCAGCAUUUUGAUAGAGAGUGAAAGUCCCCCGGUAUCCUGCAAUCACAAGCCUAAUUCAAAACAAACUAAUAAUAACAAGAAUCUCGGCCAUCAAAGCACACAUGUUUCCCAUUUACAGACAUGGAGGGAGAAAAUGUGGAAUCAUGAGGGCCUGUGCGUUGACUUGGCAAACUGUAAAACUGGUUUUUCCUUUUGUCCGUCGCUUUGUAAAGAACUUCAUAAAAACCCUUUCUGAUGGGUAAUAACAGUGAGCGCUGCACGGGCCAAGAUGAGUCAGAGGACUCUGGAAUCUCACAGACAGGAAAACAGAGUGGAGCACCCAUUAACCACCCCACCCUCCCUCCCCCACACCACAGCCCACAGUUCUCCUCCUUUUUUACAUGUAGAUGUUAUUAUUGUUCUAUAAUUGCGUUUCACUCCCUGAAGCGGACCAGAUCCUUUGAAGAGGGAGAAAUGGAGCACUUUAUUUUAAGCAGGCAGGUAUUUUUCAAUAAACUGGGCUGUUGUCAUUGUACACAUAACAUGUUUAACGUGAAAACAAGCCAUAAAUCACAGCAGUGAUAACUGAUUACUCUGAACUCCCUUAUUUCUCUCUCUGCCUCUGUUCUGUAUGUUUAGUCUUUGCUUCAUGGUUCAUUCACUUAACAUCCUCUGAUACCCGUCCACCAAAUCUGAAUAAUCUGCUUAAAUAACAGUGAAGGCAUGUUUGUGCCCACUGAAGGUACAACACAGGAUCAGUCCGUUAGAGAUGUGUGCAGAUUUAUCUCAUAGCAAAGAUCCUGUGAGGAACGUUCAGAAUGUGCAAAUUUUGGCGCCCCCUAUAGAUGAAACUGUACAUGUCACGUCAAUGCUGUCUUGUCUUGUACAUGUUUCAAUGGUAUUAUGUGCAUGCUUUUAUUUGCUGUUUGGCAUACGCACAUGGAAGGGCAGGGAACUCUCAUCACAGGACCAAAGUCAAGGGUGAAGAGAACACGCCUCCCCAUCCUCUUAGGGUGAGCUCCAGUAACAAUACGUGACUAGCAGUAACACGUUUGAUUGUUAAAGUUGUUUUUGAUGCACAAAGUCACCAGGUAGAUGUCAAAGUGAAGUAAAGCAUGAUGCAGAAACAGCUUUUGUUGGUCUGUUUUACAGUAAAUUCCUCACUUGAGCUUUGACAUCCACAUUAGCUCAGAAGGUAGAGCGUUCGUCAAAUGACUGGAAGGUUGGCGGUUCGAUUCCCCCCUUUCCCGAGUCUGUCCGUUGUGUCCUUGGGCACUUAACCCACCUUGCUCCCAGUGUGUGUCCUCCACUGGUGUAUGAUUGGUAGAUGUUGUGUGAUGGUGGUCGGAGAGGCCGUAGGUGCAAACUGGCAGCCACGUUUCCAUCAAUCUGCCCCAGGGCAGCUGCGACUACCAAGGUAGUUCACCACCACUGGGAUGUGACUGUGUGAGCGAAUGAAUGAUGUAUCCAAUGUAAAGCGCUUUGAGGGUCUCUGAAAAAGGGCUGUAAAAAUCUUACGUAUUAUUAUUAUUGUUAGAUGUGUAGUCAGUCCAUUCCUGCUCUGCUAGUCUGAUCAAGUUCCCUCUAGUCACUUUCCCAACUGCCUUGAGUAUGUAUUGUGCUGCAGCUCUUAUUUUUGCCUUAAUAUAUGACACAUCAGUUCAGCACAGGACAGAUUGAACUAGACAGGAUACCAGACAUCAAAACAACAUUAAAACAUCUGUUCAAUCUUCAGAUGAAAACAUCCUGCGUUGACUCCAAAUUCUCUUGCAGUGAACUAUGUCAACAAAACGUCAUAAUGAGCAGAGCCAGGUCCAGAAUCAACAGAUCAGAGGUUUUCAGAGGCUACUGUUGACAUGGAUGAGGUAAAGCUCAUCAUGGAGGUGGAAAACCACUGAUUUAGUAAUAAGUAUGAGGCAUCCAUGCUUUUGUGACUUCAGUUGUCCGGUGUUCUCUAAAAAUGCAGCCGGUGGGUGUUGAUGGAUUAGAGCCACGGAGGCAAGCUAUCACACAACCAGAGGAAAUUCUGUGUAAUGAUUUUUUUACCCACUCCUCUUGGUGCAUUUUUGUGUGCUUUUUAAACUCACGUUUACCAAAACAAAGAAAGGAGAGGGAAUUUUUGCAAAUGUACUUUUUACUUUUUGGAAAAUCAAUGCUACAAAUGUAGAAAAAAAACAUACAGAUAAAACCUAAAUGGGCAGCCAAGUUUGGUUCUUAUACAUUGGAGUAUCUAUGAACUCAGUUUCCAGAAAAGCUAACCUUUGCCAAAAACACCAGUAUCCAUUCAUCUGGAGUCAGGUUAGGAGCAGCAAUAUGAGCAAGUCAACAGAAACCUUAGGCCAGGUGAGAUCUCUGAUCCCUCCAGUGAGCUCUGGACCUACCCUGGGGUCUUCCUUAAGUUGAAUAUGCCCAGGUGUCCAGGAGGCAUCCUUACUAAAUGUCUCAACCACCUCAACUAACUCUCUAAAGCUGAGCCCAGCUACCCUUCAAAAGACACUAAUUUCUGCCACUUGUAUCUGUGAUCUGAUUCUUUCUGUCAGAACCCAUAGUCCCUGAACAUAGGAGUGGUUGGAACGUAGAUAAACUGGUAAAUGUAACAGGCAAAACCCACAGGGUCCGGAACGGCUCCGCUACGUUCCGGCAAAGCAGGCAGAUCAAAUCCGCAAGCAUUAUCAUCAAUGUGAGUCAUUCCAUAGAAUCUGUCUGGCAUCCAGCUCUGCUGCGGAUCGGCUCCGGCGGCCGGGUCAGAUACUCAAGGCUUCUAUUUUUGUCGGACGACGGAGCACGGCGCAUCAAUUCAGUGCAGUGCAGCAUGAGCAGCAGCGGAAUUUUGAUGAGGUUACAGAGUAAAAUAUCUGGUUAAUUUUCAAAACAAAAUAAAGUCAAUACAUUGAACUGUUCUUAACUUGAUAAUAGGCGAGGCCAGGGUUGUGGGAUGUGGGUGUUUAUAUACACCGCAGUUUAUAUACUUCAACCGGCGGAUCUUAUUCUAUGACUCCCGGGAAAACACGCAAGAGCUGGUGAGAUCUCGUCCAGUCCAGUCAGAAAUAUUGGUAAUCUCGCUAGCGCUUCUCCUCCGAUGGUGGCAGAUCAGAUCCGGUGGGCGCUGUAUGCUUGCGGAUCUGAUCCGCCUGCCUGCCGGUGCGGAGUGGAGCCGUUCCGGAUCCUGUGGGUUUAGCCAGUAUAGCUUUGCCUUCAUCCCUCUCUCUACCAUAAUGACCACAGUACUGCUGAUGCUGCACCAAACCCCAGGGUGCAUGAACUCCCUCAUUUGGGGAAAAGACUCACUCCUUACCCAGAGAACCAUGGCCUUGGAUUUGGAAGUCCUCUAAUCCUCGGUUGCAAACUUUCCAAAUGCCUGCUGGAGGUCCCUGAAGAAGCCAACAGAACCACAUCAUCUGCAAAGAGCAGAGAUAGAGUUAUGUGGCAACCAAACUUGGGCUGACAGCCAUGGACAGUUUUGCCAUCUGGACGAUUUAAAAUCUGACCAAUACCUCACUAGUAGUUUUCUACAUAAACAAAAUGAAAAAAAUACCCCCUAGUGUUGUCCUCUUUGGCCUUAACUCAGGCUUAAAUCAUGUCAAAUCCCACCAUCACACUGACAUUAUUUUGUUAAUUAAGAUGUAUUGCUAAGUACAUUAAGUAGCUGUUCAGGGUAAUCUAGUGAUUUUAUUGAAAGCCAAUCAUCAUUGCUAUUUAAUAGUCAUUCAUGAAAGCAUGUGAAUGAUGGAGGUAUAUAAACAGCUGGUGUUCUUCCUGCCUCUCACAUUGCCGCCGUGUUUAUCUCUGUCACUCUGCUGUUUGGGAUCUGAUCAAUAACACAAGACUGAUGUGUCCCAUGAUUCAUGACUACAGCCGCUCUAAUUCCCUUACACACACAAACCUUCAUUAAUGAGUUGUUAUUGGAGGAAAGAGAGCCCUUGGUAUCUGUUAAACACACAUGGCUGCUCUUAAUGAGCUCUCUUUCAACACAUACAGUCGUCUCUCUGUCAGUCCUACCCCAAGGUUUGAAUUAAGCCACGCUAGCUUGGAAGAGCGCCAUUGUUCCGCUGUUUUUGGUGAAAAUGUUCCUACAGCUGAAACCGUUACCAUAACCAUACUCUUGUUUCAACUUCAGCGCUCAUUUUUGCGCAAAGAAAAAUAAAAAGCACCUGUUUUGGCUGCAGGGACGUUAUUCCCCUCUGCUGUUAGGAUUGAAUGAGUCCUUGAGUCAGUUUGAUUUUUGAUGGAUGGAGAUGUGUCCAGACUGGCUCUCUGGGCUCCAACAGGCCCUAAUCCAGGCCCCAAGAGGCCUCCAGCCGUGUCCUUCAUCCAAUUCCGACUUCUCCCAACAGGAAAUGAGGGCUUCAGGGGGCACUGGUAAGGAGACAGGGAGCUCAGUCACAUGCAGAGGUACAGACGCACACAGCACAACCAGAGCAGAUGUUAAAAAGUCAGAAUCUAACCAUUAUAUUCAGAAAAAACAAGGCCAAAAAACACAGUUUUUCUGUCUUUUCUGGCGUGUCUUUCAUUCUCUGACAUAAAUCGGUUUGUCUGAAGUUGAGAUUUUACAACCAGGACUUACUCAGUCACCCCCUAAAAAACACAUUUCAGUUCAAAGAACUCUCUAAAAGUUUGGGGGGGCUUUUGUCUUCGUGCGAGCCGACCCCCCUCUCGAGCUGAUUGAGGCAGCCAUUAGACGAUCCGGACAUAAUUAAUCAGGGAGAGCUGCACGACACUGAUCUGCAUCAAACACUCCCUGCUUCCAGAUAUCUCCUCCAGAUUUUGCGCUAACACUAUCUAAUCUUACAAAAAUCACACACACACACAAAGACACUCAGUUAGAUUAGUCUCCAAAGCCCCGGCAUUAUGGGAGGAAUAAAGACAGUCCUCUGGUCCUUUGCUGACUAUCAAACUAAAGUGUAAUUGCUCUCUGGUGACUUCAUAACACUUGCAGGCUCAGGGUUUAACUCGCCUUAUUAGAAGACUCUCACAGUGUGUAGAGUCCAGAUUGAUGAGUGUAAAAGAGAGAAGAUUCAAAUCAUCCAAAGAGAAGUUUGGCCCUUGUUAUGAUUAUUCUGUGACAUGUUGUGAAGUAAUUGUCUGCAUUAUAAUGAAAUCUGGAGUUUUCCAUUACUAAGUCGGGUUUCCUGAGGCUGUAGUCAACAACAGCAAGACUUUAUGUAGCGCAUUAGCUAUGUUUUAAAUGUCAAAUUCAAUCAUAUGUUACAUCUCUGAAACUGACAAGUACAAAAUUUGAAAUUUGAGUCUUUUUAACAUGAAAUUGGACCAAUUUUCACCCAUCACUGUCUCCAUCAUGUACAUCCCAGUAACUCUCCUCACAGUUGUUUGCAUAAAGCUCCAAGAAAGAGAAUUUUGACAUUUAUUGAAUAAACUGAAAUUAAGCAAGAAUAUAUAGAAACAAAGAUAUUUUGUUUAUGACUCAUAUGUUGAUCAAGAGAACAUUGUACAUCGGUUUUGAGCUUCUUUUAUUGUAAUGUUUCUUAAACGGAGUUUUUCUUCAAGAUAAGUAAAGUCUGUUGAAGUUUGAAACACAAAGAAGAAGAGGAGCUUACGUUGGUGAGACCGUCUUCCUGAUAACAGCUGGGACCCAAGUGCAUCUAACUUUUGCAUUUGCGUUGGUCAAACUUCUAGGUUGGUCCCAGGAGAUUUCAUCAUUUUAAUUUAUAGUUUUUAUUUUAAAUUUUUAAUAUUUUACAAUUAGCAUUUAUUUUGCAUUUGUUGUCAACUUCUUAACCUGCCGACCCGAACUGACUAGCUGCUGUAGUUAGGCCUCCAGUGACAGCCUCACGAAGUGAAGUCAUACGGUUCAGAACAAGUCGCAGCACAGAAAAAAAGGAUUGUGUAAAUGUAAGGAGAUGCAGUAAAAAUAUUUUUAAUGCAACAAACUCCUGAAUGGAUAUUUUUCUAAGCAGACCGUCCAGGUUUGGCUUCUCCAAACAAAGGCUGUGCUGAGCCUAAUUUACAGUACUGAAGGCAGUUGUUUUCCCUUGUGGUCAGCGCCAUGUAGUUCACAAACGCAUUAUCAGCCUGCAUUUGAAAUGUGACCAGCAGUGAUAGCUUGAGCACGUAGCAGCUCUACACCAAGUCACCAGAUCCAAUCAGUGAUAAUAGGAGUGGGUUUGGAAGGGGUGUGGGAUUGUUAUUGGCUGGUAAACGAAUCAAGGAAUCACCGCAUUGAAAGAAAUUCCUACCCCCCCAAACCUUGCAUUUUUGUUUCUUCUUAUGCCAACUGAGAUUACCGCAUGAGGGCUUUUUUCCUCCUCCUUGCCUCGUCCCCCUGGUGAAAGGAAUUGCACUGACCUCUUCUAUCUAUUGCUUCCAUAUGCGAGCAGUUAUCUCUCUUGCAAAUGGAAAUGAGACCCAAAAUUGCAACAAAUGGGGCCAUGCCACUGAAUGCAGAUGUUCCCCGCUUCUCGCCCAGAGUACACAUGCCCGAUCAAAUUAACUUUAACCCCUCCGCCGACAGAACAGACAUCUCUUUUACAAACCCUCCACUCCGGCAAUUUGUUUUGAGUCAAAGCCCGAGGAACAACUGUACGUCCACACGAAGUAAAUAAGAAGUGAUGGUAUCAAACACCUGGACCAGGCUGGGGUUCACUGUAACCCCCUGCCUGGAGGGGCUUUCAUGCAGCACCAAACCUCUACUGUAAAUCUGUCGGUUUUUUCGUGCAUGGACCAAUUUGCCCUCCUGGUCUGUUCCCUCUUUCUGCUGGCUGUUUGACAGGGAACACCUGCUUGUGGGGUGAUUCUAGGGGGUUGCAGCUGAGAAGCUGCAGAAAUGGAGGGAUGAAAGAGCAGAGAGAGAGGGGUACAGAGGGGGGACGGAUUGUGAGAGGCUAACAGGUGCUUCCUCUGUUGGACUCUGGGAAAAGCAGAGCUCUGAUAAUGUAUGUAAAUGGGAGCCGGCUCUCUGUGCCCAUAUCCCUUCAUCAAGUCUCUCUAUCUCUCCCUCUUUCCACUCCCCCUCUUUCUGAAUAAUAAGAAAGCGCUAUAAAAGUGGCCUCACAGAUAAUUUACCAAAUUGGUUAAAUGUUGCUGAGAGCCUGGAGUGUUAAUAUGCUUCCAUUCAGAGCAGGCAGAGGUCAGAGGAGUCACUGGUUAGCAGGAACCAGACAGAAACAACAGUGCUCUGAUGAUCCCAUCCCACACAAUGCCCUUUAGGGUUGCUCUGUAAUGACCAGCACGUCUGGGUACAUUUAGCUUUACAUACAUCCACAGCAGAUAUGAAAUGUGUUGUUUACACACCAAUAGUAAAAGGCAAGCCUGCACACUUUAUCACAUAACAAAGAGCCACAUGUAGGAAUGGAUCCAUGGUUUAUCACAGCAGUAGGUUUACAAACACUGAGGUGGUUAACAGGGGUGUGUCCAGACUUUUAGACAGGGGUGGCCCAGCUGCAGCACUGACUCCUGCAGGGGUGGCCUUUUAAGGUUUACAGUGAGUGAAAAUGGCACUAUUCAGCAGUUUUAGUAGAUUCUGGAUUGAAAAUCACCUUUACUCACCCUCCCCAUAUGUGAAGCUUCAAAUGGGAUCAUGGCCUUCGAGGAUAACAGUCUCCUAUGAUGCAUGAUAAACAUAAUCCCCCAUUUGUCAAGUCUUUACCAUCAAAAAAGUAUUUCAGUGUGCCUCGUGAAGCACUUUCAGAUAUUGAAAUGCACAAAGUAGAAAUAGUCAGCCGUGUAACUAAUGGUUUUCUAGGCUUUGUGACGUCAAAAGGAAUUGUUGCUGAUUUCAGUCUGUUUUAUAACCAGCUGAGAUCCCCUCACAGGGACCCUAAAUAGUUAUUUUCCUUAUAAGUCUUUGCUUUGACAAGAUAAACAGUUCAUUCAAUUCAGGAUUUUGGGUGGACCAAUCCAAUUUUAACAGGGGGCCAAGCCACCCCUGGCCUCCUCUUUUAACACACCCCUGGAAGUUUUCUAAUAAAAGCCAUCCUAGAACAUCUCUAAAAUAUCCAAAUAUAACUCAAAAGAUAAAUCUAAAUUUCAUGCAUGAAGGAAACAUGACGAGCUGAUGGCAAGCGAGACAAAAGUUCUGUCAUGAAAAUCAAAUAUAUAUUCACAAAAUAUUUUAAUUCCAUGAUAUAAGAAAACAACACAACUCAUAUUUUUUAUUAUACUUAAGUAUCUUUAAUUGGACAUUUGUUCAGACUUUCAUAAAAUCUUAUAUUUUUUCUACAUAGGAACAGAGAGAGCCAAAGUCUAGGACCUAUAUACUACUAUAUACUACUUAGUGACAACUGUUUAAAGUUAGAUUACUUUGGCCUAGUAAAAAGUUUCGAUCACCUCCCUGUACCUCUUCACAGCCUCUAAAUGAUGUUGAUGUUGUUGACACUGUUUUCCUUACUGUGUUGUUUAGUGCAUGUUUCUUGCAUCGUGCAUGUACAUUUAUGUUUUCUUUCGCGGUGCCACCAUCUGCUCUCCUUUAGAGACCCUGAUUAAGUCUAAUGAGUGUUUCCAAGUCCAGUCCCCUCAUCUAUCUCCAAAGACUUAAAAACACAGAACAUGUCCCUGCUAUUUCUCCACUUAUUGCCUUUCAGCUUCCUCACGUCCGUCCCCCUUCAUCUUUCUCACAACACACAGCAGCAACAGUGCUCCAUCCCAUCAUUUAUAAGGGCUGUCAACUUAAUACACACAAAUAUUACAUACAUGUAGAAGGCAUGUGGGAUUGGAACAUACAGGUGCUAACUUAUUUGGCCGGGUCUGUUCCUGGUCCCGGCUAAUGAGGAGCAGGUGAGUGGCUGUUGCUUUAAUCAAGUGGAGAGUGGGCCGGGCACAGAUUUGCAGCUUGUUGAAAGGCCGGUCGUACACAUGGGCUUCAUUAUGGGGUUAGAGGAAAAUCAGUCAGGAACAAUUGUUUUCCCACUCCUGCAGCUAAACUGGAAAAGUUUUCUGCCUUUGUGUCCCACGCAGAAACUCACAGCACACAACCUUUGUCUGAUUUGUAUAUAUAAAAAACUUGGAUAGCCGAGUCUCCUGAAUUGAACUAGUGUUGUGAGGAAAGACAGUGUUGACUUUAUCAGAUAGAAAUGUGUGGGUAAAGUUAAGAUUUAUACCAGGAUAGAGAAAAUCUCAUACAUCACAAUAGUUACAGCUUUUAAAGUAAAUUACUACCCUUGUAAACCAUGGAUUUUUUAAUAGUACCGUGUAAAACUAUGUCAGUGAACAUAUUUGUUUUGCUCUUAUCAUUGUUGCACUGGGAAACCCCCAUUUUUGUUACACUUAAAGCCCAAAUGUUAAAACCAUUAUUGACUUAAACUUCUGUACAAAAAUGUUUCCACCAAAACAGAAAAAAACAAACAAACAAAAAAAAAAGUUUAACGACAUUGAAAAAAACAAGCCAACUCCUAAUUUUAGAUUAAAAUGGGAAAAAAAGGCACUCCAACAAACACACUCAUUUUUUUUUCGAUAAUCCCUGUAUUUGUCUCCACUGGGGUGCCGCAGGCGAAAUUUUAUUUUGUAGGAUGGUAGGGGAAGGUCCCGCCCUCCCUUGCCUCUGAUUGGCUAGAAGUGCUGGGCUCUGAUUGGUUAUUCCUUAUGGCUGUGAAUCGUCAUCGUCUGUCAGGUUAGGGUUAAGGUAAGAGUUAGAAGAUUUAGAAGUGCGCAAAUGUUCUGUAAUAUUCUGUUCAAUAUACAGAGCCGACAGCCAACGUUUGGCUUGAGUGUGUGAUGACGUUUCCAGCUUUUCUAGCCAAUCAGAGAUGAAGGAGGCGGGACUUUCCCCUACCAUCCCACAAAAAAAAAAUUUCAUGUGCCGCAGCUAGUAAGCUAGCUUUUAGCCUGUUAGCCAAACUAUUAAUAAAAUUAUUCUAUUAGUUUAUUGGGAUAACAGAAAAAGACUAAAGGGGAUUCUUGAUACAUAAUUAAACACGUUACUUUAUUUCUUAAAUGUUUCACCUGGUUUUAAAUCACUUAUUUUCUAUUGUGUUCUAUCCCCUUGUUGGGGAAAUACUGUUGUUACUCUGUGUUUUACAAAUGUGUGUUUUAGGGGUUUGGAGGAUUUAAAUUCAGAUUAAGGUUGAAGCAAAGUACAUUUUUGAAUGAUUAGCAAUAUUAGAUUAGCAUGUAAAACACAAAAGUUUCUUCUGUAUAAUUUGUGUUCUCACAGUUAGCUUGAGAGUUAGCAGCUGAUGUAAAACAGUGUCAUGGGACUUGGUAGAUCAUGAGUCAUGUCUAACUGUGUAAACUCUGAUGAAUAUAGAUAUAAACCAUAUAUUCUUUUUAAAUCUUUGCUUAACCAGGAAAAAAAAAACAUUGAGAUUUAAAUACAUUUUUCAAAAGUCUCCUCACUAAGACAGGCAGCAGCACAAACUCAUCCACUUAAAUUGGAAUUUACUGCCCAAAAUAUAUUCAAACUGACUGCACGACAAGUUCUGCAAGUAAGAUUUGUCUCACUAUGAAUCAAGCUUUGAGUGAUUAAAGUGGGACAAACAAAGGGAAACAAAUUAUGUUGGUGGGCCACAAGGAGCCGUUUGUGAUUCAUGGACCACUAGGGAGGUAUAAAAGGCACAGUCACACAAAUUAUUCCAACAAUUCAGACAAAUGAGCAAAUAACUUUUAGUCUUGACAGGAAUAUAUGAGUACUUUAGCAGAGUUUUAGCGAGGAGCCCCCUCAUUUUCAGUUUUAAAUGGAGUGAUUCUUAAGAAUUAUGACGUUAAGGGACUCGCAUGAAACUAAAGAGGCCUGUGUGUGAAAAGUUAACAUCUGCAUUUGAUGAAGAGCAACAAAUUUGCUCUAAAUAUGUCAUAGCUGGAACCUUUUAGCUACUUAACAUUUAACAAAUCAACAUUUGGUCUCAUAUUUGUUUGUAGAUUUAUUAAAGGCAGUCUUCGCCAUGUUGCUACUGGAAAUACAUAAGAGUUAUGCUUACUCAUUGAAAUUUAAGAUGUCAUUGAGAGUUGUGUCAAAUCAGUAUGGAGAACAUCAUGUUGCAUGUUGUGUUGUCUACACAGAGACAGAAGCUGAAUAUGUUACACCUUUCUUUUAAGUAUUCAUUUUUAUUUUUAUGAAAGUAAAAUAACAUAAGCAGUGUCCACGGAGACAAAUUCUACCCUCAUCUGUCUUUUUUUUCUCCUUGUGUUGGUUUCUCAACUCCCACAGCUUUAGCAAGGCCACUGAGCCUUCAUCCAAAGUUGCACAUGCAAACCGGGUGGCUUUUUUGUUUACCUAAACAAACUCACUUCAGAGUUUUUUAUAUUGUUUUUAUUCACACAUGGGAUGUGCAAAGCAGGUAGCUUUCUAAACCCGAACUCUAAUGACUUCUUAGUACUUAAAAAUCAUCUGCUUUCCCAGUAGUUGAACUUUUUUGAGUAAGAGACAGAGAUUGUUUUUUUUUCUUUUUCUUUUUUCAACUAUUCAUGAAGGCCUCUGUGUCCUAACUUCACAAUCUCCGCACUCGAAAGUUGAAAAUUAAACUCGACCCCUCUCUGUAUCCUGGCAAACUUUGGAAGGUCAUCUCCGAGUAAACGCUAGUCCCGCUUUUGCAUAAAACACCCCGGCUGAUCUCUGACAAACCCACUUAACGUGUCACUCCACUGACAGGUUCCCAUCAGUCCUCAUUAAGUCCAGCCGUGUCAGGGGUGUCAGCUGGAGUCUCUCACCAUACACCAACAGCCCCGCCAUAUGAAAGCAGGUGACAGGAGGAGUUACUGUCAUAGCAGGGGGGGACUGUGAACUCACACCAACCCCACUGUCAGCCUCUAUGACUGGAAAAAUACUCUGCAAAGAUGCAAUAACAAGGAGUGUUUUGGUCGGUCAUCGGCACAGAGCGGGGAACAAUUAGGAGUGUAUUUUUUUUCUCGCAGGGGUCUUUCCUUGGAGGCAGGAGGCCGUUAAGUUGUUUCAGAGACAGCCUGCACCUGUAAGUGCGGCUCUGUGAAGGAAGGGCAAGCGUGGGAGUGUGAAAAGAACUUCUCUUUAACCUUUGAACCCUGACCUUCAUGCUGUUUUAAAGUGUAAAAUGGGUGGCUGAGGAAGACAUGGCUUUAUGUUUGAUGAAAAAACCACAAGACAGAGGGAAAACGGAGGUGAAAGCGUAGCUAAGUUGAUGCUCGUUAGCCGUGUGAGGGAAAUGUGUUAGCUGUGUGACAAGUGAGGCUUUCAAUGUCAAAAGGUGUGAUUUUUAUUUGGAGUUCAGUGAUAUUUUUAACACACAGUCUGAAACACUGACUUUACACCUACAGCUUUAGUGCAAAGUCAUCUUGGGUCAAGUAUCAUUCAAAGAGACGCUGCCGUACUCAGACUGUGCCUCUGUGCAAACCAGAAGGUGCAGCUGCAGUUCAAGUCGGCAAACGAGUGAAGAAACAAGCCGACAAGUGGUGAUGUAUGGUCUGAGCGAAGUUAGAGCUAAUUGAGGGAUGAUAUCAGCAGACCAUGAACAUUUUUGGCAGGCAGUUUUUAAACUAAACCUUUUGUACUAUAAGGAGCUGCUGGCCCAUUUGGCAACAGACACGCUGAAGGAGGGACACCGAGGAACAUUUUCCCUGGUUCUCCAAUUCAGCCUGAUCAGCUUUCCAAGCACUGCGAGAGAGAAAACAGACUCUGUGUAAUUAGUCGGGGAAAGACUUAGCUUUACCAGAUGAAUCUUGAAUUAAGGACAGUUACAUGCAAAAAGUCGGUAAAAAGGAAAAGCAUGUAUGUAUAGUAUUCAUGUAUUUAGUAUUAGUUUAGAGUAGCAUUCUUUAUACUUAAGUGGCAUUUUGGACAUCACUCUCUUGGUUUCUUGGCUGCCAGAGUCGAUGUGUUAUGUUACGACUCUAUCCCGGAUGUAAGGUCAGAAUGGUAGCUACUUGUCGAUCACAGGUAACUUGAUCGUUUUGGAGGACACUGGAAGAAUUACGUCAGUGCACGUAUGGCAACUGUUGUUUUUAUUUAUUGUUCACAUGCCAAAUCGGUUAGCUACCAGCAUUCGUCUUUCCUGGUCUGGUUUGAUCGCAUGCUUGGGAAAACGAGCUCUUCAUUCUUGUAUUUUGGUGCUCAAUGUAUAAAAAUGAAUCAUUUUUAAUUCACCACUUCUUACUCUGUAUAAUUAAAUUCUUCUUCGUUAAAUAAGCUGAUUACGUAUUAUCACCCCCUACUGGUCUGUAAUGCAAAUAGCAUUUUUUUGAAAUUGGAAAAAAAUAGCUGCUUCAGUGGACGGGUUCUAAAACAAGAGUCCUUGCCUGUUUGUUGAGUUUUUCACACCCUCAGUUGAGAUAAGGUGAUGGUAAAGGUAUCAACCAGUUGGCUGCAAUCUGCAAACUCACCACUAGAUGCCACGUAAUCUCGCUAAUAGCUUCCUUAACUACAAAUUUACAGUUAAUUUAACAAAAGAAGUAUUCAUACAGCCUUGGUGUACAUGUAUGUGUGUCAGGUGGAUUCCUCUAGGACCUUUAGCCUCCCCAGAGUAGGAAGUUCAACCAGCAGGGUCUGCAAGUCGUCUGAGCACAUCCACUUCCUGCAGGUAUGACCACUUUUCCUGUUUGGCCGGUGGCCCCUGUGGUACAGUCUAAUAUGAUGUAUAAUGAACUGAGCAGCAGAGUGUCUGUAUAGGCUCCCAUAUAUACGUGUGUGUGUUUGAGUGUGUGCCUGCCAUGCGGACCGUAAAGCUGUCUUAACUUAAGGAGUGAUUAAUACACCCAUCACUUUCUAAACGCUGCCUGCCUGUUCUGCAGCCUCAGCCUCCACAGAGCAGACCAAUGUUUGCCUUUCCCAGAGCGCCCUCCCUUUACGACAGCGCGGGGUCAGAGGGAGAAAAGAAGCAUUCUUUAAUUUGAUAAUUAGUCCGUGGACUCUUUAGGGUGAAAGAAAAGGAUUGGCCUCAUUAGCUCUAAUUGUCUAAUUGCCUUUCAUCUAAAUAGUGCAUAAUUUUCACUUCAUGGAUUAUACAAAUACCAUAAACGUAGCUCUCUGUUAUUUGUGUUUCUUGCAACUUGCCUCAAUUUCUUCUGUCAGGACCUGCCUAGAGUGAGAGAUGAGUGUGUUUAGGUAGAGAGACGAGUCGAAGGAUUGGAAAAUAGACUGAGGGGAAACGGUGACAAACAGGACUAACUCAAGAGUGGGAGGAGCCAAAUGAUUUUUCCCAUCACACAUUUUUUUCCUCCAGAGUUUUUAAGAUUACAUCAUGUUCAAGUCUUUUUAUUGCUUCAACUUUUUGUAUUUCGCUUAAUGAUUUCCCUGAAUGUCUGACUUUGUGGCACUUUAUGACUCAGAUGUAAAAAUUAGAGCUACGUCUUAUUCAGUCCAGAUCAUCAUUCCUGUUUAAAGUAAAGCCCAGCACCGUAGGUGAUUCACCAACAUUAGGUCAGAAUUAAAAAUAAUAGGUGGCAAAAAAUCAUUUUCUUAUAUCCAAACAGGUUUUAAAGCUCUGUGAUUUGAUUUUCCAUACCCAACAGCAUCUGCAUCAAAGCAGACUCACUUUAAGGCACUAUGUGUCUCUUUUUAGUUCUAGUAUGCUUUUACCUUUGUCCCCUCUAUCAGACAGCCUGUUAUUUCUCUAUGCAGGCAACAACUUAUUCAAAAGCUUUAUUCCAGUCAUAGACCCAGAUCUAUAAAACUACACUCAUAAUACAGCCAAACACAAAUGUUUAUCCUAAUUAGGCUGAUUUUGCAAGCUUAAAUCAAAGCGUAACUCUAAAUUACAUCCAAAAUGCAGAAGAAAGUUAAAGUCUACUCUUUACUUUGAACCUAAAUUAAUAUCAAGCCACAAUAAAAACCUCAAACAAGCAUACCAUGAGACCAACAAAUGUUUUUGAAAAAGGCUUUAGUUGCUUUUGUGCUGAAAGCCAACUGGGCUUUAUUUUUAGAGCACAAAUGUCAUCUUUAUUCACAAGAUUAACAUUCAAAAUUGGUUAGCUGAUGCUUUUAAACUAUAGGACUAAAAUACUCUUGAUUUUAAACAAAUCUAAAUGAUUUACAAGCUGUAAAUUUUCCUUUGUCAAUACCAGGAACUCCCCAAAUGGCUGUUUACUGGAAAACUUGUGAGGGUCGUAACCGUAAAGAGAGGCAAGAAAGGGGAAUCAUCCUGUCUAAAGGUCCUUUCACACCAGGGCCUUUUUUUUUUCGUGCGAUUAUUUCGGACGUCAUUAUUUUUUUUGAACCCGUAUCCUGUCAGUACAAGCGUUCACAUCAGCGCCGUUUUCCCGUCCUGCAAUAUUGCGGCAUUUAUUUUUUGGGGGGAUCACGGUCGAUUUUUCCAAAGUUUUACAUACUGUGUGUCCACUUCUGACCAAUCAGAUUUCAUGUUGUUACGAUGUCUGAUUCACCGGUAUAUCCAACAUGGCCGACUGGCUGAUUGUUUACGUGUCGGAGGACAGAGUGCUUUUUGAUAAAAGACACAAAUAUUACAAAGAUAAUGACCUGAAGGACAACUUGUGGAGAGUCAUAGCGUCGGAUCUCUCAUAUGAUGAUGGUUUGUGUGCUUCAACAGUUUUCUAAACGUCUUUGUUUUAACUUUCAUCUGUGCUAAGUAACUUUAGCUCGUAAGCCAACCUGUUCAGAUACAACAAACCAUAUGUAAUUUCACUGUCUCAAACUCAAUGGUGUUGCUGUCACAGCGCCAUUAGGUCUCGGUUGUUACCUUACGUUUAUGGAUUAUAGUUUAAUGUGCUUAUCUGGUACUGGCCCCGACUCAGUACAUGCUAUCAUGACAGACAGACAUCUCAACACUAGUGUCUAAUCAGAACUGAAAAUCAGUCAGUCUGCAGUCUUCUCACUUCCACCCGGGACGCGUCUUUUUUCCCCCCCGGAAAGUCACAAAAUCGCAUCGGGCUUGAUGUGUAUAGUCUGGCGCGUCAAAAUUCGCCUCCGGAUAUUUCAUAAUUUUGCGUUGUAAGGACCUUAAUGCUGUAGACUUCAUUGAUAAUUUGAACAUCCUUAAAAAAGGCUAGAUUAGAACAGCUAAUAGUUCCUAUUCCCUGUCAUGUCAGGGUGGAUCCGAUUGCUUGCACCUUUAACAAAAACAUAAACAGAGCCGCUUGUCUGCCGCACGCUACCUCAGUCUGAGUCCCACCUCCUCAUGUGUUACACCCACGGGGGGCGUCAUCCUUCAGAAGAGGACCAGGCACUGUGAGUGAGGAGCAGCCUUGUCUUCAUUCCUCCUCCUGCCUCCUCCCCAAAAACAGAAAACACACUUAUCUGUGUUGAGGCCACCUGCCAGUGGAGGCCUGUCCUUUGUGUGGAUGUCUGUAUAAGCCUGGGAUUCUGUUACCCGGCUCCCUGGGGACGGCAGACACUGCUGUAGGCAAUAAAGCUACUGGUAGACUGGUUGUUCAAAGGGGAUGGUGUAAAGGCCAGAGAGUAACAGGAACAAGUCUUUAACUUCCAAGCUGCACAGAUAUAGACACCCAAUAUAGUCAACUGGCACAACUGUGACUUGCGUUUCUAACUUUGUUGCUCAGUGAUAGCUUUAAGAUCAAGCGUCUUUUUUGAAACUGGACACGUUACUGGUGAAUUCGAUCAGCCACUACUUAUUUGGAUGAAUUUACAAAAGUCAGUGCAGGGGACGGGGUCAAAAAAUGACAUACAGGAAAAUAAAAAAUAAAAAACAAAGACAAACUUUCAGUAUGACCAGCAAACAAAUGCAGCAUGUCAUUGUUGUAGCACAUUUGCUGAUGGUUUGUACGAACAAUUACAAGGUUAGGUGGAGGUUAGAUCAGUUAAACUUUCUUACUAGGUUGUGGCUUAGUUUCAAUAAGGUUAAAGUUUCAUUAACCUAUGUCGCCUCAUUUGUUAGUUUUGUUACUUCAAUGGCUUUACUUUCAUAACUUUACUUUUGUGGCUUUACUUACAUGAUUCUGUGACUUCACUUGCCUCAAUGGCUAUUCAUUUGUAAAUUUAUUCUGUGACAUUACUUUGUGACUUUUUGAAAGUGACUCUACUGUCGUGGUUUUGUCCACAUAACUUUACUUUUGAUGACUUCUAGUUUUGUUUUGUUCCGUAAAGUUACUUAAGUGAAAUUACUCUCCUGUUACAAGAAGUGCUAUGCAGUUUUAUAAAUAGCAGUUACGUUGUAACAUAGUUCAGUGUCUUCAGCAAAUUAAAAAAUAUUGCCUUAUUAGUUGGCAUCACACAGGACAAGAAAAGAGAGAACUGUCUGCUACUUAAGGCCAAUACCUGUGUACCAUCUUGUCCUAAACAUUAGUCAUUAUCAGCGCCUUAUUCUUUAAAUAGGGUUUGAAAUGUCAAAGUUCUGGUCUCGGCACAUGUCACUUUAAACGAGAUUAAAGGUGGAGUUUUUGCGAAGCGUUCAAACAACUACUUUUGUAUCUGUCUGGGACUCAUGCAUGAGACUGAAUGAAAUAUUUCAUCCUGGAUAAGGAAGACAAUGUUUUUUUUUAGUAUAUUGCAAUAGAUUUCGACAGAAUCAAAUACUUUGACCUUAAUUCUGAACACUUGAAUCAACAUCCGUCUGAGAACUUUAAUAUAAUUAAGUUCAUGAGUACCAGACUUAAUGCAGCACAGCUUAUUAAACUGUUGGUUUCAAAGUGUCCAGCCCUGCGAACUGUAAUUUCACAAAGGUGUCUGUCUACAUGACAGCUGCCUCUGAGGUUUGGCAUUCGCCAGUUGUUGACUGUUUUUAUACACUGGCUGCAGUUAAGCAAGUUGCCUGUCAGUAGAAAAAGAUGAAAAAAGUGCACGAAAGUAGCCUAGUUUUUAAUCGAUUGAGAAAAUAAAGUUCUAGACCUUUUAUGCAGUCUUCUGUGUCCUUUAAACACUACCCAUCAGGCCUUGAAAGGAUGCUGAAACAAUCGACUGGUGACGUUAGCUGCGUGUAGUCAGGGUCAGUGAGUGAGAGCUGCGAAUAAGUACUGCCCUGGUCUGAGCUUCUGCACCUUCAGAGGGCCUGACUUUGUUCACCUUGGUAACAAAUAUCUAUAUGUGGAGAGACACUGAAGAAAAGUUGUUGGCUGAAACAAGAGCAGCCUGUCAGAAAGCAGAGAGAGAUUGUGUGUAUUUGAACAAAACAAAGCAGUGUGUAGAUAGACACUGAAGACUGUCAAAAUCUCACCUUGAAGGAUUGAUUUUUGUUUCCGCUUUGGUCAUAUCUUAAAUUCAGUCAGACACUGCAGCGCGCCUUUGAAAUGUCAAACGUUUGAGGAUCACGGUCAUAAACAAUCACAAAUUAAAAGGCACAUGUCAGGACCUCAUUAGUGGUUUGUGUUACUGGUUUGUUCUGGAGCGUUGUGGUUAGACAUGUUUACACAGUUGUUGGAGUGUGGAUAGAUAAAGAAGCUUGAUUUAACUCUGUCCUCUUUAAGAACGAUCCAAGUCCACGAGCUCACAUGCUGUUGCACCAAAGAGGGAGAGAAAUGUAAUUUCAGGCUUCACCUUCCUGACCAGCUGUCAAAUAUGAUUGUAGGAAAGUAUUCAGGGGAAAUUUUCCCUUAAAUUAAAUAGAAUUAUGUAGUCAUUGUGGAUCCCGAGUAGAAGCACAUACCCAAGAGUGUAAUGACUUUUGCAUGUCUGUAUUAAGAAGCUCUCAAUCUCCAAGGUCUGAGAGGGAAAUACAGCCCAUCUGCUGAACAAGGCAGCAGGGAUAGAGAUGAUUGCAUCACAGGAUCAUCCAUUAGUGCUGUCAUCUGGAAUUCAGCGUUGGGACCACAGUGCAGUGAGCAGUUCAUUUAGCAGCACACUGCGCGUACAGCAGCAGAAGCAGUCUAUCAGCAGGUCAGACGUGCAGAAGGUUGGCAGUCCUAUCAGAGUGCAGACGUCACAUUUUGAAGGGAGCAUCUGUUACUUUAUGAUUAGAGGUGCACUGGCCCUCCCUUUUACCUUCAAUACUGGCCCUGAAACCUGAAGGCAUGCAGAGUACCUAUCAUAAUGUUGUACACUCUUUAACCAUUAUUAAAACAUGGUUCAAGACAUGGCAUGAUAUAAUAUCUGACCAAUUGUGUUGAUUCCCUUUGAAUUUGUUGACAUUUAUACAGAUUGAACAAUGAAGCUUUUGACUUAAGAGGGGUUUAGGACCCCGAUGACAGAUCUAUGAAAAAUAUCAAGUUGAAACUUAUAAACUUAUUAUGCUGUGUUGCAUUACUUACAUAGUAUAGGGAGUUUGAUCUCAGCUUUGCAUUGUAAUGUUUGCACAGAGCUUCGACAAGGAUUUAACAUGAUUUAAUUCAAUGCAGUAAGUUUGCUCUAAAGUUUUGCCAACUCAAAGGAGGUGUGGUCAGUUGUACUUGCCUCUUUAACUUACAUACUUAUAUUCAUCAUAUAUUCAGCUUAGUAUGAUCUCAACUAUCAUACACACUACAAGAAUAAGUCUAUGCAGCCAGUUCACUUAAUGGAAUAAACAGGUGUUGCUACAGUCAGCACAUUCACAAAAUGACACACAAGAAGAUAAAUGCUGCUGUGUUGAUUUUGGUCUCAAUGUAACAUCCUCGUAUUUUUCUAUUUAUACCUCCAUACUUUUCAUCCUUAUAUUUCUAUCAUGGUUUGCUCUAACUCUAAUUAUGCAACCUUAUCUAGUGAAAACCAGCUCUAUGUAUGUCAGCUCUGCAAGUUUUAUGUGUGUUGAAACCCCCCAUAGCUUGUGGCCACGAUCUUAAAUCACUUAUACUAAUCCAGUGACUUUCACCUUCCUAUAAAGGCUGCAUGGGUCUAAUAAGCUGCUUUGCUGACAAACACAGCCUCAUAUCUGGUUUGGACAGUCUUCCACAUGCAAAUAUAAACACUGUCUGGCCUAUAUUGCCAGAAAUUGCACAGAGAUGAUAAGUUACUGAGAGACAACAACACCUUACCUUAAAGCUGUAGUGAGGAACUUUUAGUUUGUGUUGAUUUUAGUGCCUCUCCGGAUAGGUGAUGGUCCGUAGGUGAUGUGUAGUUUUUUUCAACAAAGAAUCAUAAUCUAACACUUAUUGGAAACUAUCACCAUUAAAAAUGUAAGAAUAAAUAAAAAUAAAAAAGCGGUCAGUAAAAACAUCAGUCUGUUUGUUAACAGGCCGCAAACUUCUCACAGUAGCUUUAACCCUAUAAUGCCUGAAACCACAAAUUAUGGCCUGAAAAUUCAAAUUUUUUGGAGCUGAAAUGUUUAUUUUACUUACUUACAAAAUGUCCUUAAAAUUUUACAAAUAUGUUUAUUUAUCUCGUUUGAUACAUCAGAUGUUUUUGGAAACUGAUAAACCCCAAGAGGACAUUUUUUAUCAUUUAUCAAACUGUGUUAAGGUGUUUUUUUUAGUAAUUUGUUGAUCAUAUUGAUUAAAAGGAGUAUUAUAAAAGUGUGUAUCAAAUAUGAUACAAAAGGCAAUAAAGGGUUAAAGACAAACAACCGUAUGCUAUCACAUUAUUUUAUUACACUCAAUCUAAAUGUCCCUACAGUCUUCUUAUAUUCAAAGACAAUGAAGUAGUAAUUGAAACCAUAUUCUUACAAAUGCAACAAAUAGAUGUUUUUUUAUGCAACUGUUAUAAUUUAGGGUUCAGUUUUUUCUGCAGCUUUACCAGGCGACAGUUAUUCUUUUGUAAAAACUCCAGAAUCACUUACAUGGCAUUUUAAGUUUCUCAACAAAAACCUCUUACAGCAUUAAAAUGUUUCAGAUGACACCGUGACCCUUCCUAAGUUUUGUUUAUGGAUGCCAGUAUUUUGUGUAUUUUGCAUACUGACAAAAAUCUCCUUAAACUACAUUUACUGCUUUCCUCCUCGUUGAAUUUCACCCUUUUGUCAGCUCCUGAGCAGCGAGCGUCUCGGCUUGCUAACGAGGUUCUAGUGGCUGUUGACUUGAAUAACAACAUGUUAGUUACUGAUGGAGAGAAGAACAAAGAGCUUCUCCUCGUUACGGCUGCCGCCUGAUUGUUCUCAGACUUUUCUCUGAAGACGGCUCCUAAUAUCAUCUCAUAAUCUGCCAUCCUCUCCUCCAGAUGCCCCCGCCGCCACUCGCUUUCAUGUCUGACUGUCGUUCAAAGCCUAAUCAUUAAUGUGAUUUAUUUCUCGCUGUGUAUUAUUUUGUUCCUCUAAUUUGUUUGGGUUUUUUCAGCGCGGGUGUAAAUCAGAAUCAAAGCCAUUGCCACUGCUUUUCCCUGUCACCUCUGUUAAUGGCCUGUCUACUGGAGGUUUGCACUGAGAAGAAGCAGACCUGCUGUCUACCUAAAUCACCUCUCCAUCCUCUCCCCUCAUCAAAAACACAAAGAGCCCAUUGGCUACCAGCACAAACACCUUCUCUGACUGACCCGGGGCUAUAAAUCAGCAGCUCUGUGCAGUCGCAGGCCCAAAAAGUGAAAAUUGGCAAAGCUGGAAAACAAAAUAGGAUCAUUAAUCACCAUUAAGUUUGAGAAAGUUUUGAUUCUGAAAAUAUUAUGGCUUGACACCUUUCCCUGCAAUAUAGUUUGACACUUUUGAGAUAUAAACGGGAACAAAAUCGCAUUAAUACAUAAAUCCCAGAGAUGAGGAGACAAUAGAGCGGGGAUGAUUGUCAUCUGUCCGUCAUGUGAAGAAGGCGCGUAGCUCCUCAGACGGCGUGAUGUGUAAUGUGAUUGGACAGAGCUGUGACAGCGAGCUGUGACCUUCAGCUGCCUGCUGACUCCAACCCCCACCUAACCGGGUGUGUGGGAGGGGAGCCGAUGCUGCUGAUCAAUGGGGGCAUUGGCACUCAUCAUGUCAAAUCUACUCAAGUCUCUUUUGUCAUCCGGCCGGCGCUUUUCCUUCCGCUAGUCAAUCAAUCAGAGCGCUGCACCGAGAUGUUCAGAGGAAGAAGUGGUGAUGUUGCAUAAAUUCACCCUCAUUUUUGUGGGCUUACAUGUUCUUCUUUUGGCUUUAAAAGCUGCCGUUUUUCAUCAUCAUCUAAAGCGCUCUGUAAACUAUAUACACAUAAAGUCUGGUCUGUGUAUUGUAUAGCACAUUUGAAUACAAAAGGAGUUGACCCUAUAGAGCUCUGAUAGAAAUGCAUCAACUUCAGUCUGCCUCCGCUCAGGUCAAACGGCAAUCUUCAGUGUUGAAAAAUGAAGCCAAUGCAAAGAGUUAGAGCGAAAAACUCACUGUAAGGGAACAUGAACUUGUUUUUCAACUCGGUGGUUUUGAAGGUGGCAAAAGAAAAAAAAUGCACACAGUUUUGUAAAGACAGGUGUAGCUGAUUGGACGUAUUUUAGCUGUCUGCUAGACGGUUAAAGCUCCGCCUCAACUCCACCUCUGUGCCAACUGAACGAGGGUUUCCAGUUUGAUGACCACCUCCGUCAGACUUCAAAUAUCAGCCAGACUAUAAUUCUUCUAAUACUGUUGGGAUGCUUACUGAAACGCUUUGACAAAAUUAUGGGUUAGUUCAGCCAGCACAUGACCAAAUCAAGCAUUUUGGGUACUUGUAUGUCUAUAGUUGGCCCAAGGGAAUUGAGGCCAGUGAGAAAUACACAAACAAAAACCAGGAGAGAGUUUUAAAGGGAUAUUUCGGCUAAAAAUUGAUUUAGGGUCAAACACACCGUAACACCGAGUUAGACACCCCAUCGAGAGAUGAAUGUUGCCGACCGCUUGCUUCCUAGUUCUACCAACUUUAUUAACUACCGUACAACAGCAAUACACAGUGGUCUGAGGAGCCAUAGACAAACCUCAACCAAAAAGCCACUCUAAAGCCACAAAUAAUGCUCAGAACAGCACCUAACUUCAUCAACAGUACAUAUAGGGUCCCAGCCACAGCACGAGCCACCAAAUAUCUUUUUAGCUUUGCCUGAUUUCUUUAGCAAAGAGACUAAACACAACUCACCUACUCUCUUCCAGCAGACGCUUGUUUGUAGGAAGAGCUUGGGCGAGUCCAUCACUGACUCCAGGGGGGUGACUCAGCUCAAGGAAGAACAUUUAUGACCAUUACUUUAUCAUUUCCUUGAAGUAAUAAUCACCGUAGUUCUUCUGCCUUAGCGUCUCUGUCUGAUUGCAUUUCCAUGGAGAAAAGUCGGUAUAACUAGAGGAGCAAGCGGUCGGCAACAUUCAUGUCUCGAGGGGGUGACUAACUUGGUAUUAUGGUGUGUUUGACCCUAAAUUAAUCUACACCAGAAUAUCCCUUUAAGUUUGAUGAUAUCAGCACAUUUUUCAAGUCUUCAAGUAUUCAAGUCUCGAAAAAGUUAUACGAUCAUAAAAUCACUCCUCCUACAACUUAUGCAGGUCUGCCAGAACAGGAGCGAUACGGUGUCUCUUUUGUGUUCCAGUUAAAAGUUCUCGCAUCUGCAUUUGGAGCUGUAAAAGAGAAGAAUGGAUAAACCCCAUAAACAGCAGCGAGUAGCGCACAAACAAAACGCCAGCAGAGAGUUAUUCGUGUCGGCACACAGCCACAGCAGCCCUAAAUGAGAAUUUCACCAAACAAACACAAUCAGAGCCCUAUUACAUUUCUCUUUCAUGAUGCUGAAAGGAAAUGCAAACGAGAUUAGAUAACACAAAGGCCACAAGGCUCAUUUCUCUCCUGUGUCUGGAGAUGGCUAAAUGCUCUAAUUCCCCUCUCCGCUCAGCUCCUCAGGCCAAGUCCCGCUUUUGUUGAACCCAAACCAACUGCAUUAAUGUAAUGUAAAAUUGCCUCUCUCAGGAACGUUUUUUUUCUCUUUAUUUCUCGCACUUUUUUCUCCUAAUCCCCGGCCCUCUUAUUCGUUUCUGUUUGACUCUAAAUUAACUGAGCACAAACCACUCUGGCUUUAAGUGGGCAUGGCUUUGUUUUGAACUUUGCAAUUACACAGAGAUCUGUCCGUCUGCCAAGGGUUUUUGAUUCACGGUGCAGUCUUGGCAGUCGGAACAAUCGGAGGAGCCUGAACAGGAUCUAAAUGGAUAAGUUUGGACUGAGAACAGGCAGCGAGAGAAAAAAGGGAGCUCAGCUGAGGGCCUGAACGUCACAGCUGCUUGCCUGUUCACAACAGCAGCGAUAAAUGGCAGCUACAUAACUUCCCUUAAUCAGAUCGGAGCAAUCAGCCUGUAAAAGUUUCCCAUAUGUUGUUGUAGCUCAGCUUUUAGGGGGGUGAAGGAUGCUAAGAGAAAGAAAGGGGAAUAACAGGAGAGGGAUAAUUUGGAAAAAAGCUGAUAAAAAUGCAAGAGAGAAGGAAAAAGAGAGGCUGCGUUCAAGAAAGAGAAGUGCCAGGGUUACAGCCAGGACACAGGCCACAGGGAGGUUAGUGUGUCUGGCUACAAUUAGCCGCUCACAGGAGAGAUUGAGACGAUGCUUUGGGGAGCUAUUGGUCCUCAGUCAUUAGUGAUUAUUCAGUCAGAAAUUACUGACUCUGAAGGCAACGUGUGGCUGCGUCUGCGAGUUUACUAACACAUGUUUCCUUCCUUCACAUGCAGCCGUUCAGCAAGUUGGAAAUCUGAAAGUGCUUCAUGCAGGACGUGUUUUGAUGAUGUGGUUUUGAUUCCCUUCCUUUGCAGAUUUUAAUACGAUAUCCCAAAAUAAAGUGUGAUAUCACCAACACUUUUUUUGUUUUUAUAUAUAAUGACAAAGUGCUUCUAUAAAAUAUGACUUUGCAGCAGAAUGUACACAGAUUUCAUCCUUAGUUUGCCAAAUGUCUUGAAUGCCUGAUUCCAACAGCAUGGCAGCAGCAGUCUGUGUUAAUGUGAGUUUGCUCAGGGAAUCUUAUUAACUCUGAGCACUUUAUGAGAUGUGGUUACGAUUGUUUAAUUAAAUAAGCAUUAGGGGGUGUUUUUAAACUCAUAAAGAAGUUAUUCCAUUUCCUCUGCCUUCAACAAUCCACCAAAAUUGUGUGAUAAUUAAAACCCUCUAAGUGUUUCAUAACAGAGAGCACAUUUAAUGCCUGACACUUGGGCUCAUUUUGCACAAACACACACAGUUUACGGAGGAUAAAAUCUGACCGCAGGAAAAAUCUGUAAAUCUGCAGUUUUCUUAAAAUUAAGAUGUGACCAAAGCAAACUUUUAUUGACUUCAAGUAGAACAGAAAAAAAUAAGACACGAAAGAAAGAAGAAGAAAAAAAAAAACUCAGUAUACACAAGUCUGGUAAUAAUCUCAGUGUACGUUACGAUGCAGUGAAAACAAACAAAACCAAGAGAAUAACUUUUAAUAUAAAUCAGGAUCUGCUCAGUGCUUGGUUUUGUCAACCCUGUAUUUAUCCGCUGCUUAUUUGUUUUUUAUCGCAGCUGAAGUGCAGCGUGGUGAACAAACACACAUCUGCAACUUGGCACACAGUGUGAGGCACCUUCAAAGACUCAUUCAGGCUGUAUCAAGGGAUUACAGACUGACGCUCAAACCCAGGCAGCACACAGACGGUCCUCCAGCACAUAUUUAGUAAGUUUUUAUAAAGUCAGGCUGAGUUGAAUAUGAGUGUCAGCACUGAUGAUCAUACUUUUACCUUAGCAUCAUGACAGCUUUAGCUCAAAUUUAAGGAGUUUUGGACUUUGGACAAUUAUUAUUACAAGUUAAGAAAGAGUAGGAUUUUUGUUGUGUCUUCAUGGAUUUGUUUAAAAGAAAAAAAAAGUUAUCAGGGCUCUAAAAUAAUUGAUAACAAAUAAUCACUAAAUUUUAGCUGUUAAAAUCAUGUCUUUGAUAAUGAUGGAAUUUCCAUUAUUUUGUAUUUCAAAACAGUAUCUAAGUCCUUAUUAACAAGGGAAAUCAAAUCUUACAGGUGACUUGAUGGACAGAUUUUGUACUGACAGUGUGUUUCAACACAGAGUUCUGGUUUGGUUCAGUACAGCCCUGCUCUUGCGUAAUUUUCUGCAGCAGACUAUACCCUACCCUGGUGAUUUUUUUGGCAUGGAUUUUUAUAGAUUAGACCAUUCAGACUACAUGAAUCAUGGCCAAAAUUCACAGAAAAACAAUGAACUUCAGGCUCUUUUUACACAUCUUAAGGUGAACUUUCACUGGAAAAAAGCUCCAUUAUUAAAUAGCUGAAUGCCAUAUACAGACCAGAAUCAUUUCACGAUUAGCAUGUUAUCACAGACAGCCCUUUAUAUUAGAUAACACUAGCUUUGUUAGUUACAUCACUUCAAUAUGCUUUGUGAAGGACAAACUUAUGUUUAUGUGUAUUAUAACUAAUUUGAUAAUUACCUUAAAGCUCCUUUAACACACUUAAGGUUUAUGUUGAUCUUGACGCCCACAGUGACCAAAGCCUAAUCUCUCCGUCUUUACUGAUCGUAUCCCAUCCAGAUGUAAUCUAAUCGAUCAUGUCUUUUGUUUUUGAAGGACGAACAUUAGCUAACAUUAUUUUCAAUUUGUUUCAUAAACAUCUAAAAACUCCUCACUGGAGCUUUAACUGAAAGUUAUCAAAUAACUUAAGAUGGAAGUUAACUCCUUUUAAAAAAAAAACAACCCUUAACACAUAACCAAAUUUUAACAUGCUGCCAGGAGAUACUCACAUCAUAAUUUUAUGGCAUAAUGAAUGUACGCUGCAGGUUCGAAGUUUGUGAUUUACCUCAAAUGUAUUCAUGAAAAACUGUUAGAAGUGUGUGUACUGUUUGUUUUUAAUGGAUGUCAAACCAAGUCUCUGUUUUGACCCAUUCACACAAAGCAGACUUUUUGGGUCACCUGAAUUUAUCACCAAAAAGAAACAAUCUGGGACAAUCAAUGUCCAGAAAUAGUUCUAGGAUUGUACAUACAGCAUUAUAUUUUGAUCUUUUGGGACACUGACCAAGCGGCUGUGUUUUGAAACUGGGUACACACACACACAGACUCCUGCACCCCUGCAUUAGUACACGCAUACACACUCAGAGGCACUCACAAAUAAAAAACAAGAAAUCAAUGUAACCUGUAAUUUUUACAGGGCUGAUCUGAGUGUGUGUGACAGGCCAAAUCCAAUAGCUGCAGCAGGGCUGACAGGCCUGACAUGAGUCUUGCCUUGCUGGCCCCUCAAUUAUGCAUGGCCCAAUGUUUCCCCGGAUCUUAAUUGAAUCACACUGUCUCAAACUUGUUAUUUCUAAUUUGUUGCAUUUGAUUUCUGACAUCAGCGCUGCCGUGUCAUGAAUUAUGCAAGCGGGAGGACCUUUAAUUGUGAGUGUUAUUAAAACAAAACUAAUUGCGGAUGAUUAAAAUGUGACUGGGAAGCAGGAUGUUGAGGGCUUCACCCUGACACGGUUUCGCUACUUCUGCCAAAUAAUGAUUAGGUCUCAUGGCUGUCGGAGCUGUUGUUGUUUUGCGGUUGUGACUGUAACCUUGGGUGGAACAUGUCUUAUGGUUUAAUGGAGGGACAUUGAUACACACAUGCACAGGCUGGGAUGCAGAAACACAUUAAAAAAUCCUCACAACAGGAGAGAGCAGAAUUGGUGUAAUUCAUCAUUUCACUUCAAAACUUCGUUCACUUUUUAUUGAUUGUUCCUCAUGCAUUUUUAUUAGUUCUUCUACCAGAAAUUGUUUGAGCGUCCUUUAAAUACAGAGAAAAUUACUUUCAAUAUUGGCUUCUAUGAGACUGACAAUACACAGACAUUGACAUAAAUUGAGAACUCGUUGGAAUUCAUUCUGCUGAAGUGUAUCGUCAGGCAAAAGUAAUAUGGCAUUUUGAUUAAAUACAUGAGAGAGAAAUAGAGAAAGGCACGUAAAAGUAGAAAAAGUCAAUAAAGUAUAUGCCUUUAACAUUCCUAUAAGAUUGCCAGAUAAUGAGGACCAAAGAGUAUAAAUAGUGUGUUAGAUUUUCUCUUUUCUAAGGUGGUUUAUUACCUUUUUGUUCCUCACCGUGAAUUACACUUUCUCUUUUAGUCCCUAUUUAUGCAACUAAGAGCAGAACAUGAUUACAAAAUUAGAUACCGUGUAAAAUAAUUGCGCAAUUAUUCCAAUAAAGUCAAAAGCGUGCAUGUGUAAGGUUGCAAGAGGCAAAAUGAACGUUCCUGUUCUUCUCAUAAGAGAUUUAACAAUUGAAUCGUGCCUGCAGGGCAACAGCUCUGCACCUGACUGAAGGUGGGGAUCCUCGCGGCUGUGUUCCAUACGGGGCGUUGGAGAUGUCUGGAAGUCAUUUCCACAUGUGAGGUGGGGGGAUGGGGAGGGAAGGAGGUAGAGAGGGGGAAAGGGAGGGGGGGGGGGGGCACACUUUAGUUUCAUGAAUGUUCAAUCAAUUCAAUAGGACAGCUUAACUUUCUCUUUCCCUCUCAGAGCGCAUUUACGGGCCCACAGGCGUUCAUUCGCAGGCUACAUUCAAAGGAUGACUGUGCCUCAUGCAAAAGUGGGUAAUUUUACAUCUUGGGGGUGUGGGGGGGGUACAGCUGAAAUCUGUUAUAGAGAGGGGAAAAAAGGGGAAAAAAGUGAGACAAAGGGUGUUAUAGGUGUGAGAAUUAAAGAAAAGACAACAGAGUCUGGAAGGUAAAACCAGGGAUGAAGCACCUAACACAUGCAUUUUCCUCAAAAAGCCAGCAGGGGAAGCCAUCACUGGUUUCAGGAGGAGGUCAGAUUGCACUGAAGUGUGAGGAAAUAACAUUUUUCAUCUCACCUAAUUUAUCACCAUCUUACCUUUUACUAAAACUUAUAAAAUGUGAAAACUAAUAAAGUUUGUACAUAUAAAUAUAAUUCACAUAAGUUUAUUAUGUACAGUGUGUCUCGUUCACCUGUUGAAACAUUCAGUGCAUCAUGACAAAGAAUACAACAAAUCCACACUGCUGAGAGGCUGAAAUCCUAAUUUUGAAUACAUUUUAAAACUAAAGAAAUUAUUCCCAGAGAUGCAACACACCCUGAAAAAUGUGUGUCAAGAGUGGUAGGGGACACUGAAACACUCUCACUUCAUAUAUAACAUGAAAAAACUGUUUUAAAUCACCCCAGUUCCCCUUAUUUUUUAAUAGUGAUGGGCACGGCAGUUCUUUUAGAUGUACUGAAUCACUAGAAUUAGUUCACUAAAAAGAUUCGUUCAAAAGAUUUGUUCACCGAGUCACCGAAUCAUUCAGGGCUUGGCGGGAGGGGCCUGUGACUCUGACCUCCUUAACUGAUUCACAGCUAAACAGUUCAGGAUUCAUUUCAAUUCAAAGCUUCUGGGACCGAUAGACAAGAGUGUUUGGCUGUGUUGCUUUGGCAAACAGGUUUGUAAAAAUGAACUUGUAUAUAAGUCGUGAUAUUUUAAGUGUACUGUCCUAUUGUAUACAAUUUAUCAGGUCUGCUCAGUUAUUUGGGCUCAGAGAGUGAUUCGUUCACUGAAUAUUUAGAAGAAUUCACACUGAACAUACAACGUUCCCUCGCAAACCGCUGCAAUGAAAGGAUGCUGCAGGUUUUAUGCACUACUUGUUACAUGCUAUGUCCUGUUGUAUGCAAGUUGUUGUGGUGGCAAUUUAGCAGUAAAAAGAAGUUUGUUUUGUCCGACAAAAUUGAUUCCAGAGAGUGUAGUUCAAUGCAUGAUUCGUUUACUAAGUGAUUCAGGCAUCGGUGCAUGCGGUCCCUUGUUCGCCGGCUACUCGUCUGGCAAUGCUGUGUGCUAUAGCAGACAGCUCAACUUAAGUGAGAAACGAACGAAUCACUUUAGGAAGUGAUUCGGUUCGGUACAUUCACCUAAAAGAUUUGGUUCUUUUGAACAAAUCGUUCGCGAAUGACACAACACUAUUUUUAACACAUAUUCAUGGUACCCAGAGGGUGAACCCUGCUUACUCUUACUGCCAGAUCACUAACCAGUAAAGUUCGGAACUUGUACAAUAAUUUGUUAGUGACCAAAUAUGAAAAAUAAAAAAUAAUGACAUUCACAGAGAGCGUACCUCCAAUUACCUUUAAGUUCAGACCACCAUCAGCAACUUUAGCAUGCUAGCUAGCAUAUCAGCAACAGUCAGCCUAAUUGCAGUGUCAUUGUUGGAUGUUUUAUUUUCACACAUCUUCCGACAGUUUGCUCGAAAAGUCUCUUCUUUCCGAGAGUUAAACAAACAUUCAGCUCUGAUAGCUUCCAUUAGGAGAGAGAUGUGUACGCUACAGUUGAAAUGACACAGCAUCGGCCUCAAACUAAUGCUAUCGAACACUGAACAUUUGGUAAAAUGCUCUACUCUGAGCUAACACAAUCAUCUAUAAGCAGCCUCGGUCUAGGAGAUGAGGCAGGAAAUAUAUACAUUUCCUUGAACUCCCCAAACCUUACCUGUCAGAUGCUUGUGUCUCAGCCAGGACCUAAAAAGCUUUACCCUCAUUACGUAUGCAUACGCAGCAGUGGGUGACGUGACCUGCCAAUUCAAAAAGUCUAUCUUUGCAUAAAAGUCGACGUCAAUAAGGUGCCUUGGUGGUCGGGUUUCUGUCUAUAUGAUAAAGUAGCUAAGUAUAUUUUGCCCGUGCUUCCUGGAUGGCUGCAGAACCUUGUCUGCGGAGAUGACAAUUAGAGUCACUUUCCACCCAGGUUAGGCCAGACAGGCCCUGUCAACCACCGGCAGAGGAGAAUGGAGGCAGACAGAGAGUAAUAUGUGUACCACUCUGAUUCUGCUUCACCUCCUGAUCCUUGCACUGACCACUGAGGGGAGGGAGGGGAGGAGGGUGAGGCGGAGAGACAAAAGAAAGGAGCCAAAUACACCUCAGCAGUUACUGCGGAUCUAUUUCGAGGUUUUAAAAUUGUUAUGAGCUGUCAGUGAGUCAUUCUUGUAUUUUCCAGGUACUGUGUUUCUCAUAUCAGCUUUCAUGGACUCUCAAUGUUCUCAGACUAAUAAAAGUGCCAAAGGAAUCGUCUCGGAGACUGUAAAGACGCAAAAUAUAUGAUAGAAAAGGAAAUGAUCUGGUGCAGGGUGUAGAGACACACAAGCACGUGCACCGUGCAAACUAAGCAUCCAGUUUCAGAAGAGCUUUACCGUGUUAUAUUACUGUGCAGUCCAGCCAAGCAGAUACUUUAGGAAAUACAAACCAAAUUUAACAGGUGUGUAAUAAAAUGUUGUUUUUAGUCAAAAGAGUGCGUGAAAAGAAGAGUUAAGUUAUUCAAACACUGCAAAAAUACCUUUAAAGUAAAACCAUCAUCAGUCUAACAUGAACAUGUUGACAUUAUAUUUCUGCACUAAAGGAUAAGAUAUGAUUUAGUUGUAGUAAUAUAUUGUGUUGAAGCUGUAGCAUAGCCUCAGUUGUGUUCUUUUCAAUUGUUUCUGUCAUAAUUAUACAAUGCUCUGCUAGUCAGAUGUAAACAAGUACACAUGCAGAUAGCUUUUUACAGUGUAGCACCGUAUGGCGAUGGUUACAUAGAAUAUAAGACAAAUGGAGAUAAGCUGUAUGUUUGCUGUUGCUGGUUAAUCUAGCAUCAUAGCUACUCAACUCGAGCAAUUCACAGCCAGAACAGACAUGAGGCUUUGCUAACUUUAGCCUCAGUCUCCAAGUUGUUUUGGUGAAGACUUUUUGAUCCUCAAACUGUGAUUAAAGCUCCUGUGAGGAUUUUUUUUUUUUUUUUCCAGAAAUGAAAUAGAGUGAAAUUUAUACCGAUGCAUUUCAUGACAUGCUCAGAAAAACAAGACAAUUUCCAACAGAAACACUGAUUUUUAUCAUGUUAUUUUGAAUACCUGAAAAUAGUGUGAAGGGGGGUAGGUCCCAAUCAAGCAGCCGGAGAAACCGUCCUGUUUUUACAUCUUUGACAUUAAAUAUUUUGUGAAUUUGAUAACGUCCGGCUAAACAAAGUCUGCCCUGCCCACCAGGUGCCAAAAAUGACUCAAUAAGGAAAGUUCCUCACAGGAGCUUUAAAGUUGACUGAUUUUAAGGUUUUUCUUACCUUUAGAGUGGUAAAGUAAAAUUCAACUUCCCAUCAAAACAACUUUUAUCAUUUUGAAACUUGGUUCUAUGAUCAAGUACCAAAUGGAGGAAAUCAACUAACGUUUUAAUAUAGUUCUUAUUACUACAAGUCAUUUCUGAUUCUGUGGCUGUAAAUACAUUUAGUUCAUGAUAGGAAAUGAUAAAGUUUCCACGCACUAAAUCCAUGUUGUGUGAGUUAGCAAUCCAAUUGGCCAUACAAUUUUAACACUAUGCAGUCCAGCACAGCAGACAUUACAGUGUACUGGAAAAACUAAUAGUGAGCCAAGUCUGCAGCACUUCAGUCACUUUCUUACUUAAUUUGUGGUUCGAAAUACAGAUAGGAUGCUGGAAAAUAUGUCAGACACUUUCCACAAGCUGCACUUUUAUUGAAGAAUUUUAAUUUUGUUUUUGUUUUUUUCACUCUAGGAAUUGCUAUCUGUCCUACAGGAAUUUCUGUUUUCUUUUUACAAAAUAUCAGCAUGCUAACAGUGUCACCAAUGCCAGCACGUUUAGCUGUUGGCUUUAUGUCCUUUGAGACUAUUGACACGUAAUAUGCAGUAGGAUAGGAUAUUAUCCGGUGCAGUUUGUAGAGACACAUUUUGACAUAUUCAAUAUUUUAUGGGGCUUUAUGCGUUUAAUACUGCAUAGUCCAGCCAAGCAGCCAUUACAGUUGACGUGCAAAAGACGUAGCAAUGAUCUCAGAUCAGCUUUUUGAAUCUGACUCACACUCAGCCCCACUGUCUCCCUAACAAAUCCAAAGUAGAGCAGGCUGUCAAACGUUUUGGCACAGCAGUACAUGCUGUCAGGUCGGAGUGUGUAAGAAAUGUGCUGCAUGCUUUCUGUGUUGCAACUUCCCCGUGAAAGGAUUAAUAAUUUACAUGGGAUUACUCUGAAAUUCCAGCAUUCGCCACAAACCCGUGUAACAUUGAUUUGUUGAACUGUCAUAAUGGCACAUCACUCAAAGUAAACAAUCAUCACUUCACCAAGAGCUGGAGAUAGAUGUCUCUUUCUGAGAAGGUGGAAGACGGGAGAGGAGGAGGAGGAGGAGGAGGGGGUCUUUUUGCUCCAUUCUCGUGGUUUCCCAUCGAGUGGCUCGCUUCGAGCUGAGCGAGAGAGAGAGAGAGGGAGAGAGGAAAAGAAAGAGAGAGCUGUAAUUGCUGUCAGUCUCUCCUGAGCGCAGCCUUAAAGGCAGCUGCCGUUUCACAACUGAGGAGUGAAAAGAGUUUGGGCUGUGUGGCUUCCCCUCCAGGCCUCUGGAGGAUUUGGUGAGUUCUCUCUACACCCCCCCCUUCUUGUUUACCUCUCAUUGUCAACAGCGGCACACUUUUAGGGGAAUCAGAAGGCUAAGAGCCUAUCACACUCAGAAACAGAGACACAGGUAAUUGAAAAGAUUAUCCUCAACACGUCAUCUCUGAUUUGGGAGGUUUUCAAGUGGUGAAAGUUUCCCUCGGAAAUGUUGCGCGCAAAUAUCACAUCACAAAAGGCCUUCCAGAAAACAUCAAUGCUCAGGUUUUGACAUAUUUGUGUUUACUCUGGAUGCCUUGUCAACCACAUUGGCAGAUGUAUAUUCAUCAGAGCUCUUCUAUUUCUCCAUAAAGCGGCUUCUAACCUGACAGACUCAUUUUAUGUGCAUUUAUAACAUGCUUCAUAUACUUGCCCAAUCCCUCCACUCCAAGAACAGGCAUGUCAAAAGUAAAGAUCCACCAUAAAUGCAUAUUUUAUGUGCAUAUGUGUUUAUGUGGGCAUGAAUAAUGUACUUUUACAAAACCUACAUGUAUGCGUACAUUUCUAAAUGCACAUAUUUUCAGCUUUUAAUUGCUAAAGAGCACAUUCACAUUCUUAACCCACACUUUUCAGGCCGACUUAAUCCCUCCUUAUUGGCAAACAUUAGAAUUCGCUUAAAGUGUAGCCCACAGAGGUCAAAUUCCCUCUUAGGGUGAAAAGCUGCAGGAAAUUGCCUGCAUUAGGGAGAUGUAUUGGUGUGAAAAGAUCUCAUGACACACCGCUGAACAGGUCAGUUCUCUGCUGUUUGUUCCUCCUUGAGUUCCCUCGCUUUCUGUCUGCUUUAGAAGGAAAGGUAAUAAGAUUGUCUAAUUGGACGAUUUCCAUGAUUCAGGUCUUACAUUCAAACUUUAAGGAAUCAUCUGAAGCGUUAAAUGUAUUGAUUUAAUAUUUACUGAAUGCAUAUUUUAAAAACCUUGGUUUAUGCCAACUUAAAGUGUUGUAAUAAUUAGCACUGCCAUGAUCUUUUAGCUGACCGAACGGUUUUACAGAUACUGCACACAGAAAAUCUUGUCUACCCUUAUCUGUAUGUUGAAGCAAAGUACCAUUUGCUUCAUAUGUAACCUUUUUUUCAGUAGAUCUUAAGCAUUCAUAUUUGACACACCUCACUCCAGAAAAGCUGAGACACUGUGUAAAAUGUUGUAAAAACAGGAUUUGACUAAAAUUGAUUUAAUUUACGAAAAUACACUAAUUGGAAAUUUCAUGCCAGCAAUUUGUUUUGAAACAUUAAAGCCAUGUUGUUUGACCACCUCUCCUUUCAACAACACUUGAAAACGUUUGGAAACCAAGAAGAGCAGUUUUUGAAAAUGACAUGUUUCUAUAGGAUUUCAGAUACUCAACAGUUUGGGGUCUCCUGGGUUGUAUAUUUUCUUUGAUGGUGUGUCAAAUAGGUGACUGUAGGCUGGACUGAUUUGCACAAGGGCUCUUCUACAAUGGAGCCAUGCCAUGUACAUGAGCAGAACGUGGUUUGUUGUCAUCCUGCUGAAAUACACCAGGCAAUAUGUUGUUCCAAGAACUUUAUACCCAUGCUUGUGGGCACUUGCACGUUCUCAUACCAUCAUAGAUGUUUGUUUUUGAAUAGCGAGCUGAUAGCACGCCGGUUGGUCUUUCCUGUCUUAAGAAUGGAGGAUGCAGUGUCCAGACCUUGGCUUUAACCACAAGAUGCUUUCCCACUUCAUCUCAGUCCAUCUUAAAGGGGCCCGGAGAAGUCACUGUCACUUCUUGAAUAUGUUUAUAAAUGGUUUCUUCUUUGCUCAGUACAGUUUUAACCUUCAUUUGUGGAUUCAGUGACAAACUGUGGUCACUGACGAUGUCUUUGGAAGUGUUUGAGCCAAUGCAGUGAUUUCCACCACAGAGUUAUGUCUGUUUUUAAUGUCGUGUAACCUGAGGGAUUGAAAAUCAUGGCCAUUUAGCUGCCUUGUCCCUUUUGUACAGAGAGUUUCCAGCAGUUUCUUUCCUUUUACAUUACAUUGAUUAAAUUACCUUGGAUUUGUUGAACUGGUUGCUCACACGGUCUCUCACAAAGUCUGAUCCAUCUUCAGAUUAAGUUCAAGCUUAAUGAAGAAGACAUGAUUUACUUUGCUGCUCUGGUUGAAUUGUAGGUCAGUGUUGACUUGAGGUUUAUAUGGAAUGGGAGCUUGGUGUCCCUGCUGAAAGCCCAGUAUUUGUUUGAUAAAUCCUUCCUCCCUAUAGACUUCACCUCUGUAUGCUACAUCACCCAACAUCCUAUAGGCUUUUGUAUUGUAGGCAUAAUAUAAACAUAUAUCCAGCUGAAAAACAGCUGACACUUGCUAACUCCAAAAAGAAAGUAAAAUGUGAGUCUUUGCACACGGAUCUUUAUUUAGUAAAAUGUUUUCUUACAAGUGAGACCAUCUUACAGGUAAGUUGUUUUGGUCUCUUUAAACAGGAUUGUGUUGAGUUUCUGUGAUAUUCUCAGUAUCUUGACUUAUUGAAAACCUUAUAGGUUUAAUUUCUCUGUAAACAAGCUUCCAGAAACUACAAUGUAGUUUAACAAAAUCCUAUGUCAAUAAACUUCUGUAUCCAGGUCAAACUGAACACUUCUGUUUCAUCUGUAAGAUCCCAAAACACUGACCCUGAAAAUGUUCCUCCUACUAUAGGAAAAACCUCAGAUGUUAAUCAACACAUUUGAAUUAGUUUUGAGAGUUAAUGAGUUUUAAAGCUGCCUCUGGGACUCCCCGUCAAUAAAACUACAAACUCAUUUUAUUUUCUCUUUCAAAUUCCCAUAAAGGGUGCUUCCCAUGCAAUGCCGCGGAGCUUUACUUUGAAAUGCCUUCACUUUGAUAAGAAAUGAAUUAACGCUUUGGAGAAAGGCAGUGAAGGCAGCUCUUCUGCUUCUAUCUGAUACAUAUUCUAAUUGCUGAGUGCUGACCCUUUACUCCCGCUGAUGAGCAGCCGGAGAGAUUUUGACCUUGUGGUGUGUGUGAAUCGAUGGGAAGUUGAUAAAGCCAAGUUCAUUGCUGCCUAACAUAAAACAAAGCUGAUUUGUUUACCUAGCUAAGCCCGCGCGUGUCAAUCCCAUUACGGGAUGAUUUAUAGACCAGCACCCAAUGAAAUUGUUUAAAGCAGAUUAGGUAGAGCCAACGAUCACCACUAAUAUGACAAGCUGAUAUGCUGUGACAGGUAACCAAGCAAACAAGUUCCUGAAAUUCAGAUUGAAUUAGAAUCCUAAUAAUCCUACAGGGAGCUGCAGAUUUAAUCAGGAGAGGAGAGGAGGAAGAGGGGAGAAGAAAAGGGGAUGAAGGAUGCGUGUUCUUAGGCCGCAUGGGGGGGACGCCACCUCUUUUGUGAUUUACUUGUCAGGGAGCAUCACUCAGCUUGUGUGAAAAGGAGAAAGUGAGAAGAAGAGAGCCUCCAUACUAAUACACAUCCAAUAAUUUCAAGGACGCUCCGAUAAAAGAGAUUAUUCUUUGAAUCUUCUGUCCUAACAUACACCCCUGCGUCUAUCUGUGUGUCUGCAGCUGGAGUCCAGAAAUUAAUUCGGUUAAAAAUGGUAUUACAAGAUCAAAUAUCCCAAGAGAAAGUAUUUGUUUUUUAACGUUAUACAAUAUGCAUGUGGUGUAUUGUGUUACAUACAAAUGUGGCGCCACAAAUAGAAAUAUUAAUGUAAUUUAAUGUGCAAAGACUCCACUAAAGGAUACAAGGAGCCGAUGUCCCCUCAGAAUGAUAAAAGACUCCCUUAAUGGUAUGGAUAUUGUGUUGCAAUAAAAUCUAGUUUAAGGUCAUAGUACAACUGGAACAUCAAGUAUUUAAAAGUGGAAAAGUAAUCAGAGGAUGUAGUUUAAAGCUCACUAAUAUCUCUGCGAGUUUCUGCAUAUUCAUCAUUCGUCCUAUCAGCCUCUUUUUUCUUGUUUAUUUGAAAAUAAUGAGAACAAAAUGAGGAAUAAUACUUCUUUUCUUGGACACUGAUUGCAUCUAAAUUAUGGUAUUAAUGUUUAACUAAGGUGUAUUGUUUGGACAUUUGAAUAUGCAUGAAAGUCAUCAUUACAUUUCCAGGACAGAAAUUUGCCAGAUUCUUACAGCACACAUAUAAUAUGCAUGUUUAAUAUAUCUGCUUCUCUCAGAACACAAUUAAAAACUUUUGAUAGAUAUUAUUCUCUCGGUUGAAGAUUGGUCGGUCACUGCAAUGCAAGCAAAUGAAUCUGCUACAUUUGUGUGCUUUAUGGCCGUGUUUUUGUAUUUUAAUGCGUGAUUAUACAUGAAAAAAAAAUAAGCCGCAAAGAGAGACGAGGGAGGAAAAUGUGAUAUUUUGCAGCUUAGUUGUGGAUAAAAGUAUAAAACAAAGAUGCAUUUGUACCAGACUUUUUAUACAUCACAAAAUCUUGACAACAGAGAAACAGCAAAGGAACGCGUUUCCUUUGCAUGCGCAUAUCAGAGACACAAACUGUUAUCAAAACUUUCCUUUAUAUCUCGUCUACAUUCGGCUGAUUAAACUUCCCUCCAUGAAUGUCAGCAUUCUUUCUCCCUGUGAUGAAGGGACAAGGAGGGAGGGGAGAGGAGGGGAGGACAGGAGGGGGAGAGAGAGAGAGGGGAAGACAGAAAGUUUCAGAUGGGGACCUAAUUAGGGAGUGCACAGCCCAGUUCUCUCCCCACUCCUAAUGAGGGGUUUGUUAUGGCGCGGGCGAGCGGCAGCGGCGGCGUGUGUCAUGGCGAGGCCGAAGUGGAAGAGUGUAGAGCGUGGCGGGACCGGCGGAGCAGAUCCCCCUGCGCAGUGUGAUUCUACACCUGCAAAUCCCCAACACAUUGAAACCAGGCCUCGUUUGAUGUGCUAUUCUUUUCAUGUUGAGAAACGGGAGGGACCGAAGGAGCAGGGACCUAGUUGAAAAGAGGCAGGGGGGCUUGGGAGGAGUGCCGCGGUCUAUUAGACGUUUUAAUAAUGUUAAUUAAUGAAUAAUAGGGUUUGUAAUGAGCUACCGGCUGCAUUUUAUUCAUGUGAUUAUCUCAGACGCUCUCUAAUUCUCUCUAUGAGCACUGUCAGGGGAAGGCUGAGAUCAAGUGCAACACAAACAGACAGACACACAUACUCACUCUCACACACACACAUGAAAUCUAACCCCCACUAUAAAGCAAUACAGCAAAAGAGAGGUUUGGUACAGAUUAGGACGCAGUCAGAGGUUUGGUCGAGCAGCCCAGAGGGACCCAGCAGGCCUCCAAUGACUUAUAGCCCUCCUCCACAGGAAAUGAGAGCAUUAUCAGCCACCAAUUAGACCAAAGGGGUGAUUUAUACGCGCACACAUGUGCAUGCACAGAUACUCACAAAUACAUGCAGAUGCUCAAAACACCCACACACAUGCACACGUGAUUUAUAGUCCUUAAACAGGUGGGUCUGUCUCCCUGUGCAACACGUUGGAGCAUGUGGAUCUGCUCUUUCCGAUCACUCCGUCUCUCUCUGCUAGUCUUUAAUCUUUCUCUCUCUCUCCUUGAGCCUGUCAUCUGCUUCAUCCCUCAUUCAAAAGAGACUGAAGAGGCGCAGAGCAGCCACUAGUGGGCCCUAGGAAGACGUCCUCACUUCUCCCAAUGAUUUCUCCCCCCUCUGUCUCAACAACAGUCUCUGUGGGCACUGGAAGGUGCAGAGAGGCCUGUUUCCAGAUAAACCUACAACUGUGACAAGUUCAAAGAUAAUACUUAAGUUUUUUUUUUUGUUUGUUUUUUUACUUAAAGAGACUGCCCUUUUGGGAUAUGCUAAGAGCUAAAGAGAAAAGUCAAGUCAUUGUCUUAGUAGGUUUUAAAAUCAGUUCUGAGAUUAAAAUGCUCAUACGUUAAUUAGGAGUAAUCAGAACCUUAAAAGUUUCAAAACUGUUAAAUCCUUGAAUGACAGAAAAUGUUUCAAAUGCUUUAAGGUGCUUUAAGUUGGUUUUUAUUUAAUUAUUUCCUUAAAGUCGCAUCGUCUUGUAUCACAGAAAAAAUCUCACAAAGCCUUUACAGAAACAAGCGAUGCAUUGUUAUCCAGAAAAGAAAAACAAAACCCAAGCAUCAGUUUGAGUGUCAAAAAAGUGAGGAGGAAAUGUAUUUAUACAGAGUUUUACCUUCUGGCAGAUCUAUCCAAACUGUCCAGCAAGUGUGUUAUAAUGAUAUCAGUUAGAUUUGCAAAUAUUAUGCUUACAACUCAAGAACACACCGUGUAAAGGGGAGGCCAUGGACCCCCUGGAUGAGAGCAAGUGAUUUAGAGUGAUCAUAAAAAACACUGAUUUCAACGAAAACCUCAUUACCUGAUCUGAAGGAUCUGCUGGGUAAUGCCACAUUAUUCAACUAUACUAGUAACAUUGUCAAUUAACAGCGCAUUAUGGAUUGACAACAGAUAAAACAUGGACUCACUCUCAAGUGAUUCUUGCAAACUGCUGGUUCAAGGCAGGAUAUUUGCAGCCCACUUACACGCCUCCUAAAAUGCGUAGCACAUGUAGGCAUAAAUGCUGAGGCAAGGUCAUUCUGCCUCAGACCGUCCCUUAGACGUCAUAGAAGAGCGACAGUGACGAUGAGUAGCAUUUGAGCUAGCAGAGCAGAACAGGGCUGUGUUAUCGGUACUUUUGGUGUCCGUUUACGAGCCAUUCCUCUCAGGACUCCUCAUGCAAAAUCACUCACAGCUACACCAAUGUUAUGCCCAAAGAUGUUUGAAAAAAGCUAACUUCAAAUAACAAUCAACAACUCUAAAAACCAUCAACUAUUAGGGACACAAUCCCAACAGCAUGCACACUCAUCCUCUGCUCUUUAAACCCUCAAAUGUGUUACUCAUUUUGAACAUUUGCCCAACAUGCAGUUGAUCACUUGGACUGACACCUACCUCCUUUUGAACAAACAACACAAAACCAACAUAGCAACAUGAAAACAAGUGUCAAAUAUGGUCCUAAACUGAGUCAUUUUGCUUUUGAAGCAAGCCUCCAGUGGACAUUCAGGGAACUGCAGUCUUUUUUUUUUUUACUUGUGGGAUGGCUGGGACCCUAUUUGUACUGUUGAUGAAGUUAGGUGCUGUUCUGAGCAUUAUUUGUGGCUUUAGAGUGGCGUUUGGUUGAGGUUUGUUUAUGGCUCCUCAGACCGCUGUGUAUUGCUAUCAUGAGGUCGUUACUAAAGUCGGUAUAAAUAGAGAAGCAAGCGGUUGGCAACAUUCAUCUCUCAAGGAGGUGUCUAACUUGGUGUUACGGUGAGUUUGACCCUGAAUUAAUUUUAUGCUGGACUAUCCUUUUAAAGUUGCUGCUUGAUACUGACAGUCGUUUCAUCAUAUGUAACUAUUUUUAGAGGCACAACACAAUCAUAAACUUAAAAUUACAACAUUAGGUUUGAUCUUAUUUAUUCCUGCACUCAUUAUAACUUCUUACAAGUCCAAUCCAAACAAUUUGAUUCAGAAGUCCGGAUUGUGGGAUAGUUCAAAGUAUCUUUAAAAAUUUAACUCAGUAAAAAAGGUUAUGAUCAUAAGACUCUGACAUUGACAUUUGGCACACACCGAGAACUAUAUGCUUCACACACCUGCAACACCUGACACUUCCCCGCUCGCCCAAUUCCAAGCCAUUUCCACCCCAGCUCCCUUCACUUUCUAUUGAUUGUAAAAUCAAUAGCAGCUCCAAAAGAGCUGUCCGUGUGAAAUAGUCUUACACAGAACCUGCUUUUUUUUUUUUUUUUUUGAGGGAAGAAUUUCAAACUAAACUGGGGAUAAAUCUCCUGACUUCAAGCUUUAUAAUAAUGAAAAUAAAUUAAUGAGGUCAGGCUGGAAACAUUAUCUCACGGUGACUAAGAGAAAAAAAAAGAACUAAAAGCAAUCAUAGCCUUCCUUUAAACAUGGAAACCUGAAAGAUUCCCAAAGCUGGUUCCAUCUGUCUGCUCUGUGGUUGUAAUGAAGUUAUCAGUGGGCGUCGGACUUCUAUAAACCCCCAUCCAGGUCUGUAAAGAUUCUCAUUAAGCUCCAUCCUCAUUGUCAGCUGCAACACAAAAUCGGCCAACAUUGUUCCCGUCUUUUCUUCCUCUGCUCCUCCAUCCCUCUCUCCUCUUUGGGGGAGCAGGAAAACAAAAGGCAGCCCGGGUCCCAAUCAGCGCCUCAUGAAGGGGGAUCCCACUCAGGUCUUAAUCAGUGCUCUGCUUAAUAGAGCAACACUUCCCAAAUAUUAUUAACCUCAUCUGUCUGCAUUAGGCCCUAAUGGCCUCCCUCUCUGUGUAUUGUCUUUGCAGCAGCUGGUAAUGUACAUAUAUAUUAAUCCACUCUCUCUUCCCCUCUGCAGAGAGAUUGCACGGCGCUCUCAGAACAAACGGUGCCCUUCAGAGAGCGAGGCAGACACAGGUUAGGAAGCCACUAAUUAAAUGUCAGACUUGACAGAUUAAAAUUAUGAAAUUUAAAAUCUGCAAGUGGCUCUUUGUCAUUGUCAAAUUAAGGGCUGCACUGUGUGAUGAAGGGGAAGGGGACGGCGGGCUCUAAUGGAUUGAAAGGGAAUGUGCUUUAGCAGCAAGCAGCUCCCAGUGAAUAAAGAUUUGACACUCCCGCCUAAGGUAGCAUGGCUGCAUGUUGAAUUCCUCCAUAUUCUCCCAAGUCUGGAGGUUGAGAGGUCGCUCCAAUGCAGCCGAGCCCAUCCUGACCACUUCAUUUAGAUUUCUCAUUCCUCUGGCAACACAAAUACCUGGCCACGAAACCAGCGCUCUAGGAAAAGCUAUUCCACCUUUGGCUUCCCCGUACCUCCGCGUUUGAGCACAACCCACGGAGACGGAGAUCAGCAGUCAUUGUUAUCUCCUUCAUGACCCAUCAAAUCAGUGAGCUUUUGAGGAGGAGGAAAAAAAAAACAAGUGGGAGUGUUUUCUCUGAAAACGCGCAGAAAAAGUCAUGAGGUUUGGUGUGCAAGAGGCAAUUUAUCUUCAAAAACAAGCAUUACCUUUAAGAAAUGCCCUCAAACACCAGCAUGAAAUCAAGAUCAUAUCAAUGAGGAUCAGCAGGUGGAGUAAGCUGGUGUGUCUGUAAUUAAAUCUCUCCAUGAAGAAACAUUUGACUUUCUGCAUUUUUAAAAAUAGAGUUUUUUUAUUUGUGUCAACUCUGCAGGCCUUCCACAGGGAAGUCAGGAGUAUUUCCAGAUAUAAUCAAGAAAUACAGAGAAUCUUAAACCAAACCAGGGCUGUUUCUUUACACGCACACGAUGAACAGAGUUCAAAGCAUUCUCAACUUCAACCGGGUCUAAAUUCAUCUGGCCCCGGCGAGGUCGAGGGCACAUGUUGUAAUAAAGUUCAGUGUGGAGCUGAGGCAGCAAACAUUCAACGAGGAUCAAAACACCGGCAGCACAAGAAGUGACAAGAUCCAAUUAAAUUUAAUUACUCGAGCUGUAGUUUCAUUUUAACUGACAAUUUAGAUUAAAGUAUCCACACACUCUUGAAGCUAAAAGCAAAGAGGCCAAACUGUAUCAGAGUAACCCUGUUAGCGCUGGUGCAACCUUGACUGGCUAAUUGGCUUUAAUUAAAGCUGAGCCAAGAGGACUACAACAAGUUCAAUAAGACACAGGGACAGGUUUGACUCGGCGAUCGGUUCUUUUUUUGUGUUGCUGAGUGUGUCAGCAUGCAUGUGAUGUCUGGUCGAAUUAAAACCACAGCUCAACAACCUUUAAUCAAUAUUUAUUGGUUGGCCUCCUAUUGAUUCUUAUCUUUCCAUUACUCUUUUAACCUGUCGGCUCGUAGGUGACAUGUUGCCAUUAUAAUUGUUUUAAGCUAUUUCAACAAAGGCUAAACAUCACUAUGAAUAAACAGAUUUUGAUUUAUCCAAUAAUGUGUAAGAUAAUACUCAGCCUAGUCUCAUCAUAUGGCGCAUGAAUGACUUGACUUUUCACUUUAAGAUUGCACCGAUACGUCCCAAAGACUUGGCAUGUCAGGUGGUGCAGUUUAACGGGCAAGAAGUUCAUGAUUGGUAUGUUCAGAGUUAAGGUGACCUACAGUUUGAGCUUGAUUAGGGGAUUUAACUGGACUGCUGUCCUUGUCCAAGUUUACAUGCUCUUGGGUGCGUGUUUAUGCUUUCAACCGUUUAUUGCAACAGCUGCAGAACAUUGUUUUUGGCAUCAAGACUCCAACCUCAUGACAUCUCCCAGUUUUCUUCUUACAAGCAGAAAAUGAGGAGCGAUAAGAUGAUAUCUUAAACUUCCCCUGGUCCAAACCUGCAGGUGGACAAGCAGAAGAUAAGCAGAGAAAUAAAAGCCAUCAUUUUGUCCAUUGGGGGUGCCAAAAGUGGUUUAAACAGAAAGCUCAUAGGGGGAGCUUGUUUUACAUGUGGUUGAAUCAAAACAACUUGGACUCCAGAUUGGAUCUACCUGGCUUCACUCUCCUAAUAUAAGACAGAGAAAUGCACACUGAAGAAGGUAGAGGCCUUUCUAAAAAUCAUGGAUCGUCCACUUCAUAACACCUUGAUGGACCAAAAAAACAACAUUGGUGGACUGUUCCUUUCUCUUCGCUGCAGGACGAAGAGAUUCAGAAGAUCUUUUGUACCAACAGCCAUCAAACUUAGUAGUUCUUCUAUGAAUAGUAGAUAAGAUGGGUUUCCAGACAAACAAUUUCCCUUUGGGGAUCAAUAAAGUUUUUGCAUUGCUGUAUUGCACGAGCACCGCUGUCUCCUGAUUUAAAACCACAGACUCAAAACUUUGGGACUUUAGAUUGGGAAGUCUUUGCACAGCAGUGACAAAGAAGGUAGCGUUAGCAUCGGGAUGACCACAUAACUAGCAACAUGGCUAAACACUUGAUCAAGAUUAAAAAUGGCCCUGAAACAUACCUUUCCAACAGAAAGUAAGCAACCAUGGGAUCACUUUUAAAGCCCUUGAACUCUUUCAGUUCUCUCUAUCGCUGAAAAGCUGUCCCAGUGUUGACUUUCGUUUUUGCCCUUGCUUUCUCCAAACUCUGUCUUGCUUCGGCCUUCUCUGCCUCCGUCUUUUUUUUUGCUCUUUUUUGCAGGAGAAGCAGUCACCAUUAAUCUGGGGAUAAGUAGUUUCUCUGCCAUUCUCCAGCGUAGCUGUAUCCCUCUCAGCUCGGCUAUGCACAUUGAAUCAGGGCCAGUGCGCACCGCCAACAUUUACGUGCAGGAGGCGAGGAUUUGAUUGGUUUAAAAAUAUGGGACCCACACGAUGUGAUUGGUUGGUGUUUUCCCAGUUUUACUCCUGCUGUAGAUAGCUGCUAUGUUUAGCUCUUUUUUAAAAACACAUCAUGUAUUGAUUGCCAUCAGAACAUCAAGAUCAUUCCAACCAGAAUAACAAAAAGUGUAUCUAAAUCAGAUUACCAACCCUACCUUUAAGGUCUGCCAAAAGAGACAAUCAUUAUGCAUCUCAAGAAAACAGUAUCAAUUCAACUCAUCAAUUCAAAGCACUUACAGACCGGUGGAGGUGAUAUAAGUUCAUCCAAAUUGAUCAGGCAGUUGGUCCAGCAGACCAAACAGGUAGCAACCAGGAUGGCAAAAACAGAUGGUACUACAAAAUGCUUCACAGUUGCACAUUGUGGACUGUGUUCAAGUCAGUGCAAGUUUCCAGGCAGAAAGACAGUAAAAGCUGUUACCCCCUGAGAUAUUUCACAAUAUAAAGUAUUACAACUACAUAGUAGGUGCACUAUAAUGUAACUAUUUAGCACUUUUCUUAGGAUACUAUAAUCUUGUGAAAUAUAUAAUCUGUUAUCUUAAUUUAAAGAAGCCUUUGACAUGAAAUAUCUGAAAGCAGAGAACAAACCUGUUCAUGAUAAAGUUGACAAAUAGGCUGCAGCGUGUUUCAUUGACAGACGCUCAGAGAGAAAACAAAUGCUGCAGGUGCUUUGAAAGCUGUGUGUAGCACCAGAGGGCAGGCAGAUGAGCCUCAUCCCUGAGGAAGGUGUGUGUGUCUCUUUGUUUGUGUGUGUGUGUGUGUGUGUGUGUGUGUGUGUGUGUGUGUGUGUGUGUGUGUGUGUGUGUGUGUGUGUGUGUGUGUGUGUGUGUGUGUGUGUGUGUGUGUGUGUGUGUGUGUGUGUGUGUGUGCUCACUUACAGCAGAGCAUGCGACUAUGAAAGUGAAGCACCUUAGGCUAACUGCUGUUCCUGCCACUCACACUCCACACUAACCUCUCCGACACACACUUUUCAGUCUUAAAGGUGUCAGCUCACAUUUGGGGGUAAUUCUGUGGAACCUUGAUGGUGUUGCACUACAAAUCUUAAUUCAGAUUUCUAACUCUAGCUCUGUUUAUGAUCACAGAGGUAUAAACAGAGCCAGUUAUCAGACUUAUAGGGCUGUGUGCUGGUCUGCAUACAGUAAAUGUAAAUGAUUCCAGUGAGGAUCAGUGACAAAAUACAGGGAAAAAAACUUUAAAAAGUUAAAACCGUCCUUCAAGGAGGUAACUUAUUGUAAGUGAGUACUCUGUAAAAGUCAUGCAGGCAGUGCAAACUGAAAAAUCUGCUCAUAUUAUAAAGCUAGCCCUUUCAGUUUGUUACUAUUGGGCCAAAACAGGUUAGUCAACGAACAAGUUAGCAAGAGGCUAAAUGGUUGCAUUUCAAAAUGGGAAAAAAAGCCUACUUCACAGCUCUGUACCUUUCAUCAAAUGACAGUUUUGUCUUCUUUACUUUCCUCUGCUAAAGCUCAGUGUGCAAACUGUGCAGGAUGCAUAAAACAGCCAGUAUGAGUCAGAUUGAAGUGUAGACAUGCAAGACGAAUUGAUCUCCAACUGCAUUAUCUAAGGAUGGUAAUCUGACCUCAAGAAAUUUGACUUGGUGUGAUUUUGGUGUUGGCCAAACAUGUUUCCAUGCAUUUCCUAAAUCCUAAUUCAUUAGGGCCAAUACAACAACUGGAGUGAAGCCGGCAAGCCAGUUCAAGCAGUCAACUUGAGUUGUAGACUCAUUUAAGCUGCAAGACUUUCUGUCUCUGCUUUGCCAGGGGACAAGAGGACUCUGUAUCUUCCAUGAGUGGUGGUGUGAAGAAAACUGGGAGAUGUCAUGAGGUUGGAGUCUUGAUGCCAAAAACAAUGUUCUGCAGCUGUUGCAUUGAAGAGUUGAAAGCAUAGACGUGCUCCCCAGAGUUUGUAAACUUGGACAAGGACAGCAGUCCAGUUAAAUCCCUUAAUCAAAUUAAAAACUUUAGGUCACCUUCACUGUAAAUGUACUGAGUGUGAACCUCUGUCUUUUAAAUUACAUCACCAGGUCUUUGGACGUGUUGGUGCAAUCUUAAAGGGAUACAAGACCUCAGGCUAGUCCAUUACGGACUGCUGCGGGGUGAUGCAGCUCAAGAAGGAACAUUUAUGAUAAUUUCUUCAUCAUUUCCUUGAAGUAUUAAUUACCAUAUAAAUCAUUUUGCACUGGAGACGCGGUAGUUCUUCUGCCUUAGCGUCUCGGUCUGAUUGCAUUUCCAUGAAGACAUUAUCAUAAAUGUUCUUCCUUGAGCUGCGUCACCCCGCAGCAGUUGGUCAUAGACUAGCCUGAGGUCUUGCUACAAACAAGGGGCUGCUGGAAGAGAGUAGGUGAGUUGUGUUAAGUCUCUUCGUUAAAGAAAUUAGGCAAAGUUAAAAAGAUGUCGACUAGUGCUGUGGCUGGGACCCUAUAUAUACUGUUGAUGAAGUUAGGUGCUGUUCUGAGCAUUAUUUAUGGCUAUAGAGUGGCGCUUUGGUUGUGGUUUGUGUGUGGCUCCUCAGACCGCUGUGUAUUGCUAUCGUGCAGUCGUCACUAGAAUUGGUAUAACUAGAGAAGCAAGCAGUCAGCAGCAUUCAUCUCUCAAGGGGGUGUCUAACUCGGUGUUAUGGUGUGUUUGACCCUAAAUUAAUUUGACGCCAGAAUAUCCCUUUAAAGUGAAAAGUCAAGUCAUUCAUGUGCCAAUAUGAUGAGACUAGGUUGAGGGACAAAUCCUUUUGAUAAAUCAAAGUCUGUUCAUUCUGUGCUCAUCUGUCCAUCUUAUGUAUUAGUGAAUAUUUACCAGUUAAAAAAAGCCUUUUCUCUUGCAUGCUGUCAAUCAUCUUAGGUGGCUCCUCCCACAUCUCAGAAGUUACAGGCAUUAAAAUGUUCACUGUAGAAGAAGUCAGGUGUGUUCCUGAUGGUCUUUUUUGCUUUUGGAGGUGGUUAAAAGCAUCAGUUUUAGUUUCAGCUUGUUUUAUAAUGAGCCAAAAACUCUCCACAGGAGCUUUAAAUGAUCUACCUUCAAAUAUACUGAAUAGAACUUUUUCUCCACUUAAGAGAAAUUACACACUGAGAUUUUAAAGGAGGUUAAAGAUCCACAGAGAGUGAUGUUUUUAGUUUUUGUGAGUCUAAGUGUGUGAGACGGUGACGCUUUCUUGGGUGUUUGAAUGUAAAUGUUGUUAAUCUUUGUGUUAAUCCCUUCCCAUCUGUGCUGUUUCACUGCUGCUCUAUUGCAUUUGUGUGUGAGUGUGUUUGUGUGUGUGUGUGUGUGUUAGUGUGUGUGUGUAUGGGGGGGGGGGGGUCAGCCGGGUCAGGCCUGACACCAUCUUUAACUGUUAUUUACUGUGAUUCCACGACAAGACAGAUACCAGCUCCUGCGACUCCACUGAUGUAUGUUAAGCGCGCUCCAAAUUACCAGCCUGAUGGAUCUAUUGAUGGCCCAUUCCAACCUGUCACCUAGUCUCCAUCAGCCUCUCAGUUAUCCCCCUCUGUUCCUCCUCCCCCUCUCCCCCUCCCCUCCCCCCUCCUCGCCCUCCGUCCCUGUGGGUCUGAAUAAGAAAUGAGGAAGCAGGCAGAUAGAGACCUUUUGUAACCCUGUGUCCCGCCUGCUGGAAGACAAUGGCCGGCACUGACGCUGCUGCAAAAGUUAAGCAGGUCUGUAUAGGAGCACAGCUGGAGAACACACACACACAUAGACACACAUUCAUGCAUGCACAAAGACACGCAUGCAUGCACUUGUCCCUGGAGAGACAAGAAGGGCAAUGUAGACCAUGACCGUUCCUGCUAACAGCCUUGUCUUAUCACAUCCUGUCAUUUAUUAUUCUCCAUACAAGCUCCAGAUAGCAGACCCUGUCAUAGGGGAAAUGAAGAUCCCAGCGGUAUCUGUUACAGGUCUUGUAAUACGCUGUCACCUGUGUGCUACACUGAUAAUAUCCUACACGCAUUGAUUGAGGAGAAUCCAGGUUAAUACACUCAUGAAAUGAUCUAGGGAGGGGAAAAAAUCAACUCUUAAAAGACUUGUUAGAGCUGCAAAUCAACAGCUACUCAAUUUCAAAAACCUCCCCACAGGCUUUUCAAAAAACCUAACGCUGUGUUUUGGAGCUGAGCUGAUGAUGGGCCCUGUGGUCCCAUUAGCCGAAAGAUAAGAUGAAGAUGGUCAAUACAGCGUGUGCGUGAGAGAGUGUGUGAGUGCGCGUUCUGGUGUGUGUAGUUGCCAGGCUCUGCUCUAUCAGAUAAAUACUGCACUGAAUCUCGUCGCGCUAAUUGACUCUCGCAGGCAUUACUGGGAUUAAGUUAGCAAGCGUCCAAAGUUCAUUACGCAGAUAAAUGCAUCUCUUAGCCUGCUAAAGACCCCUCGCGCAAACUCAACUCCCACACAAAGCACCAAACAAAGAAAAGGCUUCUUAUGGAGUUAAAAAGGUGAGAUCAUUUUAUUUGUUCGCACUUUAUCAGAGGGCAAAUACUUAUUUACAUUUAUGGCCCAAGUGCUCUAUUUUUAGUGUUUGAGUUUGUACUGCUAUGUUGGAAAUAUUGAGCUUUUUUCAUUUCACUACAUUUAUGUGACAGAUGCAGUUACGGGGUCCUCUGCUGAUCAGGAAAACAUAUAAAUAAAUGAAGACGUUCAUUGAUUCAGAUGUAAAAGCAAACUGUAAAGCAGAGAGACUUUGUUUCCAAAGACUCAGAGCAACUUUUAGAACAAGUACAGAGGUUAGCAAAUCAGAAAUAUCUAUAAGGAAAACAGGGCUUUCAGUGUUUACUCUCGGUUGAGAUGUAAUAAAGGUUAAAAUUUAUAAUUGUGUACUUUAGGCAUGUUACAGGUUAUUGUGGCAUUGUCUUCCUGCUUCCUGCUGAACAAAUAAAUUAUGAAGGUAAAGUAAAAUAAUGACCUCACUGCACUUUUGAGUUGCGUAUUUUGCUCCACAAAUUUCUCGGUUGACAAGUCAAAAGCAGUGUGCGCUUUGUGUCAAACAGAAUUAAAAUAUCCCCACAGGAGCGAGAGUUUGAGUGCCCACCCCACAAGCAUCCAGGUGCAGUUGAUCAGACUGAUGUCUGCACAAAACCGCAUCACAAAAGUCUGCAGAGCAACAUUUGAGAGUGUGCACAUCUCUAAUGACCAAAGGUCAUGGUUACAGAGGACAGUGGUGUAGAAGUUCUGCAUUUAUUUGGGUGAUAAAUCUAAAAGUCAGGAUCCUAAAGACCAUUUAACUGCAUAUAUUUGGUCCUCUAAUCAAGACACUAUUAAGACUUCUCUGAUAUUGUUAAUAUUGACUUGCAGUUUGAGCACAUGAUUAAAAAAGCAAUUAAUCACAAUGAACUAUUAAAAUAAUAAUUUAACAGCCUGAAGACAAAUAUGUAAUAAGUCUGAAUGUAACCAUUUUCUAAUACUUUUUCAUCAACUCUGGAUGCUUGAACAUUUUCAAAAGUAAUGCUUUCAUCAUCUGUCAGCACAAUAAACCACAACAGCUCUCUAUAUACUCUUAUUUUAAAGGAAGGGAAACUAGGGUGCAAGAUAUGUUUUAAGUGAAGCACUUAUGAGCAUGAAAAGUAAGCACAGUAAUGGACAAUGAUCAUCUUUAAGUACAAUUAUGUUAAAUUAGACAAUCACAUUUCUCUGGACUUUAAAACCUGAAUAUUGUAAUCAGAAACUCAUUUAACUGCCAAACCUGCCAUAUUAGACUGUUAAUUUUCAUUCAUAAUCAGGGCAGUCUCUGUCUCUCUUGAUACAAUAGAUUGUUUUGGUGAUUAUCCUGUUUGUUUUACAUCAUGUACUACAAUGCCGUUCUUUUGCAAAUAUAUCUUUUUCAUUUUAUUUUAAAGCUUCUACAUCUGGAAAAGUCUAAAAUUGAUACUGACGUCUUUUUAUGACCAUAAGCAAACAAGAAUGAUGCUUAAAAUUCAGUGUCGAAAAAUGCGGCAACUUUUAAAACUCGUAUAUAUUUGCGGGUAAAUCUAGCCCAUUUGGUUGUGUGAUCUUGCGUUCCCUUUUUUAACAACAGCUUUUAUAGCAACUUAAUUUUGGUAGUACCUUUUGUAAAACAAAGCUUACACAGUGCCCUAACCCUAAAUCAGCAGUACUAUGAUAGUUAAAAAAAGUUAAUGGGUUAUAUGUUGGAGAGGCAGAGUCAACUUAAUCCACAUCUACUCCUAAAAAAAGGAUAACUAUGACUUCCUGUUUUUAGUCAAGGUCAGAGGUUAAGAAAGAAGUGGAACUCUGAGUGCACAGUAUGUAGUGGGAAAAGCAGCACAUGCAUACUACACAUGCAUUACAACAAAUCUUUCAAAGUGACCUAGCGCCCCGUCACAGCUGCUGCUCAUUUUGACGUCAUUAUAACUCUGACAAAAAGCCUGCGAUGACAUCUGAGUUGAUUACGCUGAAGCGGUUUAACGUGUGAUCUUUGAUAGCCUUUGAAACACUUGCUCUCUCUCCUUCACCCUCUCUGUCGCUGCAGCGAUGAGUGACACAACAGCAGGUGCUCGGAGAACCGUGGAGAGUGCUUUCAUUUUGCCACUUAUACGACAAAUUACCCAGACAAUGGACCUGGCGAGCCGGGACAAUAAUUCAAUUCCAACUGUUGACUCUGGGCAUUCGCCUGCAUGCAUGCACCGGCCUCAAGGAAAGGAGAGCCCUCGCUGCAAAGAAGAGAGAAAAAAAAGAUAAUCUGAACACAGUCAAACAAAAUGAAAGGUAAUAUUCUUUAUCUGGCCGAAGAUAGCAGCAGAUGAACUGCCCUAAUAUGAGCACAAAUAUGAUUUAGGGAUUCCAUGCGUCAGUCGGCCCUCUUCUCAAAGUGAUUUGGAUCAAUAGUGUUUGCUAGGCACAGCAGAAACAGAGAGGAAAGAGCGAAGGAGGAAAGUCAAGAAGGAGAGGAAACACAUAGAUUUCACUAUGGGGGAGCGCAGCACCAGAGCAGUAGUCAAAUUUCACUGGUGUCAAAUUAAUUUCCGUGUUAUCUGGAAAUUCAAUUAGAAAGGCCCCCCCUCCCUCGCGCUCCUCCCUCUUCUCCUCUUUUGUGAGUAAGAGAGUGUCGGACAUCCCGGCGUGACAGAUUACACUGCUCAGAGUGCAUAUCAGGCCGAAGUGUUGAGGCCCACUAAUCCGCCCUCUAAUUCUCAAUUAGUGUAAAAUGAGGCCAUAAAUCACGCAGACAGGCCGAUCGAUGGAAACGUUGUUUUAGGAGUGAUUGGCAGCCUCCCCAAAGGUUACUGUUUAAGUUGGUUUAAGGUUACAGCUCCGUGCAGGCUGGAGGCAGGCUGAGAGUGUGUGCGCGCGUGUGUAAAUGUGUGUGUGUUGGCUUGGCUUGUGGUUGGGAGGGCUGGGGGGGUCGAACUCAAUCUAUAUGAUGCAGGGCCUUGCUCCUUUGGGGAUACAGCAGAGGGACAGCACCAAUUUUUAGCCCAUCAGCCGUCCAAUUUUUCUCCUUUUCAUACCUGCUGUAGUAAAUGAGAAACAAAUUAAAUUUCACCCCACUAUCUCCACAGAAACCAUUUAAAUCCUUUAUGGAAACCAAAUUGUCCCCAGACAAAUCGCCCCUGGUUCUGUGGAAAUACACUAUGGCGCUGCAACCGAAAUAAAUUUGUGUCACUCUGGAUAUGGCAUUGUCUGUAAUGCCAUUCAUUGGAGGAUCCUGGUGAAAGAGAGAGGGGAAUAAAAUAAGGGGCACUUUUGGAGGAACAAAAGGGGUGAAAAAGACCCCAGCUCCACAUUCUCUUCCUCACCCUCCUCUCCAUCUCUCUCUGUCUUUCCUCCCUUCUCCUUUGCGCCCACUUUUCCCCUGUGUGGUGUUAUUAAUUUUCGGCCAGAGUUUUUGCAUUCAUGAGGUUGAGAUUGAAAUGGAAAUGAGGGCUGGCUGAGCUGAGCAAAAGCGAGCAGCCUCAGCAGUGGCCGCAGCCAAACGGGGGCCCCCAGCGCGGCGCGGCGCUCCAACACUCAACCCGACACGUGUCAGAGACAGAGGGGGACGCGGCAGCCACCAUCCAGCCUCUCAUUCCCCCAGAUUACCAGCCCCUGACAUCAAUCACUGCAUCAGGGAAACAAUGCAUAAAACGGCCCCAACAAGGGCGAUGAAAAAUUACUGACAGUGCAGGAGUGGAGCGUGUGAAGGGAGGGAGGGAGGGAGACCUGGUGCCAUUCUACCUUCAGCCAAGCUAAACGAUUAGUAGCACUCACAAGGGACAAGGAAAGAGGUAGAUGAGGAGAAAACAACAGAAAGAAAUGACACAAGGCAAAUUAAAUGAAAAAAAAACAAGUAAAAAAAGAAGAAAAGUGGAAAAUAGGAGGCCGUAUUGACAAGCUAACAGAUGAAAUUGCUCUAAUGAGGCGACGAGACUUGUUCCCCUGAAUGCAACUUUUCUUAUUGAGCUUAUUUAUAUAACAGAAGCAUCUAAAAGGGAGAAAUUAGUCUUUGAACCGAGUUCUUUUUGGACCAUAUAAGCUCCACUACAACUAUAAACAGAAAAUGAUGAAAGCCAAGAAGUUCAUCUGAAAAACUAAAUCGACUUAUUUGUCAUCCAAAUUUUUCUGCUCCGAUACACUUUGGACUCCCCGUUUCACCUCAGAACCACAUGAUAGAAAAAUCUUACACACUAAGCAAACAGAAACAGAUGUAACAACAUUAUUUGGAAUAGGGCUAACUAAUACAAACUCAAUAAUGACUCUUUUAGCUCUGUUUUGUUCUCCACCUGUUCUGGCUUCUCCUCAUCCUCUUCUUCGGUAGAUUGUUGCUGACUCUGUCGACUGUUUGGUGAAAAUCCAGAAGACAAACUUUUUGCAAACUUUUUGCUGCAAACAGACACUGACUGUGGAGUAAAAACAUGUUGAUAAGAGCUGUGAGAAUAGAAUAGAAUAGAAUAGAAUUUGCAGUUACAGGACCGAUGUAAUUAACAAUUCAUGACUCAGCAAAAACAUUAGUUCCAAGCCAAAACAAUGGGCUGAAAGAAACUAGGAUCAAGUCGUAGGAUCAAGUCCUGAUGAUCUGGUUUAUGUGCCUGUUCUCCUGAUAUUAAAAAAGCCCCAAAAUAAUAACCUGAGAAAUCAUCGUCAGCCUGUCUCACCAUGUGGUUGAAAAGUAUGGGUAGAGAAAUUGAUCAAGGAUUGUUAAGAUAGCUUGAUAACAGUGCAAUAUCAGUAACAAAUCUCAUCUCUCCUCACUUGAAGCAUAAGUGCAUUGUCCAGUUUAGAGAUAGUAUAAGCAGUGAGGAAACCUUUUUGUUUAUGGUGCUUGUAAACAAGUGCUCACAAGAGACCUUUAACACAUUUGGACUUCCUGCAGGUUUAACCUCUCAGUUCCUGUUUGAAAGCCAGCAGCUCUGACUUUGCCACAGGGGCGUGCCCAGAUGGUUGUUAGGGGUGGUAUGAGCCCACUUAAAAAUGCCUGGCCACCCCAAAAUCUUAAAUCAUUAUUUUUGUUUUUGUUUGUUUUCUUUUUGGAAGGUGGAAUCAGUGUGUCAAUGAAGUGUUUCAGCAGCUGCUUUUUUUGAACAUUUGAACUUUUCUUGGUUGAUUAAAGUACAAAAAAAUACUGAACACUUCUAUUUCAUAAAACUGGUGCAUUUGAAAAGGAGUCAUCCCUACAAAAUGUUCAAGAAAACUUCAUAUUGUCUUCUUGCUAAAAUAUUUUGAAUUAUUGGAAGGAUUGAUAUGCUAAUAUGACACCCAUGAAUGUAUUAAAAUGUAUUUAAGGACCUAAGACCUGAUGAAGGUCCUGAUGGAGAGAAGGCUGUAAUGUAUCGGCUAUUUAGAGAUAUUUACCAUGGAAGACAUUUUAUUUCAUUUCUUGACUCAAAUUUCUUUCAACUCUUUUCUGGGAAAAAAAAAAAGUUUGACAUUAGGCUAUCACUUUUUAAGUGUUACAAAAAUUAAGAUUCACAUGUUGCUAAACAACGUUUAAAAAUAUACACAGAAUAAUAUACUUUAUGUGUGAUUCUUAAAUAUUAGCAUUUUAAUAAGAUAUAUCGAGUUAUAAAUCAGUGCUUUUCAUUCACUGGUGUCAUGUGUACUUAUUACUCCCUUGAAUAAGUCAAUGUCCUGGUCGGACCACCCCCAGUCAGAAAAGUCUGGACUUGGCCCUUUACGACAGUGUCUCCUCAGGUUCAUGUUGGGCCAUUAUUGAUGAGUUCAGCACACAGGGGGACGUGUUUUAGGGGUCUGUGGAAUUCCAUUUCAGCGGUGCCAGACUGGUCUAUUAUUAUGAUCAUUAUUAACUGUGUGUUCUUUUCCCUUCUUUCUUCCCCCUGCAGUUGCCGGGUGUCUGCUUUGUGUCCUCCGCUGCUAAAAGCUAAUGUGCUGAAAGGCUGGUUCUUGUCUCCCUGAGCUUAUUGAAAUCAUGUGAAUGCCAUUUGUGCUUAAUCCUUCUGGGUGUGCCAUAAAGAGAAGAGAGUCGGCAGCUCCUGAAGAGAGAUGAGAGGACCUCAGGGGAUUCACUUUGCUUUGCCCCGUCUGCUGAGAAAGAGAGAGAGAGAGAGAGGAGACUUAGACAACUGACAACCUAACCAAAAUACGUCUCAUAAUUUGAUUAGGUUACAAUGACAAUCUUUAUUUAUAGUCGGUCUCAGAUGCGAGAAGGGAGGGUGGAUUUUUUUGUGGCAUCAGAUUCACAUUAACUGGUUUCACGGCUGGCAUCUAAAUAAAAAUAAGUGAUGCUCAUGUAGCUAGAGGCUAAUUGCAGACAGCAGCGUGUCCAUCUGACGCCUGGCCCCAACCGCUACAAACACCCACAUGCCUCAUUAGCUUUGUGAUCACUCAUUUUAUUUAGUGAGGGGUCGCCUCCUCCUCAAAAACCGAGAAAUCAAGUCACUGGAACACCUUCCAUAUGCAUGAGAAUUACAUCAGCGACAGCACUGUUGUCGAGGCUUUUGAAAUAAUAAUGCAGCAAAUGAUAACGCCUCGGGACGCUACAACACCUCAUUACAGCUCAGAGUAGUUCUUGUGAAGGAAAAAAACAGGCUGGAAUGAAUAGGAAACAUGGCGGCGCUUGAACGACAGUGGUAUUUAUAUUCAUCCGUUUACAUCAAAUUGUUGCUUCCCCACAAAGAGCCUGAAACAGCAGCAGGGUUUGAACUCAGGGUUAAUGAAAAAGUCCCUGGCGUCAAGUUACCUGCUCGUCUGCAGGCGAACCCCCGUCUGUCGAAACAAACAUUUCAUUUGUGCGCCACAUGUUUCUCAGACGAGACCCUAGUAAAAGUUGUUCAAUAAAUUUUACCGUCUGUUUUACAGACCUCCCCUUUCCCCCCUGUGUCAUUUUUUUAAUUGAAAGUGGAUUCUAACUCGGCUAUAAACAUCAUUCCACCCAAUCAGAGCUGGUUUAGAUCAAAUGGUUGUUUCAAUGGGCCGCGCGCUUUACAGAUGCCUUCAACCUCGCCUUGUCUCCCAGGCGCUCGCACUGUUAAACACUCUGGCACUCUUUUAAGGCUGGGAGAUGGCUGUCACUGUAUUUUGUCAGCAAAGCAUAAUAUUUCUUCAGGAGUUCUGAACCUGGCACUCAGCGGGGUGGAAAUGAAAAUAAGGCAGUACAUAAACGGAGAGAGUCAGCCGUAAAUCACCUAACACGCACGGGAGGCAGCAGGUAGACACGCUGCUGGCUGUCACAGCGCUCCCCUGGAAAGCAGAUUGGACACCAGCCAUCAUGCUUUAAUCAAACUGCACAUAAUAGACAUGUCCCUGCUCUUUAUGACACACACAUACAGUACGACACACACACUCACACACCAAAGAAAUGAGCUUUCAGACUUUUCCAACUUGUGCUAUUUAAAUGUGGCUUAUGUUUGUUUGUUUGGGUGUCAGAGGUUAUUCUUUUGUGGUUUCCUAAAAGCGAUCUUUGAAGCUUAAUUCAGCGGUUCACACACGCUUUCUUCAAAGGUCGGCUCUCUUUACUGUGAUAUGAAGCUUUUUUUUUUUUUUUUUCUCUGACAUGCCGCAUGUCAAACGAUAACGUUAUUGUUGGCAAGACUCUUUUAUAGCGGUAUAAUUUUAUUCUGACUUUUCCUUUCUUUUUUUAAUUAAACAGUCAAAGUCUCGCAGGGCUGUGGCUUUGCAUUCUGAGUGCGGUUUUGAAAGCUAACAGCAAACAGAUGGGGAAGUAUUCAUAAUGUUAUGAGAGCAGGAUUAGGCAGGCCAUUGAAACAAUAGAGAACCUUAUCAUACCCUGAAUGAUAAAUCGUCCCUGCAUUUGGCUGCAUUCUGGUUAAAAUGUUCUUUUUUUAGUUACAUGACAGAUUGUGUCUCACAAACAUCUCUCAUGUGCACUUUUAUUAUAGAAUCUGCUUCAGCUUAUAAACCAGGAUUCAUGUUCAGGAUCCUCUCUAUUUCCUUCUUAAUGUCACAACAUUAGACGUGUCAAAAAAUUACAAACAGCCUGUUAAAAAAGAGUGACAUCCCCCUUAUAAACUUGAACCAUGUAAUGUGUCAUUUAAGUCAAAAAUAGGAUUUGAAAAAUAAUAGUAACAACAUCCCUGACACCUCCUGAGUUGUUAGACUUCAACAAAUCAAGCAGGGGUUUGACUAAUGAUGCUCUCAUUAUGUGGGGUGUGCGUUCAAAGGCACUCGAAGGUUGUCUACCAAAUGAUUACCGUAUUCAGCUCAAAAGCAGCUCUGAUUGUGUAGAGGCUCUUCCAGCACGAGGACCCUCAGAGUCUCUACAGGUCAAAUGAUCAAAUUUGGCUUUGAGUUGUCCUUUAGAUUCACCAGCUGCCACCAAUUUAAACUGAACCUAUCUGGAUGGAAGAGUUUGACGGUGUAACACAACUAAAACGAGGUUUUUGGAGGUCAAACAACACAAUAAGAUUAAUCGGACUAAUCUGUCUUCCUGGUGAAGCAGCAUGUUCUCGCUUAAAGAAUACAGGGAAGUACUGUUUUCUUUAGCUUUAAACCAUGACUGUAGAGAUAGAAACAGAGCACAUAAACUAGUUAACAAGAGUUUGAGAAUAGAGCUGUCCAGACGGUUAUUAUUAACAACUAAUAUCAGGUUAGUUUAUUAUCAUUUUACAUUUAAUGACUUUUUGAUGUGCAGCAAUCAUUAGCACAUGGUUCACAAUGGGGUAGUAAUGAGUUGCGUUCAUAAAACAGUGCCAAAGUCAUUGUCUGGAGGACAAGUUAAGGUCUGAAUAUUUUCUAAAAACGUCACAGACUUUCAUCAACAUUAGUGUCUGGAUUAAAUUUAUUAAAACCAGCUAAAAUAAACCGUAAAAUUGAAUCCUUGAUUGUCUAACUUCUGUGCCAGUUUUCCAGCCAGUCUCUUAAACAAAGAGACUGACCUGACCUUUGUUCCUGUCAGUAAUGCACAUUACUGAUAGGGACAAAAAAGUUACCUUUUGACAGAUUCAAAAACCAAACUACAACUUAGUUAAAUUAAACUGGGUUUAAAAAUUUAUAAGCUAGCCUUAUGUGACAAAAAUGCUGGGAAACUAAUGCAGAAAAAGGCUCUGCUGCCAGUGUGUCUUCCCUUCUCAGUCUAUUUUAUUGCACUCCUUUUUCUCACCUAAUGUCCCGCCCACAGUACUAUCUGAUUGGGUCUAGACAUCACCUUACUGUGUGAGAGAACUGUACUCUAAGUGUCAGUGGUUACCUGUUCACCCCGUGUAUUCAUCAUUUUUUUAUUUUACUUUCUGCUAAAAGCAUUAAAGCAACAUUUUGUGUUUGAAUUUCAAAUAUUCUGAAGUUUUUCGUAAUUGUAGUCAAUGCAUAUCGUUUCAAUAUAUUGAUUAAAUGUCUCAUGCACAGUAGAGACGGGUUUCUUGUGUACAAACAAUACUAGGUGCGCGUGCAACCAUGGGGCAAAAGCCUGCUUCGGAGUGAACUGAUAUCAAUGAAGAUGCGGUAUUCUUUGCAAGUUCUCCCUGACACAAUUGCAAUAAAAUGUUGUUUCAUUGAAAAAUCACUUAGCCUUUCAUUGCUUCAAAAUCAGAGAAACACUUGCUGAAAUGUCCAUGAAUUUUACUCAAUUUACCAGGUUGUGACGUUGUUUUAGAUGCUUUUAAUAUCAGGAGCAGGGUUGUAAUGUUUGCGGAUUGAUUGUUUCGCUGAUGCUGAAACGCCAAAGAUUUAUCUCCUUGUUUGUGAAACCUAGCUACUGAAGUUCAGUUCAUCUAAAUGCUCCACAGCGCUCAUUUUAACAACUAAUAACAGGUCAGAAUAGCUAUUAGCAACAACUUUAUUACGUAACUAAUGAUUUUAUUAAAUUGAAAUGUCAAUUUACCAGGUUGUGAUGUUGUUUUAGAUGUUUCUGAUAUCAGGAACAGGGUCGUAAUGUUUGUGGAUUGAUUGUUUUGCCGAUUUGUGUAGUUUACAGCACAACAGCUCCUUGUCAUUUUCUUUCUCUGUUGACUCCGCUAGUAAACAAAUGAGAAAUGUCCCGCUUUCUGCCCCCUGGCUGCGCAUGCAUACCUGCGAUGACAUUACACAGAAACCCGUCUAUUGGCCCUGAAACACCAAUAUCAGGUGACCCCCAGUAUUUUGCUGGGCUGGCCUUGUUACUGUUGGUUACACUGCUCGGCAUUGCAAUGAACUCAAAGCACAGGCUCUGUCUGCACCAAUGUGUAUCUCAGAUGUACAACAUAAAUGGGCCUUUAGCAGAAAUAGACAUUGUGUAUGUGUUUUAGACAGUUCCCAGUUUGGUUUGGUGUGGGCAUCACAACUACUUACUUAUACUAAUACAAGAGAUCACGGUUCAGGCUGAAAAAUAGUGGUAACCUUGGAAAACUAAUUAUGUCAAUUACUGCACUAAGACUGACAUUACUUACAUAUGCAUGCUGUGAUUCCACCAUAUGGUUUAAAGUAAAUAAAACAUGUCUUCUUAAAAAAUUCAACAUGUGCUUUUUUUCAGAUGGGAGUUGAUCCCUGUUCUCCUGGAUUUGGACUUGUUUAAACUACCCGUCCUCCAAAAUGACACCACAAAUAAUCUUCGAAGUUCUUCACAUGUUAUCACUGGAUCGAAAUGUUGUUUUAAAGUGGUAACCUCAAGGUAAGUGUCCAGUCAUCUAAUUUUGAUAUAUUAGGCCACUGCACAGGCUACCAAAUCUGCC